UAUUGCAACACCCUACAGCGGGAAUCCCUCAUGCUUGCGCGACACGGAGGGCACAAUAGGACAACACCAAAAUAAAACAUACAACUCGUACCAAUCUAGAUCAUCCAUCAACCCAAAGACAAAGGAUAUCUACUCAAAACAUCAUAAGAUGGCAACACAUCAUUGGAUCAUAAUAUGUGGCAUAAAGCACCAUGUUCAAGUAGGGAUUACAGCGGGGUGCGGGAGAGUGGACCGCGUAAAAGAGAUGAGGAUGGUGAUGAUGAUGGUGAUGUUGAUGAACACGAUCACCGCGGUGAUGAUUCCCCUCCCGAUGGCACUCCGGGGCCACCGAGAGAGAGGAGGAGACGUUAUCCCCCUUGUGCUUCCUCCUCCAUGGCCUCCCCCCUAGAUGGGGAGAGGCUCUCCCUCUGGUCCUUGGCCUUCAUGGCGAUGAUGGCCCCUCCGAGAUCCUCCUCCAUGGCCUUCGGUGAUGAUGGCCCCCUCCGGCAGGGUGCCAGAGAGGGCCUAGAUUGAUUUCUCGUGGUUACAGAGGCUUGCGGCGGCGGAACUUCCGAUCUAGGUUAUUUUCUGGGCGUUUCUGUAUUUAUAGGAAUUUUUGGCGUUGGUUUCACGUCAGGGGGGUCUCCGAGUCGUCCACGAGGUAGGGGCCCAUGCCCAGGGGGGUGGGCGCGCCCCCCACCCUCGUGGACAGCCCGGGACUCUUCUGGCCCAACUCUUUUGCUCCAGGGGCUUCUUUUGGUCCAUAAAAAAUCAACAAAAAUUGGCACGUCAAUUGGACUCCGUCUGGUAUUCCUUUUCUGUAGAACUCAAAAACAAGGAAAAAAAACAGAAACUGGCACUGGGCUCUAGGUUAAUAGGUUAGUCCCAAAAAUCAUAUAAAAUAGCAUAUAAAUGCAUAUAAAACAUCUAAGAUGGAUAAUAUAAUAGCAUGAAUACUUCAUAAAUUAUAGAUACGUUGGAGAUGUAUCAGCAUCCCCAAGCUUAAUUCCUGCUCGUCCUUGAGUAGGUAAAUGAUAAAAGAAAUAAUUUGUGAAGUGUGAAUGCUAGCAGGUGCACAAGUUUGAUCAAUGAUAAUUUCAAUCACCUUUUCUAGCAUCAUUAUAUGUCAUAACAGUAGCUCAUCUCAUAAAACUUUUCAUGAUCAAGUAACAAACUAUUCACAUGUUAAAGUAUAGAUCAUAAACUUUCUUGAAAACUAACAAACAGUGCUCUUAGUCAUCAAACAAUUGCAAUUCAUCUUAUUUUCAGGAAGGGUCUAUGUCAGAGCUUUGAUUUAGCAAACUCCACAUACUCAACUAUCAUUUAAUCUUUCGCAAUUGCUAAUACUCACGUGAUAUUUAUGGGUUCAAAGUUUUAAUCGGACACAGAGAAAGAUAGGGGCUUAUAGAUUCGCCUCCCAACCUUUUACCUCAAGGGUAAUGUCAACAAUAAUAGUUCAUGAUAACUUACAUCCAAUUGGAUAUAUAUAUAUCAGGAUCUUUCCAACACAAUGUGCUUGCCAAAGGAUAAAAUGUAAAAAGAAAAGGUUAAGAUCACCAUGACUCUUGCAUAAGGUAGAAGAUAAAAGUAAAAGAUAGGCCCUUCGCAGAGGGAAGCAGAGGUUGUCAUGUGCUUUUAAGGUUGGAUGCACAAAAUCUUAAUGCAAAAAGAACGUCACUUUAUAUUGCUUCUUGUGAUAGAGACCUUUAUUAUGCAGUCCGUCGCUUUUAUUUCUUCCCUAUCACAAGUUCGUAUAAAGCUUAUUUUCUUCGCACUAAUAGAUCAUACAUAUUUAAGGAGCAAUUUUUAUUGCAUGCACCUAUGACAACUUACUUGAAGGAUCUUACUCAAUCCUUAGGUAGGUAUGGUGGACUCUCAUGGCAAAACUGGUUUAAGGGAUGUUCGGAAGCACAAGUAGUAUCUCUACUUGGUGCAAAGAAUUUGGCAAGCAUGAGAGGGAAAGGCAAGCUCAGCAUGUUGGAUGAUCCGUGACAAUAUACUUUAUUUCGGAUAUAAGAAAACAUAACCCAUUACGUUGUCUUCCUUGUCCAACAUCAUCCUUUUAGCAUGUCAUAUUUUAAUGAGUGCUCACAAUUACAAAAGAUGUCCAAGAUAGUAUAUUUAUAUGUGAAAUCUCUCUUCCUUCAAUAUUCUUUCAUGAAUUGUUCAAGUGACCAAUUCUAUGUUCGCUAACUUUCAUUAAGUUUACUAGCUAUACUUAUUCUGUGUGAAGUCAUUACUCCCCUUGGUAUAAGCAUAUGAAACAUUUAUAAGUUCAGAUUUAUGAUAUUCAAUUCAUUCAACCAUUUACUCAUAGGAUAUACUUGAAGCACGUGAGUAAAUGACAAACUACCCCAAAAAGAUAUAAGUGAAGAACACUGAGUAGUCAAAUAAUUAACUAGCCAUGGGAGGAUUCUUUUUCAUUCAAGAUUUCAGAUCCAACGAUUUUAUUCAAACAGCAAGUAAAAUUGAAAAUACGCUCCAAGCAAAACACAUAUCAUGUGACGAAUAAAAAUAUAGCUCCGAGUAAGGUAUACCGAUAGUUCUGAAGACGAAAGAGGGGAUGCCUUCCGGGGCAUCCCCAAGCUUAGGCACUUGAGUCUUCCUUGAGUAUUACCUUGGGGUGCCUUGGGCAUCCCCAAGCUUAGUGUCUUUCCACUCCUUAUUCUCCUCAUAUCGAUAUCUCACCCAAAGCUUGAAAACUUCAAUCACACAAAACUUAACGGAACUUCGUGAGAUAGGUUAGUAUGAUAAAGUGUAAACCAUUCACUUUGGUACUGUCAAAGACAAGGUUCAUAAUUUUUAUCACACAAUGCCUACUGUACCAUAUCAUUUCUACAACUUAUAUUGAGAAAUAUAAGCCAUAGAAACUAUAAAACAAGCAAACUAUGCAAUGAAAACAGAAUCUGUCAGAAACAGAAUGGUCUGUAAUGAUCUGAACAUAAACCAUACUUAUGCUACUCCAAAAAUUAUGAAAUAAAUUGGUGGACGUGAGGAAUUUUUCUAUUAAUCUUCUGCAAAAAGAAUCAACUCAAAAGCACUCUUCUGUAAAAAAAUGGUAGCUAAUCCCGUGAGCGCAAAGUUUCUGUUUUUUACAGCAAGAUCACAUUAACUUUCACCCAAGUCUUCCCAAAGGUCUUACUUGGCACUUUAUUGAAACAAAAGCUAUAAAACAUGAUUACUACAGUAGCUUAAUCAUGUAAACACACAAAAACAGUAAGGGUAAAUAUGGGUUGUCUCCCAACAACCGCUUUUCUUUAAUGCCUUUUAGCUAGGCAUGAUGAUUUCAAUGAUGCUCACAUAAAAGAUAAGAAUUGAAACAUAAAGAGAGCAUCAUGAAGAAUAUGACUAGCACAUUUGAAUCUAACCCACUUCCCAUGCCUAGGGAUUUUUUGAGCACAUAAUUUAUAGGAACAAGAAUCAACUAGCAUAGGAAGGCAAAACAAGUAUAACUUCAAAACUUUAAGCACAUAGAGAGGAAACUUGGUAUUAUUGCAACUCCUACAAGAAUAUAUUCCUCCCUCAUAAUAAUUUUCAGUAGCAUCAUGAAUGAAUUCAACAAUAUAACCAUCACACAAAGCAUUCUUUUCAUGAUCUAGAAGCAUAGAAAUUUUUCUACUCUCCACAUAAGAAAAAUUCUUCUCAUUCGGAAUAGUGGGAUCACUAAUUCCUAAAGUUGACACUCUUCCAAACCCACUUUAGAUGAUAAUAUUAUUCAUACUCCAAAAGAUAUAAGUGAAGUUCAUGGAGCAUUCUAAGAUUAAUAUAGACUAACCAAUAUCCAAGCUCAAAAUGUAUAAGUGAAGCACAAGAAGCAUUCUAUAAAACCAUACUCAAAAGAUGUAAGUGAAGCACAAAGGGCAAUUCUAUAAGAUCAUACUUAAAAGAUAUAAGUGAAGCACAUGAAGUAUUCUAUAAAUUGAUGAAGGGACAUCUCAUACUAGAAUGGUUCUUAAAGGAAAAACAAAAACACAAAGGACACAAAUCAUGUGAACAAAACAAAAACCGAGGUAUACCGAUAUUUGUUGAAGAAGAAAGAUGGGAUGCCAACCGGGGCAUCCCCAAGCUUAGAUGCUUGAGUAUCCUUUGAAAUAUUUUCUUGGGGUGCCUUGGGCAUCCCCAAGAUUGAACUCUUGCCUCUCUUUAUUCUUCUCAUAUUGAUAGUUCCCCGAUCUUCGAACACUUCAUCCACACAAAACUUUAACAAAAACUUUGUGAGAUCCGUUAGUGUAAUAAAGCAAACUACCACUUUAAGGUACUGUAAUGAACUCAUUCUUUAUUUAUAUUGGUGUUAAACCUACUGUAUUACAACUUCUUUAUGGUUCAUACCCUCCGAUACUAGCCAUAGAUUCAUCAAAAUAAGCAAACAACACGCGAAAAACAGAAUCUGUCAAAAACAGGACAGUCUGUAGUAAUAUGGAAGUUUAGUAAACUUCUGUAACUCCCAAAAUUAUGAAAUAAAUUUGAAAAUUUGAAAAAUUAGUACAGAAGUAAUGUUCAAAAUCUUUCAGACCCAUUUGACCUUCCAGUAAAAAAAUGUAAAAUCACGCACUACAGCCAAAGUUUCUGUUUUUGUUCUGCACAUAGUAAACAAGAAAUCUAAUCAUCCUAAAACCAAAGCUUGGCUCAUUAUUUUUGUAAUACAAUGGAUAUAUACAAGGGGAUAAUUAUUUACAGAGAAACUUCCAUGAAAAAUUCUACAUUGUUUCCGUGAGCAUGAACACAAGUGCUCAAGGUCGAUCCUCACUUCUUCAAUGCAUAACUUUCCAAUCACUUCUCUUUUUGAAAAACAUUUUAGGCAUGAGAGGCAAGUAAUUUUUUUUGUAUUUUCAUUCUUUAACUUUUUUGUAUGUUUCACCCACAACUAAACAGAAACAAAAAGGAAAAAAAUAUACUUAGUGAAGAAAGCAAACAAGCACACAGGAGAAUAUCAACCCCACGCUAUUGCUCCCCAGCAACGGCGCCAGAAAAGAGCUUGAUAAUCCCCAAGUGCAGGGAAUCAUCGUAGCAAUUUCCAAAGGUGGAAGUGAUAAGUAUGGAGUGUCGAACCCACAAGGAGCUAAAGGUAAGAUCAAUAUUCUCUCAAGCCCUAUCUGCCACUGAUACGACUCUACGUGCACCGAACGUUUGCUUCCAACUAGAAACGAGAAAUAAAACUACGUUGUGGGUAUGAAGAGGAUAACUUUGCAUGGUAUCGGAGAGCUAAAAUAUAAAAGUAGGUGCUGUUAUCAUAAAGUUAGAAUAUAAUACUAAAUAUUAUAAAUAGCGAGUGUGGAAUAAUGAUGGAUCGGUGUGCGGAAUUGUCCUAGGCAAUUGUUAACAAGACCGGUAGUCGUCAUUGCAAUUUCAUAUGAGGGACAGGCAUAAGCUAACAUAAUUUCUCUUCUUGGAUCAUAUGCACUUAUGAUUGGAACUCUAGAAAGCAUCCGCAACUACUAAAGAUCAUUAAGGUAAAACCCAACCAUAGCAUUAAAGCAUCAAGUCCUCUUUAUCCCAUACACAACAACCCCCUUACUCGGGUUUAUGCUUCUGUCACUCAAGCAACCCACUAUAAGCGAAUCAUAAACGUAUUGCAACACCCUACAGCGGGAAUCCCUCAUGCUUGCGCGACACGGAGGGCACAAUAGGACAGCACCAAAAUAAAACAUACAACUCGUACCAAUCUAGAUCAUCAAUCAACCCAAAGACAAAGGAUAUCUACUCAAAACAUCAUAAGAUGGCAACACAUCAUUGGAUCAUAAUAUGUGGCAUAAAGCACCAUGUUCAAGUAGGGAUUACAGCGGGGUGCGGGAGAGUGGACCGCGUAAAAGAGAUGAGGAUGGUGAUGAUGAUGGUGAUGUUGAUGAACACGAUCACCGCGGUGAUGAUUCCCCUCCCGAUGGCACUCCGGGGCCACCGAGAGAGAGGAGGAGAGGUUCUCCCCCUUGUGCUUCCUCCUCCAUGGCCUGCCCCCUAGAUGGGGAGAGGUUCUACCUCUGGUCCUUGGCCUUCAUGGCGAUGAUGGCCCCUCCGAGAUCCUCCUCCAUGGCUUCCGGUGAUGAUGGCCCCCUCCGGCAGGGUGCCAGAGAGGGCCUAGAUUGAUUUCUCGUGGUUACAGAGGCUUGCGGCGGCGGAACUUCUAGGUUAUUUUCUGGGGGUUUCUGUAUUUAUAGGAAUUUUUGGCGUUGGUUUCACGUCAGGGAGGUCUCCGAGUCGUCCACGAGGCAGGGGCCCACGCCCAGGGGGGUGGGCGCACCCCCACCCAUGUGGACAGCCCGGGACUCUUCUGGCCCAACUCUUUUGCUCCAGGGGCUUCUUUUGGUACAUAAAGAAUCAACAAAAAUUGGCAUGUCAAUUGGACUCCAUUUGGUAUUCCUUUUCUGUAAAACUCAAAAGCAAGGAAAAAACAGAAACUGGCACUGGGCUCUAGGUUAAUAGGUUAGUCCCAAAAAUCAUAUAAAAUAGCAUAUAAAUGCAUAUAAAACAUCUAAGAUGGAUAAUAUAAUAGCAUGAAUACUUCAUAAAUUAUAGAUACGUUGGAGACGUAUCAAUGAAGAGGGCAUAGAGGAUCAACAAUGAUUCCUUCUCGUGGUUGGAAUGCGAGAGGGAAUGGAGGGAAGCGAAGGCGGUAGCAGAGGCGGAAUCGGAUCCGAUACUCAGAUCCAGAAGAGAGAGGUAUGUUCAAACUUGGCGGAUCCAGGCAGACUGAGAGAUGAAGAAUUUUGCAAGAAGGAUUCACUUUGAAGGUACCGCGGAGGAGAGAGCGCAGAUGCUGCCUUUCCCACUCUCACCGUCGGUGGACUUCAUUCAUUGGGCGAGGGGAGAGGGGAUAUUCAGCGAUCUGAGGAGGAAAGGGAGGUGGAUUUGUCUCGUGGGACUGUGUCCAGCAAGCGUUCCACCGCUGCCGGAACCAGUGGAUCCUCUGCAAUACUUGUCGCCAGCAAUUUGAAUUCCUCUGCAGUUUCAGUCUGUGACAGAAGAGAGGAGGAUGAGCUUGAUGAACAGACGGUUAGAAUUUGACCCCCGUGGAUGUAGGAAAAAUGAUGAAGCUGGAUAUGCUGAUUGCUUAGUUGGAUCUCGACCUGGAGGCAGAUUCUGGGCGUUGGAGCAAAUUGAAGAAGAUGGUGAAAAAUGUUCAGCGGAGAGUGAAGCUGGACAGAGUCCAUAUAUAGCGACUUUAGCUGAUGCUUUUGCUUGUGCUAAGAGGGAAUCGAAGAAGAAAAUCAAAGGCAAGCAGAAGAGGGACAAAUUAUGCAAAUUGGGUGUUGUUGACCGCAUUUCAGAGAAGAUUGUGGCUCCUGUAUUUAGUUAUGUAAAUGUUCCUCCUUGUCGUAAAUCCAGGCAUGUGCUUCCUGUUGAGUGUGAUUCAGUUACUAAGGAUUGCUGGUACCAAAUUGUUGGUGGUAAGCCAGUUGAUGUGGGUGUGGGUUUUGAGCCGAAUUGUAUGCAGAUGGGACAUGACGGGAGAGGUCAUUAUCUACCAGCACGCAGCUUGGUUGAUGCGCCGCUCUCCACACGGUCGCCAACACGCCCGGAGGGUGAAUUUGGAGAUGAUUUAGAGUUCAGGUUUUUUUCCUGUUUUGAUUCAAACUAUGCAUCGGAAUGGGCCGGUUGGUGGUGGGCUGGGUCAGAAAUAUGGGUGCAUAUUGGAGCCCAAAAAGGGGAGUGGGGUGCUACAACUUGGUCAAAGAUAGGUCGUUAACCCUAAUCACUUUUUGCACUCUAGGAUUUCCCAUUUGUGGUGCCCGUCCUCGGCCACCGCCACUCGUGAUAGGUAGAUCCGGGAGGAAAGAUGGAUGGGCAUUUUGGUUCUGGGCGUGUAAAUGGAGGGAGGGAUGGUGGAGGUGGUGGAAGCUGGAGACCAAAUCAAGGUUAUGGGAGAGAAUUCCAAUUUGACAAAUACGAUCAAGGUCCUUAGGUCCGACCCCGACCGUCGUUUCAAAAUUUCCAAGGUAACCAGCACUAGAACUUCCCGCGUAGAGAGCCAGGAUACGGGGAUUGGGGACAAGAUGGUGGCAAUCGAGGUAUGUAUCAGUACCCUCGUCGGCCGCCACUGCAAAACACUAAUCUACCCCUACUACUAGCAAAAAAACAACAGAAGAUGAGUACAACCACUAUCAGUGGUGGAGGAGGGGGUAGCGAUGUUCAGACUUCCAAGCCUAAUUCCGCUGGGGCAGUGGUGGCAGGGAAUCAAAGCUCGAGGGUGAUUUCUGAUAGCAAUGUUUCUUCUAUGGACAAGGUUAUCUGUCAUAAGUGUGGUGAGAAAGGUCAUAACUCUAAAGGAUGUGAGGCAAAAGUAAAGUGUGUGAUCUAUACUAAGGAUUCUCAUGUACUUGAAUUUUGUGCUUGGCUUCAUCAGAAAAAACUUGUGGCUACUCUGGUUGGUUUUGGUGGGGAGGGGCUUGGAUUGUUUGUGGCAGAGCAUGCAAAGGAGAUUUCCAGUGCUAAUAAAAAUGAAGUUGUGGCUUUGGUGAGACUGAGGGAGGGAUGUGAUUUAGAAGUGGAUGCUGACAUGUUAAUUAAAAGCUUGGCCGAAACUUAUCCAUGGAGGUGGGACUUGAAAGCUAGAAAAGUUUCUGAAGGAGUUUUUUUGGCAAACUUUCCUUGAGCUACUAGAAUUGAUGAAGUUGCUAUAUAUGGCUGGGUCCCUUUAAAGGGAGGAAAUAUCUUGGUGAAUGUGAAAAUCUGGAAUGAUGAUGCAAUGGCUGUAGGAAAACUCGCUGCGGUUUGGGUCAGAGCAAAAGGUGUACCAAAGACUAUGAAGAAUUUCCAUGGGCUAUGUGAAAUUGGCUCAAUGAUUGGUUACAUUCAGGCUGUGGAUAUGCAGUUAGUAAGUAAAACAAGCUUGGUUGGAUUGAAAGUUGUUGUGGUGGAUUACAGAAAAAUUCCUAGAUGGACCAAGUUAACAAGUCCCAAUCUCAUGGUUUACAUAAUCUUCUUUGAAAUGGAAGAAGUAGUAGAUGAAGGAUGGGCUAAGGAAGAUGAUGAAUUAUCUCAAGGCUAUGAAGACUGGAUGGAUUUUCAGCAAGAGGAGGAGGAUAGCAGAGAUCCCAAAAAAGCAAAACACAAUGAAGAUGAGGCAGACAAUAGACCAAUUCGUGCAAGUACACAGACCAAGAUUGUUGUGGAUGAGAAAGAUGUUGUUAUAAAGGAACAGGAGGAAUAUGAUAUUCGGUUGUACUAUAAACACAAAGAUAAGGAUGUUGAAGACAAAAAGGAAGAAGAAACUGGCUUUGUUUUUGUGAAUAGAGGAGGUGGAAAAGAAAAUGAGGAGGAAGAGCAAAACACUGCUGAUGAUAAAAAUUUAGAUGAUGAAGUUGAGAUGUCUCAGUCUGUCAGUUUGGGGACUAAACUAGGGAUUAGGGUACAUGAAGAUAUGACUAUACACAAUACCAAUGAUAAGAAUUCUGACCAAGGUACACAGAGGUAUAGUGGAAGGAUAGCUUCAAAGAACAAAGAUGAUAUCGCAAUGUUAGAUAGAGCUAUAUGACUCUGGCUAGGGCCAAAAACCUAGCUUUAUCUAAAGGUAUGUCAUCUAAUGUUGUUGAUGAAUAUUCUGAAAAUGUAGAACUAAUUGAUGUUGCUAAUUUGAUAGGAAUUGACUUAGGGGUUUCUUCGGGUUUGGUGGAGUACAGUUUAAAACUAAUUUCCUCUCAUGAAAAAGCUAGAAGAGAGAUAUUUUUAGCUAAUACCAAGGAGGAAUCUAGUGAACAGGAGAAUGAGAAUGUCUUGGAACUUGAGGAGGUUAAUUCUAUACUUCAGGACUUAUUACAAUUAAGUAGGGAAGGGGAUGAGGAACAUAUGGAUGAUCAUUCGGAAAGUCUAUUUGGUGGUAUGAGGACAGGUCUUAAAGCAAACAGUGCUCAUUUUGAGGAUGUUGCUGUUAAGACACCACUAAAAACAGUGUUGAGUAGGAGGAAAACAGUGCUCAUUGGCUCAAUCUCUCUCCCAUAAGCAGCGUUGAAUCUGUCAACAGAGUAGUACUCAUGCACAAAUUGUUCAAGGUCUACUCUCUUUUGUGAGGUCACGAAGGCCAAGACAUGCGGACAUGGCUUACCAGUAUGCUACCAUUCAAGACAAGUGUUGGAAAUAUGAACUAGAUGCAAUAAUAAUGUAUUAUUAUAUUUCCAUUUUCAUAAUUAAGAGUUUAUAUUUCAUGUUAUAACCAUUGUGAUCCUAGAAUAAGUGAUUCAGUGAAAAACUCAUAUGCACAUGUGGAAUGGUAAACGGUAAAUAAUAGGUUCCUAGUCUUGCCUCUAAGACUGACUCAAGUGUUGUUCGUGAUCAUGUUUCCUGGAUCUUAGGAUAUCGUUAAGUGUAACGAUAGUCCUAAAACAACAUUGAAGGUAUGAUGUUAGAAGAAUGAUCAUAUUGAAUCGAUCCAAUAUUGUUUGUUAUACUUUGAGAUAAUAUCGUCUGAAAUCAAUUGUUAUAACACGGAGUGUUAGUAUGUGUUUUUAGUUCCUCAGACGAUGAAUCUUGGGGUUUCUCAAACAUCAUCUGUAACACGGUGAUCAUAACGACAACUUACAGGUUCAUCUAAAAGUUUGACAAGGGACUAGAUAGCUCGAGAGAGGGAUUUGCUCCUCCGACAAUGGAGAGAUAUUCUUAGGGCCCUCUUGGUGUGACGGAAUCCAUCAUCGUCUGGCCAGACACAGGUGAUUACGUCAUAGGGAUGCCGGAACACUUCAAUGGGAGAAGAACAAAACCGGUGACAAGAUCAAUGGUAUAAUGAGCAUGUGCAUGAAUCAGUAGGAUACCAAUGCAUCCCGACUUUUGUAAAGUAUCCCGAUGCAAAGGGAACAUCACAGGAUAACCGAAGGUUCACUCGAAUUUCAUUCGUGUAAUCAUAGGGAUCGAUAUGGACAUCCACGGUUCCACUAUCGGUCAUUGAACGAAGAAGUUUCGUUCAUGUCUAGGAUUUACCAAACCUACAGGGUCACAAGCUUAAGGUAAUCACGACCUGCUGAGUGUUAGUAGGAUGAGAGCAUCGAUGAUUUAUUUAUGGAAUUGUUUCAUUAAGAACAUUUACAUUUAUGACCCUAAUUUGCGCCGACUCUCAGAUUUACCCCUAACUUUUUGAUGUGCUCAAAUUUGCCCUAAAAAGAAUUUAGGUCACGAGAAUGCCCUUCCAGCUGGUCAAAGUUGUUUGACCAAAACUUUGAAAAAUCAUAAAAAAUUCAUAUGAGCUCAAUAUGUUCGUUAAAAUAUCACCUAUACACGCAUGUCAUUUAUGUUCAUCAACUACACGUGCAUUUAUUUGCAUUCACCCUAAAUAGUUUUUAAUGUUAUGAACCCUAAAAUGCUUUAAAGUGUGCUUUUGUCAUGCACGUAAAUGACACGUGCAUAUAGGUGAUGUUUUUAUGAACAUUUUGAUAUCUUAUUUUGCAUUCUUCUAAGUUCAUAUGAAUUUGUUAUGAAUUUUGAAAGUUUCGGUCAAACAACUUUGACCAGAUGGAAGGGCAUUUUCGUGACCUAAAAUGCUUUUUAGGUGCAAAUUUGAGCACAUAAAAAUGUUAGGGGUAAAUCUAAGAGUGGGCGCAAAUUAGGGUCAUAAAUGUAAAUGUACCUGAAUGAAAUAAUUCCACAAAUAAAUUCUCGAUACUCUCAUCCUGCUAACACUCAGCAGAUCGUGAUUACCUUAAGCUUGUGACCCUGUAGGUUCGGUAAUCAUAGACAUGAACGAAACUUCUUCGUUCAAUGACCAUAGUGGAACCAUGGAUGUCCAUAUCGAUCCCUAUGAUUACAUGAAUGACAUUCGAGUGAACCUUCGGUGGGUUCAAGUUAGGGUCACAUCAAAAAGUUAGGGGUAAAUUUGAGUAGUGGGUUCAAGUUAGGGGCUCAAAUGUGAAUGUCCCGUUCAUUAAUGUUCAAAAUAGUUUUGAGAGGAAUCGGAAGCGUUUAGGGGUCACCGGAAGGGUUUCAGAGUUUAUCGGGAAAUACCGGGUAUUAUCGAUAAAUAAUAUAUAGGUGGAAAAUGUUUUGGUUGAUGUUAAAUUAUAUAUAGAAGGCCCUGGUAAUUGUUAGAGGGCUUUUAUAGUUAAUUUAAUAUCAACAUGCCUUAAAAUGUCUAGUGGUGAAAGGCAACUUGGGCCACCAAGGCCCAACUGGAGGUGGGGUCCGCCCUUUCCUGUAGGACGUGAUGAUUAUCAAAUUGCAAAAUUGAGUGAAUCAAUGAAUUGACCAACAUGUCGAGCAAUAAGAAGCGAAACAUAUGAAUUCCAUGGUCGACGAGCCCGGCGGGCACCUUCUCCCCACUUGUGCAAUCGCAUCGCAAAACUUCAUGAUGAAGUUGGAGAUGGUGUACCACCGGUGGGCCAGUGACUUCACAUUGUGUUCAUGGAUCAAGUAAAAGGCAUAGGGCAUGAAGUGCUUUUGCUCAUGAAACGGAAUAUGCAUGGUUUGCCAAAAGGUCGAGCUCCAUUGUCUCAUGCCUAGAAAGUCCGCAGAUAUGACCUUUCAAGCAUCACACAAUAAUCAUUCUCCAUCAUUGAGUACCCCGUCAUUGUGCUUACUCUAGAAAACACCAAGAAGGAAAAAAGAAAGCUCAAUGACAUUUGAUCGAACACCUGCCGGGCGUGCUGUCCGCCAUGGACCGUGUCGACAGGUGGCCAGGGGAGGGGGCGGUAUCUGGCUGUGGACAAUUCCUGAGUGGAUGGUGGUAUAGUCCAAGGUGGAUAGGUGCAUGGGUUGGGCUGCGGACAUCCGGCAAUGCCUGGGCGGCGGCUGGAGAGAUACACCGACGGCGUCGGACGAGGACGGGUUGGGUGCAGAGCAAGGGCAGAGCAGAGACGAAGUGGGAGAAAAAUGAUCCAGCAGGAGGGGAUUUGAGUGGGCCGAGAGUGUUGGACGCAUACUUGGUGAAGGUCUGGGUGCCCACAAACCUCCUGGUUUGUGUCCGGUUUACAGGAAUGCAUACAAACGUACGCAUAUAUGGAUAAAUACAGAUAUCCGAACAACUCAGUUCAUCACAUCGUAUACUGGCGUUUCAAGGGUUUGGGAAUGCCUGCCCUCAAGGGUCAGGAGGAGGGAGGAGGGGAGGGGAGACCGGCAACACGAUCUAGGGUUCCCUCCCCGUCGCCAUGCGGGGGCGACGCGUCAGGGAGGAGUGUUGGUGUUUUUCCCCUCUACUGGUGCUAUAUAUAGUGUAUCCCUGCCGUUCUUGUAUACAUGACAUCAGUGAAUCAGGAUGUAUAAGAAGGUAGUCACGCAAGGGAUAAUAUUUUGAGCGUAAAGCGUAGAGAACUUUCCCGGGCGGCAUCAGAUGCUAAUCACAUGCGAGUUAUAGCCCUUUUUGUCUUUUAUGAAUGUGCCUUUUUAAAACGGAGCGAAAUUAAUCUAUAUAUAUACUAAUAUAAAAAGACCCAAAGAAACAUAUCCAAUUAAUCUCGGCCAUCAAAUCAUGUCAAUCCAAUAACCUAGACUGCUUCAAUGUUCGAGCGUUCAGCACGUUUAACGUGCAGUUAAUUUCAUGCCAAAAAUAGUGUUAAUCACAUAAUAACAUGCAAAAUAAUAUUCUAUUUAAUAUCCGCAUGCACUUAAUAUACUUCCAAAUUAACGUGCAUUGCACGUACACAUUGACUAGUCAUUAAGAAAAAGCAGAAACGACCAAAGCAUCAUUUGGUUUUACAGCUAAAAAUAUUUGUGUUGUGCAUGGAGAUGGAGACAGUGAUGGCGUACAAAUGAACAUAUAAUGUAAGCGUACAUGUGAAUUCUCUUCCAUGCGGCGUAUAAUGUAAGCUUACAUGUGAAUUCUCUUCCAUGCGGGCAUAUGGAAUUAUACCACAUGGUACGAAAGAUUUAGUCGGCCAUGUACUUCGUUCGAUUGUUGUUUUAUAUAUAAAGCGGGAUGAAAGUCAGUUUCGAGAGCUGCGGCUUGCAGGGCUGGAUGCAAAUGCCUAGCUUGUAAGGCCAGACUAAGAAUAAAGCUGCAUGUAUGCACAUAUAUUCUGCCUGGAAACGUAUGGACUUAAUUUAUUUAUUUUUGAGGAUUGAAAUGCAUGAACUUUACAUGAAGCAGCCAAAGUUUCUACAAACUAGCUAGGUGCAAUCAGCACAAAGUCCUCCACUUAGCCAAGUUUCUACUGACUGGGUGCAAUCAGCACAAAAUCCUCACCUCACCUUUGUAAUCCUGCUCAGUAAAUUACAGGUGCUUGAUUAAUCAUGGCUCCGUGUUGAGCUCGUGACACGCGUUUGAUUCACUUCGGUUUCUAAUGUCAGCUGAACUAACAAGCCGAGGUUGACUUGGAUGACAGUUACUCUCUUCGUUUUUAUUUACUCCGCAUAUUAGAGUUGACUGAAGUCAAACUUUCUAAAGUUUGACAAAGUUUAUAAAAAAAAUAUUUACCAUAACAAAUCUAUAUGAUGUGGAAGUACAUUUGAUAAUGAAUCUAAUGGUAUUGAUUUGUUAUUGUAUAUGUUAAUAUUUUUGUUUGUCAAAGUUUAUAAAAUUUGACUUUGACUAAAGCUAAUAUGCGAAGUAAAUAAAAACAGAGGAAGUACUAUUUUGUUUCCCUGCAGGCAUGCAUGGUAAUCCGCAUCUCACCCUGCAUAAAGAUCAUUGGAAUCAGAUCUAAUACCUUUCUUUGGCCGGUCACACACUCUAGCUAGGGUUCUUCGACGCAGGUUGCUUGCGUAGUUUUUUUUAGAAACAACAUUGACGUACACAUACAGUCACACCACCACACACACUCACACUCAAACAAAUGCCUACUGAAGGCCCGAUCGAAGUUGCGGGCUUUGAAAUUGAUGGAAUCACCACAUGUGUCUCGUUAUUUGAUAUUUACUUAUGAGUUAUGAAUAAAUAAUAUGAAAAACAAAUCUUAAGGGUUUUUCAAACCACAUUUAACAGGAGACGUUCCAUUCGGUUCAAACAUUUAAAAAUAUUUUUUUUCUUUGUUUAUUUUUGUGGUGCAACUAGACUUUGGUCAACUUAGUUAAUCAUACGGCAGUCCAAUAUCCGGGGUGGGCCCCGCCUGUCAUCGUGCAAGGCUACCAACGUCUCCGUCCCCCUCUUUCCAUCGCAGCCCACCUCCGCUAUAAAUACCACUCACUCAAAAUAAAAUAAUGAGCUCGACCGCCGACGGAAGCAGCUCGCGGUCGGCUCUCAGUCUACUCUCCGUCGCGUCGUCGACAGGCGCCGCGGCAGCAGCGGCCAGCGUCCGUCGGGAGACAGAGAUUUCCUCUUGGCGGGGGCCGAAUCCAAUCCGUAAGUCGAAAUCUCUCUCUGUGCUUGCUCUCGGAUCCCCACCCGCCCCCUACAGUCCCACAGUACUUCCCUGCUGCCAAUGCCCGCCUCGCCGCCGUUCCCGCCGUUUUCUUGGGGUCUCGGUGAGGAAUCCGAGGGUACUGGUUCUGGAUUGACCCCCCGGUAAUGGAGGCCCUGCUGGCUGUUGCCGCUGGGUUACUCCUGUGUGCCCGUCCUCAAGGUGUUCGAUGGAUUGUGGGCAGGGUGUUCCGUCCGGCUGGUCGAUCUCGUUCCAGUCCUUCCAGGUUCCAGCCCGUUUACAGUCAGUUGCUGAAAAUGUGCACGGAACGCAUGAAAAUGUAGGCUGUGCACAGGUUGUUUGCUUGCUUGCAAUUCCAAGCAUUGUUUCCUCUUUGCAGGAAGCAUAGUGCCACAAGUGGUCUGCUUGUUUGCUUGUGCUCAGGAAAAGAAAAAGUUGUAUCUUCUGUUUGUUUGCUUGCUGUCCGCUUCAGUGUUUGUUCCAUCUUAAGCAUGGUACAAGUAUAGUCGCUUUGUUUCGUGGGCAUAAUCCAAAGUUUGUGCGGAUGCAGCUUUUGUUCUCUCUUGCAUAGCGAAAGUGUGUGGAAACUGGAAUCUGUUGAGAGUAGUAUGGCCACGCCAAACGUUUUGGCUUUCACUUAAGGACCACACAUUGCUUCUUGACUUUCUUGGAUGCUUGCCGGCCCAGCCUUGGAACUGUACCUUCCUAGCUAGUAAUGGUGUAGAUAGAUGGUUAAUAUAAAUGAGGCACAGACCAAACCUUUGUGUUGCUUCCUAGAAAUGAGUGUAUUUCCUUAAUUUUUUUUUUGUCAAAACGUCUGUCGUUGUUCUCCCAAGUUGCUUUCUUGCGGUAUUCAAUCCAUUUUUUAUUACUGCAAUUGCUUCAUUCGAAUUGAGGUUUCAGUCCGUUUACCGUCAGUUGCUGAAAAUGUGCACGAAACGGAUGAAAAUGCCGGGACAUGCGCUCUUUGUUUACCGUUUAUACCGUCAUUUGUUUGGUUGCAGGAUGCACCCGGUCUUAAGCAUAGUAUAUAUAAAGUUGUAUGCUCUGUUUUGUUUGUUUGCUUGCUGUCUGAGGAUUGAGACAAGGGCAUAAUCCAAAGUUUGGCACCUGCUCCUGCACAUUUAUGUGUUGGAAACUGGAAUCUGUUCAGAGUAGUAUGGCCACGCCACAUGUUUUGGCUUUAACUCAAGGACCACAUUGCUUCUUGACUUUCUUGGAUGCUUGUUGGCCCAACUUUGCAACUCUACCUUCCUAAUAGUAGUAUAAAUCAGGCACAUACAAUUUUUUUUGUGUUGCUUGAGAUUUGGUGUAUUUACUUAAUGUGUUUAGUUGAAUCAUCUGUCAUUGUUCUCCCAAGUUGCUUUUCCUCGCGAUAUUCAAUCCGUCGGGUUUUUAAUUACUGUAACUGCUUCAUUCAAAAUUGAUAUUUGCUUCUUUGUUGUUGUUUUCCUUUCAACGCUUGGGCUGAGGCUUCAAAUAAUGGUGCUCUUUAACAUGGACUUUGUUACUUUAGAGAAUGCAAGAAUUAUGCAAUUGUAUCAUGAUAACAUCUGCUCUAUGUUUUUUCUACAGGGAGUUUCCAACACAUAAGUAGUUUGCUAACAUGAAGACAAGCAUCCAGUAGACUUUGCACCAUUUGAGUCACAAUGGAGAUAUCUUUUCUCAUGUUGUUGGUUCUCUCUCUGCUUCUGUUUCCUAAUGGCAUCUGCAAGGGUUUAGCUGCGAGGCCUCCUGUUGUGAAUAUUGGGUCUAUUCUUCAAUUUAACUCCACCACUGGAGGUGUUGCCGCGGUUGCCAUCCAUGCAGCCUUGGAAGAUAUCAACUCUGAUCCAACAGUUCUAAAUGGAACUACACUAAAGGUUCAAAUCAAGGAUACAAAUUGCUUUGAUGGUUUCCUUGGCAUGGUUCAAGGUACGCUAGCUUUAAUGUCACGCAUUCAUUUGGCAUUGUUGAAAUAGUUUUUGCUUCUCUUGUGGAAUUGUGACAAUGAUACCGUAUUCCUUGUAUCAGCUUUGCAGUUCAUGGAGACUGAUGUUGUUGCACUCAUUGGCCCUCAGUGCUCUACAAUUUCUCAUAUCAUUUCAUAUGUAGCAAAUGAGCUUCGAGUCCCUUUGAUGUCCUUUGCUUCUGAUGCAACUCUUUCAUCGAUACAAUUCCCGUUCUUUGUCAGGACUGGUCCCAAUGACCUCUAUCAAAUGGCGGCUGUGGCAGAAGUUGUUGACUACAACCACUGGAAGAUUGUGACUGCCAUAUACAUUGACAAUGUUUAUGGUCGAAAUGGCAUUGCUGCUUUGGAUGAUGCACUUGCUUUAAAGCGCUGCAAAAUCUCCUACAAAGUUGGGUUUCCUUCCAAUGCUAAAAGAAGUGAGCUCAUAAAUUUGUUGGUUAGUGUCAGUUAUAUGGAGUCUCGUGUUAUCAUUCUCCAUACUGGAGCUGAACCUGGACUCAAGCUUUUCUCUAUGGCAAAACAACUGAACAUGAUGGGCAACGGCUAUGUGUGGAUUGCAACUGACUGGCUGUCUGCAUAUCUUGAUGCUAAUUCAUCAGUUCCUGCUGAGACUAUAUCUGGCCUGCAAGGUGUUCUUACUUUACGGCCACAUAUCCCCAACUCAAAGAUGAAGAGUAAUUUGGUCUCCAAAUGGAACAAGCAAAGUAAAAAGUCCAACUAUAGUGAUCUUCGUGUAAAUACUUACGGUUUUUAUGUUUAUGAUAGUGUCUGGGCAGUAGCUCGGGCUCUGGAUGCCUUCUUUGAUGAUGGUGGUCGGAUUUCCUUUUCAAAUGACUCGAUGUUGCAUGAUGAAACUGGAGGAACUCUUCACCUUGAAGCAAUGAGCAUUUCUGACAUGGGAAAUAAAUUAUUGGAGAAGAUUAGAAAGGUAAACUUCACUGGGGUGUCUGGGCAAGUGCAAUUCGAUGCUGGAGGCAACCUAAUUCAUCCUGCAUAUGACAUCAUAAACAUCAUCGGAAAUGGCAUGCGGACCAUUGGUUUUUGGUCAAAUUAUUCUGGCUUGUUGUCGACUGUCUCUCCAGAGGCUCUAUAUUCAAAGCCUCCUAAUAUUUCUCUCGCUGAUCAGCAUCUCUAUGAUGUUAUUUGGCCUGGGGAGACUGCACAGAGGCCUCGAGGAUGGGUUUUUCCUUCUAAUGCCAAGCAGUUGAAAAUUGGUGUUCCCAACAGAUUUAGUUUCAAAGAGUUUGUCACGAAAGACAAUUCUACUGGGUCAAUGAAGGGUUAUUGCAUCGAUGUCUUUACUCAGGCAUUGGCUUUGCUUCCUUAUCCUGUUAGUUACAAGUUUGUACCUUUUGGGAAUGGUACUGAAAAUCCUAAUUAUGACAAACUCGUACAGAUGAUUGAAUCAAAUGUAAGUAUGGAAUGCCUUUUUUCUUCCUCUAACCAUUUCAUCAUCUUUAUCGAAAAAACCAUUUCAUCAUACCAUGCUGACCAGGGGGGGUCUUAUCCUGCAGGAAUUCGAUGCCGCUAUAGGGGAUAUCGCAAUUACAAUGAGGCGGACAGUAACUUUAGAUUUCACCCAGCCAUUCAUUGAAACAGGCUUAGUUAUCUUGGCUCCGGUUAAACAGCAUAUAACAUCGUCCUGGGCAUUCUUGCAGCCAUUUACUUUGCAGAUGUGGUGUGUUACAGGGUCGUACUUCCUUAUUGUGGGUGUGGUUGUUUGGGUUCUUGAACAUCGGAUCAAUGAUGAUUUCCGUGGUUCAGUACGUCAACAAAUAAUAACUAUUUUCUGGUAAGGAGCUGACUUGCACCUUUUGUAUCGUCUUCUUGUAGUAUAUCAUUCCUGUUUUCUUAGAAAUGUUGAUGUUUCGACAAGUCUUGUGCAAUAUGUUUGCAUACAGCAAGCACCUCAGAACAGUUGCCAGUUAACAUACCCAAAUGAAGCAUCUAGUGAUUACCAAGGAACUACUCCCUCUGUUCACUUUUAUAAGGCCUUGAAGACAUUUCAGACAAGGUGCAAAGUAGCUCAUUUUCAGUUGUCUGAAACGACUUAUAAAAGUGAGCGGAGGGAGUAUUAUCUUAAUGGUCUUGUGAAACGUAUAUAUGCACAGUAUGUAUUCGCUUAAUGAUAUUUAUGAUGCAUUGCUCAAUUUUUUUUUCUGUUUUCACAUACUUCUCCACAUGUAUUACAAAUGUUCUUAUCAUGGCGUGAUUCCUUGCUCUCAGAUGUGAUUAUAAUUUCUAUUUUUAUUGCCUGCAGGUUCAGCUUUUCGACGUUGUUCUUUGCACACAGUGAGUAAACCAACCUUCUCUAUUAUGUGUUUUUUUGGCCAUAGGUAACAUUUUGUUCUGAGGCAUGGCUCGUGAUUUCAUCUGUAUCUGCCCGCAGGAGAAAAUACUAUGAGCAGCUCAGGGCGUGGUGUCCUGAUCAUAUGGCUGUUUGUUGUUUUGAUAAUUGUAUCCAGCUACACCGCGAGUCUUACUUCCAUCCUGACCGUGCAACAACUUGAUACUUCUAUAAAAGGAAUCGAUGACCUGAAAAGUAGCAAUGAUCCUAUUGGUUUCCAAGUUGGUUCUUUUGCACAAGACUACAUGGUCAAGGAGCUCAACAUCUCACGUUCAAGGCUGAGAGCUCUCAGUUCACCACAAGAAUACGCUGAAGCCCUCAAGCUAGGCCCCAAGGAAGGAGGUGUUAUGGCCAUUGUUGACGAGCGCCCCUAUGUUGAACUGUUUUUGUCAACCUACUGCAAGAUUGCGGUAGCUGGCACAGAUUUCACCAGCAGAGGAUGGGGCUUUGUAAGUACAUUUGAACCAUAUUCUUUAAUGUAGAUUUGAAUAUGAGAACAAAAUAUUUUGAAGUUAAUAUCCUGGAAUAGCAGUUUUAACUUUGAAUAGUUGUGUCAACUAUCUAGUUUAUUAUGCAACUUCAUUUGCACCUGUCUGCGGCUGCAAGUCUAAAAUCUACACCUACUUUGUUUCACAAAUCAAAAUGUAGCGCCUUACAAGUUCAUUCUACCAGGCAUUUCCAAGGGACUCCCCUUUGCAAGUAGACCUCUCCACCGCAAUCCUGUCAUUGUCAGAGAAUGGGGAACUGCAGCGAAUCCAUGACAAGUGGCUCAAGACAGGGGAGUGCGCAACUGACAACAGCGAGUUCGUUGACUCGGACCAGCUCCGCCUUGAGAGCUUCCUUGGUCUGUUCCUAAUCUGUGGCGUUGCAUGCAUCCUCGCGUUGCUAAUCUACUUUGGUAUCAUGCUACGCAAAUACCUGAGGCAUGACCAGAGGAAGAGCCUGAGAAGAUUCAUCUCAUUCGUCCAUGGCAAGGAUCCGCCGAAGAACAACGAGAGGCGGUCCAUGAGCCUGCUUGGAAGCUCGACGCCGGCAACGCCGAUGAGCAGCCUUACUACCCUUGAGAUAGAAAGGCCGGCCAGGGAAGUCAGAAAUGGCAGCGUUAUUGAAAUGGAAAGCUAGUUCAUGUGUACAAAGCUAGUUUGUGCGUUAUCUCUCAAGGCAGCUGGGUAACUGUUUUGUGUGAAGCAACAAUACGGCCGACUAACCUAGGUCCCGGUAACCUAGGUUGGAAAGCCAAACACCAGGGAUGUAUAGAGGGGUUUCAAAUACUUCUUAAAGGAAGGAUUGAUAAUAAAAAUUAAAAAUAUCGAAAUGCUCCUCUCUCCCACAUAGAUCACUUUAUUCUUUGCAUGACUGUAUUUUUUGGGGAUAUCUUGCCACUUCAGAGUUGGCGUUUGGUGGUGUGAUCUGUGCAUGUGUUCAAUUGCGCGUAGUGUGGUUAUUCCAAGUUAGUACGAUUGUGUCACUUCAGUUUGAUAGUAUGCAGGGACAGAACCUGCCGGCUGCAGCUAGUACGGUUUGAUAUGUGACGAUGCCUGUAGAUUGUGGUACUAAACUUUGAUGCUUGUUCAUAAACUAGUUUAGAUGGAGCCACCCAAAAGAUAUGUUAGUUUUUCUUUUUUUGGCUUAGAUACUCUGUUUUGUCUGUGUUCUGUUCAGGGCAACUUUGAAGCUUAUCUUAGGGUGGUGGACAGAAAAAUGUUUAGCACCUUCCACAACUCAUAAGGAAGAUAAUUAAAAAGAGUGUAGGAAGAAAUAGUUAUGAUCUUAUUAGGAAAGCUAAGAAGAAAGCCAACACUAGGUUUUUGUUUUUCUAACUCUAUGGCUACACUGUAAAAUUAUUUAUAGAUUAGCUCCAAUUGAUGCAAAUCUUUUUGGUGGGUCUGGGAUGCGACUGAGUCAGAUCAAUCCCAAGUUACUCCCUCCGUCCCAUAAUAUAGGAUGUUAUUACAUCUAAUAUGUGAGCAUAUUAGGUGUAAUAACGUCUUAUAUUAUGGGACAGAGGGAGUAGCUACUUGUCUCUCUCAAAUUUUACUGGAACACCGAGGCACUGGUCUCAAAAGUGGAAAUUCUUGCAGGUUUGUAAUGCAUCUGUUUUGGUCCUUGCGUUCACCUCUGAGAAAUAUACCAUACCAAUCACAAUUUUUGUUAGUAAUGGAGUGGUAGGCAGAUGCAAAACCAAGCAAUCAUUUUCCUUCUAAAGACACUUGUAAAAGCAUCAUGAGUGUCUAUUCUAAUGGAGUGGUAUACAGACAUAUAAUUGUUGCAGGGAUGCUGCAACUUCCUGGAGCAAGGCCAUAGUGGUACUAGGUUUGUCUAUUCUAGUGAUACUGGGUUUUCUUUUCUGAUUUCUUCUAAUUUAAUAGUUAUGCCAGCUACAUUAUGAGUGCCAGCUCUGCAGUAACUUUUUUUGCGAGGCAUAACAACUGGAUUAUUGUUCAUACAGGGAAAACAGAAACGAGUAUGAGUGCCUUUUUAUUUAAUUUAGUCAUAAUAGUUGACUUAAAAUAUUGUAUAUUAAAUGUGGGUAGGAGAUUCCUGUAUUUUUAUUGAAAACGGAACAGCAACAAUAGGAAGAGUUUUUUUUUUACAUGAUGGAGCGAUUAUUUUCCUAAGAAAAAUAUAUAAUGUAUAUAUAUAUAUUUCUCAUUCUGUUCAAUACCUGGUUUAGGAAGAGCUCUUUUUCCUAUGCAAAAUGUAUAACAUGUAUGUUUAUAGUUCUGAUUGCAGGCAUAUUCGUCGCGCUCGCCCUGUGUCUUGACGUUCCGCGAGGGACCAAGCGGGAUACGCCACGGGUUUUGCUGUUACUAAGAUACUUCGAUAUCAGUAGCACCUGUUCUAUUUAUCUGUCUUUUUUUGUGUUUUGACGCACAGCCUGCUCUGUUAUACAUAGUUACUGGCAUGACUGGUUUCAUCGCUGUUCGCUCUGUGUGUAAUGGAGAAGUAGAGCCGAUAAGUAAGCCUGCUUACCUAGUCCCUUUUGUUUAGUCCUGGGAUGAGAGAAAAUAACUGACAAUCUGGACCAGCCUGCCUUUGAAGUGCGAAACUUGUUUGUCACUGACUGUUUUCGCGAUUGGCAGUUGCUGGAGUUCACUGAGUCGAUAGUCGGAGAGGACGCAGAACAGGAGAGCAAAAAGGUGGAUUAGGGCUUUCCCUAAGGUGUGCUUUCAGGUAUUUUCAGUUUUCUUGUUAAGGAAUCAAGUUAUGAUUUUGUCUGUCAAGACCCUAUAUUCAUGGAGUGAGACGUUGUUCUGAAUUCCGACGCACUCAGAAAGUUUCGUCGCGGAAUUUCUUCUGGAAAAUAUGUGUAUGUAUUCCAGUUGUAUCAUUAGUAACCCAAGGCCAUAUAUAUAGCACGAAGAAUGUUUUCUUGAUUCGUUCGGUCUGACAAGACAUACAUAUAUUCUGCCGUGAAGCGAAUUAGGUUCGUUGCUGACCGGCAAAGUAAGGGCCGUUUCUGCAUCUAUAUAGGCUAGCUAGGCAAUCUGCCCUCAAGGUUGGGGGGAGUUGGAGAUUGGGGUCUCGAAUUGAGCUUAUAUUAGAAUCCUUUGAUUGGCUCAGAGACAUGGGAAUUAAGGAGCCAAGGGGAAGAGGAAUUAAGAGGCCCAGCUCCCUCAGAUUUCUUCCCUGGACGACCCCUGGUAAUUGAACUAGGGAUCGGGAAUCGACAGAAAAAGAUACUACUGACGUGCUGUUAGUUGGGCACGUUUGUAAGGGAAAGGCAUCAUUAAAAGUUGCUUAUUCCUCUGCCUAUGCCCACCAACCAAAUAGUGGUAGUUAACUCGCUUUUAAAUUCUCAAUUCUAAUUGCCUUCACAUACCAAACAGAGGAAUGGGACUUUAAAAUCAAUGUCCAUGUCUAAUGCCUUGGCAAACUCCCAUUCUCUCUCCCUCUAUUGCUGCCGAACACGCUGUAAAAUGAAGUCAUUUCUGCUAAUCCAGAUGCUCCAGGCUGCCAAGAUAAUCGAUUCCAGUUCCAUACCUGAUUUAGCAACAACUCUUUUUCCUAUGCAAAAAGUAAAAUCUAUACCAUGCUUCUAGUUCCGACUGCAGGCAUGUUCGUCGCGCUCGCACCAAGAGCUGUCGCUUCAACAACGCUUUUCUGGGAUACGCCACAGGCCUGCCAGUAAAAAGAUGGUGGCGACGAACUGGUUUCGAGCCACACAGGUCAGUUCUGCCAUUACUAAUACAUCAUGGCAUCUUGUUGCUCUCGGUCGAUGCCCUGUCAUCUCUGGAAAAAAUAUCAGCAGCACCUGUUUUGUUUCCGAAUUGUUGUUGGGUUUUGAUGCGCAGCCUGCUCUGUUGUAGCACAUCGUUCCUGGCGUGUGGCUGGUUUUGUUGCCGUUCACUCUCCGUUGAAUGGAGAAGUGAAAGCGGGCAAGUAAGCCUGUAUACCUUUUCCCUUUUAUGUAAUUCUGUAGUCCAUUGAUUCUUGAUCUGACUGUGUAGACAAGGGAGAAUGUCACCGUACUGUUCGCUGGUGACUCGCCCAUGGCAAGUCACCUGAUCUCAAUCUCCCCCAACCCCACCUCACCACCCACAAUGAUAAUUUUGUUUUCGAGACAUCUAUAAUACGUAAAUAGUUCAUCCCUACUAUGUUAUUUCUCUUGACAUGCAGUCUAUCCACCUCAGCACAGCUGCCACAUCCGCAUUUUAUUAGUGGCUUACAUGUGGGACCCACCACAGGUUGACCAGGGUACAGAACAACCACAUCAUCAUUCGGUUACCAGCUGUAGAGACCCACCACUGCCUCCACAGUGUAAACCAACGGGGUACAGAACCUCAAAGAAGAACAGCGUACAGACAACCGUCCCUCUCCCUCGAUUCAGCCGAAUCCACGAGCCCCUUUCCCACUGUUACACUUUACACACCGGCGCGGCGGCCGGGAUCCCAUCUCACGCCCCUCCGGCAGGACCACCACCCGGGCUUCCCUCUGCAAUUUAGCCGAACCCAUUCACCCCCUUUUCCCCUGUGUACAGCCCGGCGCGGCGGCCGGGAUCCCAUCUCACGGCCCUCCGGCGGUACCACCGGCUCGGCUCCCCUCUGCUGUUCCCCGGGGACCGCUAGGGCUAUGAUCCCCUUCUACGUGUGGUGCCAUGGUCUGGAGCUAUUUCCGUGGUGCCAAAUCCAGACCGCGCACCUAUUUUAGCCACCGCUGCCCCCACGGGUCAGCGUUCUCUCAUCAUGAUCUCCCCCGGGUGAACGCCUCUCUCUUUUCUGGUGUUCUUGGUGUUCUUGGUUUUAAGUCAAGCUGCGUGCACAGUUGUACAUUACGGGGUUGAUUCACAUAUAUGUGUAUCCUUUUACAAGUCUGGCGUUUGUUUGCAACUAGAUAUAUAAACACCGUGUGUCCAUAUGGUUGGGGUACGGAUUUAGAGAACACCAUUGUUGUUAGAGAUUUCAUCAGAAUACAAUGUAUUGGGUUGUUGACAGAUAUCUUUUCAACAACAUUGGCCUGCUUAGUACAUGAUAUCUUUAGCGUAGCUUUAUUUAUCUGAUUUUUUUUCCUGAUUGGCAAAUUUGAUAACUAAAAAUCUCUUUUUCAUCAGGUCACUGCGGAAGAUUAUAAUUGUUUCUAAUCCCGCUCUCUAUAUACUCCCAAGGUAUGACCUUUUGAACUAUUGUGUAGUUUCGUUUCAGCAGUAAAAGUUCAGAAACCCCAAUUUAGGGCCUGUUCGUAUUCACUCCACUCCGUCAGAUCCUUAGCUCCACUCCCAGCUCCUAGGUUGCUAGCUCCACAGGGCAAACGAGGAGCAGACAACUUGUUCGGCAACUAACUCCACUCUGCACUCUGGAUUACAGGCCCCCCACAACACAUCAAGCUGGUUUGAUACUGGUCAGUACGUGGAUCACUUGUUGUGCCAAUGAUGCAACACAGUGCAGAAAAAAUGCACAAAUAUGCUGAGUUUACUGAAAAUAAUGCUGAAGUUUCACACAUAAUUUUUUUGUGCAAAAAUUCACUUUAUCGCACAAGAACGAUUCAGCAUGAGUUUGCUGAAAUUACAUGAUUUUAGCAACAUAGACAAAUAGGAUUUUUCAUAAGAUAAACACAAACAAAGGCAGCAUAAACACAUGUACUUUGUAGACAUCACUCUAGUCCAGUGGAGGUCCUGCAGAAACAAUUUUCAACACAUGAAAACCUUUAUGCAAUGCUGGUGAUUGCUUGAAUAGAACCAAAAACAUAUAUACUCUGCUUCGGAUGGUUUCACCUACAAAAUUACGAAAUUUGUUAAUAGGUACAGAUACAUAUCAAUUGUGAAAGAAGCAAAUCAUGUUGUGAUUGAACUAGCUAAGAACAUCUUCUGGAUUCUAGACUUAUGCAUCUUGCUACAAGGAAAUAAAUGACAAGUAAUAUUGUGACUAAUAUUUCAGCUACUGACAAAGACAGUGAACAGUUUCGACAUGUUUGGAGACAACAUUCACUUGUUUAACUUUACGACCAGUCAUCUAUGAGAAAGCAUGAAUUUAUCAAGCAAGGUAAAAACUAAAGAAUUGUAGCAAAUAAAAACACAUGAAUGCUGUAGAAACUAGUAUACUCACAUUUAUAGCAGAACUGGAAGUCACCAACCAAGAGCAAUAUCAGUUGCUAGUCUAUUACGGAACCGGUCCAUGUCUUUAUCACUAGUCUCCGAGGUUGACGCAUCCGAUGCAUUCGGAGGGAUGGCAUACCGUUGAUACCUUGAAGGGAUAGUUGGGACAUAGUUGGGAUCUCUGUCGACUCGAAGAAAGUGAAGAUCCCCCUUAUCAUGAUAUCGAACGUAGUUGUGGAGGGCCAUAGUUGCAGCCACUAUCAUCUUUUGAGUUUCAACUGAAUAAUUGGGCAUCUUUAGUAGAAUCUGCCACUUCAUUUUCCACACACCAAACGCUCUCUCGAUCACAUUACGCUUGGAUGAGUGUAUCUCGUUAAAUUUCUCCUUAGGUGUUCUUGGCGCCACACCUCGUUGAAAAUCAGGCACGUGGUACCUUUCCCCCUUGUAAGGUGCGAGAUAUCCAGGUCUAUUAGGAUAGCCCGCGUCCACAAGAUAGUACUUACCUACAAACAACAAGCAGAUUGCAUGUAAGGCCUAUGAUUUGUUUACAGAAUUUAAAUAAAAGAAAUUAUUAUAGGAACUACUAACCCUUUGGAGGAUGAGGGAAGGUAUCUUUGUCAGCUUCAAUUGCAUGAUACAAGACACCGGUAUCAUGCAUAGAGCCGGGUUGACCAACUGAAGUGUACAUGAAAUGCAUGUCAAAAUCACAUAUUGCCAGAACAUUCUGUGUUGUUGAUCCUGACCUUCCAAUGUAUCUAACUUCAUCGCCAGCAGGAAUGGUAGCUCUGACGUGAGUACCAUCUAGUGCGCCGAUGCGGUCCUUAAGAUGUGGAUAAGCCCUUCUAUCCUUUUGAAUCCUUGGGUGCACACUACUAAAGUUUGGGUCCUUAGGUUUCAGGUAAUCUGCUGCCAUCUUAAUCACACAGAGUAAAACCUCAUGAAACUUCCGGUGGACUGUAUCUCCUGAGUGCUUGAAACGAUUUUGUGUUCUCCUAUUAGACUCGCAACCCCCUAAAGUCCACAAGAACAUUGCAAGCGCCUCAUAACUGCUCACGAAACAGGUUGAUUUGAAGCCAUACCUUUUGACCAACAAGUCAUGCAAUUGAAAGAAGAGGCGUGCGUUCAUCCUCAACAUGGUAUAUGUUUCUCCAGGUGUUGACACUGUCUCUUGCAGCCAUCCGAACCCACUAAGAAUAGAAUUCCUUGGGUCUGCCUUGAUCAAAUAGUUGUCACAGUACUUCCCUGCAAGUGUUGAUGCACUGGCAUAGAUGUUGGACAUUGAUUGGACAUGGUGGCAUACCCUCUUCUUCCUUUCUUCAUAACUAUCACUAUCAUUGUCACUAUCCGAUGACAUCUGAACAUACACAAGUAACAACAAUUAGUACUUAAUUAUCAACCAGAUUAGUCAUAGCAGAAAGAUAAGUAAGAAUCAUAUGUAACAUUAAAGACAAGUCAUAUGUAACAACAUUUAUCAUGUAACCAUCAGCAAGAUGAGUCAUAGCAGUAAUAUAAGUAAAAUUAUACAUUAAUUGCAAGCAUUACAAUUUAACACAUAUCGAUGAACAAUCAUCAACCAUGCUCCUAGUUACAUACCAGCAAAGACCAUGGUGAAAAAGAAUCAGCACAGCUACUGUAGUACAAACAAAUAAUAAUGUCUUAAGAAAAUCCUGAAACAAAUAAUAAUUUCUUAAGCAAUCUCAAUACUAACAUAUUUCAAAGACAAGUAAUAUUGACUCAACUGCACUAGCUAGAGUUUAUGAGCAUCGGAGCAGAUAUCAUAUCCUAUUCUCUCGCUAAAGGAAAAAUAAUAGUUACAGGUUAUAGGCAGAGAAGGGGUUCACUAGCUAGUUCACUCCAUCCAUGUCAAUCAAGGCAAAUAAAAGAAACAGAUGCAAUACGUAUAUGUUUGCAACAUCCAUGAUAAUCAUGUAGUGUGUAUUUGUUAUCUCUGAAGAAAAGGAAACUCUAUCUGUCUCUAUGCACUCUGUCGCUCAUCUCCUUUCUAUACCAACUCCCCUAAUUCAUCCCCUUCCUCUCAAUUUCCUCACAUAAUCCUUGCAGGAAUUAUAGACAUGUUGUACUACUACUUACUGGAAUCAAGAACCAAGAAUCAAGAACACCUGGAACUAUUCAGGAAUAUGAAUCAAGAACAGUAGAGGAACAAGGGUGAAGAGGAGAUAUGGAUCUCACCUUGAUGGAUGUGAUGUAGGCGUGGAUGCCGACCUUGCAAACGACGAAUCCGAGCUGCCGGGGACGAGGACGAGGCCCUGGUGAUCUCAGCCGCCAGAGGUCCACUCAAACCGUAUGCCCUCAAAGUGGUUGCCGAACAGAAAAGCCGCCUUGGAUGAGGAGGGGGGCGAGGAGAUGGCGAGGUCGCAGGGGCAUGGAUUUGGCCGAAGGGGAGCUGGGGAUCCGCGGCGGCGGGGUGGCGGCGGGCGGCGGCGCAGCGCUAGGGUUCCAUGGUCACGGGAGGACAGGGGAGUCGCUGCACGGGGGAGAGAGAAAAGGAUCGAGUGAAGCGGUAAGUUGUGCGGGGAGUGGCACGCGGAGCUCGGUUUCGCUGACUCCGCUGAAUUGAACUACGGUCUUGUCCGCUCCGCUCUUCCUACUUCGUGGAGUCGGACCGUUCGGCACUGCUCUGUCCGCUCCGGGAGCAGAGUCGGGGAGCGGAGUGAAUCCGAACACGCCCUUAGUUAAAAAAAAGUUCUAAACUCUCAAAUAGCCUGCGAGCAGAAUGUUGCAGGCUUUGUCCGGCGUUGCCAGAUACAUGUUGUGAGUGGUAUCUGUUUCCUUGACUACAAAUUCAGAGUUCAUUUGAAUUCUUGCCACCGGUCUUUGUGUUAGAGCCAACAUCACUGCAUCUGUGGGCGACAGCACACACCACUUGCAGUUGCUACCUUCUCUCUUUCAAGCUCGGCAUCAGUAGUGUGCCUUCCUGGUCCAACAACUGGUGUUUUCUCUCUGAUGACUCUCCAAUCUGCAUAUUGGAUUUUGUUCCCUGCUCGUGCUAAACAAAGAGUGGCCCUUGGACCAUUGCCUGCCUGACAUGGAUGUACCCCCGUUUUAAUCUGAAGAAUUCAGUAUUGGUGUUUAAUUCUGUAAAUUUUUAUUUUACAUUUUUUUGAUCCAAACUUGCUAGGUUUCCUGACGAUGUGUGGUAAGACGUCUUUUAUCAAGCCAUUUUGGAAUUCUUAAGAAGGUAAGGAUGUUUCUCUCUUUUGUAACAUUUAGAAUAUUUUUCAGCUAGUUGUAGCUAUUUUUACUUGCUUUACCCAGUUAUUUUUCUGCAAUGAUUGGCCAUAUUAAUUCCCUCUAUCUAAUUCCGUCAACUAGAUCAUGCGCGGGUUCGAACAGAUUUAUGAAAUUGCUAUUUUUUUCUGAUAGUAACUCGGGUAUAACACCUAUUGUAGUACGGUUAUGUUAUAGUAGAUAUAGGCCCUGUUUGGUUCAGCUUUUAUCGACGGAUUCCGCUGUCGCGCAGCAGAAUCUGAACCAAAGGGCGAACCCAGCAAAAUCCGAUUCCAGAAAUCCGCGGCCAAAAUCUGAACCAAAAGCGGAAGCAACCCAGGACGUGCUUUCCAAAAUCUGAUUCCGCUGCGGGCCAAAAUCUGAAAAAGCUGUAUCAGCUGGUUUGCCAAAUGACCCACAUCUUUUUCACAUCAGAUUUUCCACAACUAUUUUUCCACAGCAGAUUUUUCACAGCUGCUUUUAGAAAUCCACAACCGAACCAAACAGGGCCAUAAGGAGAAGUUGUUUGAUUUCAUGUGGUGACCCCCCUUUGCCCAAAAAUUACUGAUAGCAUUUUGUUUUUUGUUUGUUUCAUAUGGCAUCAUUCUAUUAUUUCCGGCAGUAUUUAGACUAAAUUGGAGAGGGAGAACAAACUUGAUACACUAAGCAAGCAAUGUCGGUCAUCUGAGGGCUUGGGCGCCUGUUGUUCCAAGUUCGCGAGGUACUAAGAGCAUCUCCAGCCGUUGGCCCCCCUAGGACGCGUAAAAAUCGCCCCCCGGGGGCGAGCCGGCGACACAAUCGGCGCUGGGGGCGGUUUUGCGCCCAGUCAUCGCCCCCAGGUGCCGAAAUUGGCCCACUUUUCAGCCCCAUUUCGGCGAAUAAAGGGCCCAUAUGGGCGAGAAUAGGCCCAUAUUCGGCGUGGUUCGCCGUGGCUCGGCGUUCAAUUAUCAAUGUAAUUUUUUUCUUAUAACAUAUUUCAUCACAGAAAAAUCAAAUACUUCAACAAAACAGUACAACAACAAAUAGUUCAAUACAAAUUAUAUAGUUCAACAAAUAAAAACUCAUAUUUCAUCACACGUCGCGCCCGGCGUCCCCCUUGAGCCUCCAUAGGUGCUCAAUCAGAUCUUUCUGCAGUUGAUGAUGCACCUGUGGGUCUCGGAUCUCCUGACGCAUACUGAGAUAGGGAGUCCAGGUUGCCGGUAGCUGGUGAUCAACUUCGGCUAGAGGACCCUGCCUGUAGUAUGGUUCAGUGUCUAACACUGGGUCUUCUUGCUCGCUCUCGAUGAUAAUGUUGUGCAAGAUGAUACAGCAAGUCAUAAUCUCCCACAUUUGAUCUUUCGACCAGGUUUGAGCGGGGUACCGGACAACAGCAAAUCGAGAUUGGAGCACACCAAAUGCCCGCUCGACAUCUUUCCUGCAAGCCUCCUGAAUCUUCGCAAACCAGGCGUUCUUGCCUCCUGGCACAGGGUUUGAGAUCGUCUUCACAAAUGUCGACCAUCUUGGAUAGAUGCCAUCAGCUAGAUAGUACCCCUUGUUGUAGUGCCGCCCAUUGGUCUCGAAGUUCACCGGAGGAGAAUGACCUUCAACAAGCUUGGCAAAGACAGGAGAGCACUGCAGCACGUUGAUGUCAUUGUGAGUUCCUGGCAUACCAAAGAAGGAGUGCCAAAUCCAGAGGUCCUGUGUGGCCACCGCCUCAAGUACCACACUGCAACCGCCUUUGGCGCCUUUGUACAUCCCCUGCCAAGCAAAUGGGCAAUUCUUCCAUUUCCAAUGCAUGCAGUCGAUGCUUCCAAGCAUCCCAGGAAAUCCUCUUGCUGCAUUUUGUGCUAGGAUCCGAGCAGUGUCUUCCGCAUUGGGUGUUCUCAAGUAUUGCGGUCCAAACACAGCCACCACUACCCGACAGAACUUGUAGAAGCAUUCUAUGCUGGUGGACUCGGCCAUGCACCCAUAGUCGUCGAGUGAAUCACCGGGAGCUCCGUAUGCAAGCAUCCUCAUCGCUGUCGUGCACUUCUGGAUCGAGGUGAAUCCAAGUUUGCCGGUGCAAUCCAUCUUGCACUUGAAGUAGUUGUCUAACUCCCGGAUGGAAUUCACAAUCCUGAGGAAGAGCUUUCGGCUCAUUCGAUAACGGCGCCGAAAUGUUUUGUCGCCGUGAAGUGGAGCAUCGGCGAAGUAGUCGGAGUAGAGCAUGCAGUAGCCUUCGAGACGAUGCCGGUUUUUUGCUUUCACCCGCCCCGGCGCCGAGCCACCUCGCCGCGGCUUUUCAUUGCUCACCAGCAGCUGGGCGAGGGCGGCGAGCACCAUCAGAUGCUCUUCUUCCUGGACGUCGGCCUCGGCUUCCUCCUCCAGCAACCCGGCGAGCGCUUCCUCGUCAUUCGAGUCCAUCGCCGAGGCAGACAAAUCGCCGAACACCUUGCGCUCAGUGGGCGUGCACCCGCCGCUAAACUGCCCCUCUGCGGCCGGAAACGCCCAGCUGCUGUUGGAGGGGCUGCCGCGACAAACCUCUGCUAUUUUUCCGGCGGGGAAUGGCUAUCUAGCGGUGAAGGGCGGCGGGCGGCGCCGGGAUAUAGCUAGUGGCGGCCGAGGGCGCGGGGGGUGGAAGGCGAGUUGGGGAAGAAAAUCUUGACUUUUCACCUGAGGGUGUGGGCCAGCAGCGCUUUUCCCUUGCGCCGGAGCCCCCGAUCGCCCCCCAGUGCGCCGGGUUCGGCCUGCGCGCGCCGGGCGGAAAAAAGGGCCGAACCGGCGCUUUUCGUCGUCCUGGGGGCGCGACCAGGGCGUUUUUUUGGCGCCGACGCCGAAAAAGUGGCCUGGGGGGCCUGUUGGGGGUGCAGCUGGAGAUGCUCUAACUGUACUUUGAGGAAUAUCAUUUAGUGUCUGCCAAAGUCUAUUGAUGCGUGUACAGAAUAUCAACAAACGUAACAUACUCAUUCAUUGUAAUGUAAUACAAGAAUAUUUGAAUCUAUUGUAUCAAAAUGUGAUCUAUACAGUAACAAGUUGUGCGAAAAUCUAAAUGGUCAAGAUAUUUUUUUUUUGCGAGUAAUCUGAAUGAUCGAGAUGAUUGCUAUAUCUCUCUUUUUCACGGGCUGAGACUGCUGUGUCAGCUGGACUUUCUCUCAUCCCAAUGCUUGAGCGGACGACCAUGAUUUAGGGUGCAGCUGAGUGUGGGCACCAAAAUGCCCGUCCCCUUAAAAUUAUGCUAUUUAUAUCACCUUCCGUGAUGUUGUCUGUGAUAUUGGGUUGUUCUCAUCUAACACAAUUUUUCAGCAUAUCAUCGUGGUUCAUUAAUUCUCGACAUUUCUAUGAAAAAUCGUUUCUAGAUGAUGCAAAAGUUCACAUGUCUUUAUAUUAAUCAUGUGUACUUGGAAACAGGGUUUAGUUGUUCGUAUUGUCAUGGACUUUCAACAAUUAUCUAUAGUUUUCCAACUGAGGUUUCGAGCAUUUUCUUAUAAUUUAACAUGUGUUCCCACAGCAACGCCCGGGGUGUCAUCUAGUUAACUUGAAUGGCUGGUAGCGUUUUCUAGUACAAUCCAUUCACGGUUUGUCGAUGCAGAGUAUUCAUGAAUGAUUAACCAGUGCUCGGAUUAAGUUCAUGUAACUUUUUAUUUGAAAUAGGCAGACAACUUUCUUGAUGAUAUUUUUACUUCACACGGAAGGGGGCAUGUGUCAGUGAGCAUUACUGUUGUGCAUCUCUCACAGAACAAACCUACAUUUUAAGUCAAAUUCUGAAGAAAAAAAUCUGCACACAAACAUAGAGACGUACUAGCUAAACCCGCGCGGCGACACGCCGCGCUUGUUGAUUAAUCACGACUGUAUAUGUCGACUACGGGCUAAGCAGUAGAUUAAUGAAUAAUCAUCUGUUGUUAAUUAAAGAGAUCCAGAACAAUACAUAAAAAGGCCGAAGAUGACAAAUAACUGAAUUUAUUAUCGCCAUGCAAAUGCAUGGAUACAAACAGAACGGUUAACAUUGACAUAUCUCUAAGGAAAACUAUUUAUUGAAACCAUAUAGAGCUCACUCUAUGCAGUAAACAGUAUACAGUGCUAUUAUUUUACAAAACAACAACUAAACUUUUUUUGUAAGUUCUUUAUUAUCUGACAUACAAACAUUAAUAAGACUUGCUUCAUUUACAUGAAACAACAAAGGGUCUCGAGGAAUAACAUAUGUAGCUUAGCUUGUGCAUGAUGAGCAGCAAUACACUCCAGCUGCAUGAAGUCAUGUAGUCUCUUGGGUAGCACUAAAGCUAACACAUUGCACUUGUGGAAAGGAGACCGUAGGCAGGUCAUGGCGUUUAUGCUGAGCUUGUGCAAGAUGUGCUCAAGGUACGUACGUGGGGUUGUUGCCAACGGGUAGCUGAAUACCCCAUUACCAUUCUCACAGAACCUGGACGAUCACACCUCCUAAUCGUACACCUACACGAAACACACGGGGAAUAAGAAUUAAGAAUCAAGAGAAAGAUGUCCAAGCAAGCAACCAUGCAGGCAACAGGUGGCCAUUUCAUGUAAAAUCCAUGCACACGUAGUCACAUCGCCUGCCAAUCCCAUGCACACAGCCACAUCAGCCCGAUGAUAGCCCACCUCUAAAAAAAAGCUGCAUCGGCCUGAGCCCCCCUCUAAAAAAAGAAAACGGCAUCGUCCCGACAACCAUGCCCCACCGCUGCAUGCGGCUACUGAUUCCGGACCAAACAAUAUAUGGUGUAAACAAUCAGGGGUGAACAUUUUUGAGAAUUUUAAAUAUUGUAAGGGAAAAUAUUUUAUUCAAGAUAUUUUUUCCUAAAAAAAAUUUAUGUUUUUGAUUAUAGUUUAUAGACGACUAUGCUUCUAUUUGGAGAAAAAAGGUUUGAAAAGGGGUUGUGCACGAUAAGAGUAAAAUUAUUUUUUGGAGAGAACGCCCGUACUUCCAACUAACCAUGCAAGCAAAAAACAAUACGUACGACAAGGUUAUGACAGUACCCCAGACCUCUAUGUAAAGCUAGAUGGAACCAUCUGUAAAAAUCAAUCACAGUUGACGGACAUUCAACAUUGAAUAUAAAUGAGUCCCAAGCCUGAGAGAUUGAAGUUCGAUAUCAAAAAUUAUUAUAUACCAGGAAAAAGAAAAAUAGAUAAACCAACAAAUUACCCAGAGCUUAGAAGAUAACCGCUACACUUCCACAAUUCAUGCAGCAUCAGCACGCUGAAGAUCUUUUUUUUUUAAGCUAGCACGCUGAAUAUCUGGCGUAAGAAGAAGUGAUUAACAAAGCCAAGCAGCCAGACCUCUCCGUUCGCCAAAACUGUGAGGAAACCAGAAAAUGAAACUACCUGCAGUGAAAAGAGCUGUGCUGCUGGCGACAACUGCAAAGGUGUAACGCGAACUUCAUGUGCACCCGCUCUAACCCAGGACCUAGAGGGGAUGGAAGUCUCGGGCUCUGGUGACCCUGGGGACGCGCCCCCGCCCCCGGCGGGCGCCGCGGCCGGCGUUUCCUCCCCGCCCGGCUCCUCGUCGGACCCUCGCCCGGCUUCCCCGCCUCCUGCGUCGCCUGCCUCCUCGCCGCUCCCGUCCUCCCUCGAGGUGUUGCCGCGGAUCCGUUGGGCGGACCUCGCCGAGGAGGACGAACCCCCCUGGCCGACUGCCCUGGCCCCUCCCGUCCCCCCCGCCCCCCUCCCCCCGUUCGUGCGUCGCCGACCAGCGUGGCCGCUGGCUCAGCCUCCCAUUGCGGAGGUUCUGCCUCCGGCUCGCGGCGGCGCGCGCAGAACCGGCCAAUGAGCUCUGCUCGUCCGCCUCGGGGCCAAGGCGCAGCCUUGCGGGGCUCGGGAGGCCGCCGACGCUGCUCCUGGGGAGUGGCGGGCCGGUCUGACUUGGUUUCGGCUCGGUCCUCCUGGUGGGCGUCCACGGCGUCCCCUCCUCGGCUGACGCCGGCGACUCCCUCGGCUCUUCCCACCUCCCCGCCCGCCGGCGUGAUAGUGCCCCGCUGCUCCCCGUUCCGACCCUUCAUCGCCGCGUUUGGCUCCUUCGCGCAUCAGUUCCGUCCUCUCUCCCUCCCUCGUCGCCCUUGGCCGGCGGCCUCACCCCCCUUGCCCCGGCAACGGUGGCGGCGGCGGCUCCUCCCUGCGAAGGGGAAACCCUUCCGCGCGGUGCCCCGCUCCCUGUCCUGGGCCGUGCCCCUUUGGGCUGCGAGGAGGUGGCCCGCUCGCGCCGGGUAGCUGGCCUGGCCCUCCGGGCUCAUAGGCCUCUUCCCCAGGCCGCGGCAGCUGGGCCUUCGAUCCUUGGGCCGGCUCCGUGCCCUAAGCCCAGUCAGCCCCCUCGAUCGAUCUGGCUACCCUACGGCCUGCCGCGCCCCUCGUCCCCCCCCACCCUGCCGCCAUGGUCUCCCCCUCUCCCGAAGAGAUCUCCAGUUCCUCCCCAUCCCCGCCCCGCUCCACCCGCCUCCUCGUCCUCCCUCGCCGGCGACCGCCGGCUCGGAUUCCUCCCUGUCCGCUGGCUCCGCCCAUGACGCGGGAGUGGGAUGACGGCGUGGAUCGCCGCAAGCGGCGCUACGACGACCGCCGCGACCCCCCUCGUCCCUCCCCGGACGCCGCCCGUCGCGAGGAUGAGCUGCGGCGCGAGCUCCGGGACCGGGAGAGCCGCCGCUCGCAGGGCUUCGACGACCGUCGCGACCACCGCCGCUCCCCGGGCCGCUCCGAUGGGCGUGCUCGGUCCUGCUCCCCUCCGCCGGCGGCGGGCAACUGGCGCUCCUCGCGGCGGCGCUCUCCUUCCCCGCCCCGAUGCCGGGAGCGCAGCCCAUCCCCUCCCCGCCCGGCCCGUCCUCUCUCCCCGCGUGCGCCUCCCCAACCCGCUGCUGCCCCGGCCAGGAAGUACGUCCCGCCGCACGCCGCAAACUCCUCUGGUCCCCCUGUCGCCGGUGGUGUUGGGGGUGGCCAGGCUCGCGGUCGCCCGGGUGCGGCCAAAAAGAAGAAGCGGCGCGGGCAGGCUCGGGCAAACCAACAGGCAGCCCCUGUGCCGGCCUCCGGCCGCUCGGCUGUGUCUGGCCCAGUCUCUGGCCGCCCCAGUCCGCCGUGCUUCAACUACGGCAUUGCGGGUCAUUCCCAGGUCAACUGUGUCAACCCCCCAUGUGCUACAUUUGCAAGGAUCCCUCCCACCCCGCGCUGUUGUGCCCGGACCAGCCUAUCGACGAGGAGUUGAUGAUGUACGGCCAUGGGAUCGAGGGGCCGGGGUUCUUCCACAUCGAGCUCCCGGACGUCCCCUCCCCCUCCCUCCAGGCGCUCGUCACGAUGAUUGAUGGUGUCGCCUCCCCCGAGAUGAUUGAGGUUGAGCUCAACCACCUCUAUCGUCGCCAAUGGGACUGGCAGGCCACCCUCACCACUAAUGGCGCUUUCUCGGUGGUCUUCCCCGACGCUCUCAGCCACGGCUACGCCACGCGCAGUGAUCAGAUCACUCUCGCCCUCAACAAGUUGGUCGUCGACAUCUCCGAGCCGAUCCUCGACCCCAAGGCCGUCGCGGUCCUUGACACUGCUUGGAUCCUGGUCGCCGGGCUUCCUGACAUUGCCCGGUCUGAGCGAGUGAUCCGCAAUAUGUCUCGGAUCCUUGGCAAGGUGGUGGUGGUCGACGAGCUAUCCCCCCGCAAGGAGGAGGUGCGCGUCAAAGUCAAGUGCCUCGACUCCUCUAAGCUGCGCGCCACCAUCCGAGUCUUCUUCAACGACCAAGGCUUUGAUCUCCGCAUCGCUCCCGAGCCGCCCAACCAUGUGGGUCGGCCCCGCUUCUUCGACGACGCCCCCCCGGCGCUCCUCCUGGGUCCCAGGAUGACUACCGCGGUCGUCAUCACCCUCGGUCGCACCACUCCGAUGAUGAGGAGGGAUCUGAGGACAGCCCUUCCCGCUCCCCUUCGCCACCUCGCCCGGUCCCGUCCUCGAGCCGUGGGGGGCAGCAAGCUGGGCUCGCUGCGCCUCCUCCUUCUCCGGUUGCAGCCGCCUCCGAGGGGAGUGAUGCCUCCGACAUCAGCCUCAUCGUCACCCCGGCCUCCUCUCCCCGCUCCCCCGACACGCUCCCUGCCGUGACGAUCCUGGACGUGUAGCCGACCGCCUCCGUCCUGGCCUCCCCUACGGCUGGGACCCCUGUCGCGGCGCGCGCCUCCCCGGCCACCUUCUCACCGACGCUCCAGGGUGCCGCGCCACUCCUCCCCAGCUCGCCUCCCCUAGUGAUGGCCCCCGAGGAGCCCCCACCCCCACGGCAGCCGCUCCCUCCCCGUCGCCGCUGCCGGCGGUAACUGGGGUUCCUCCCGCCCCUGAUCCCGCGUCGCCAGCUCCUGCUUCAUCCCCCCGACGCCUCGACUGCUCCCAGCCGCUUCUCCUCCUCGCGGGUACGGCGGACCCCGGCGGGGAGGGCGAGACUCGGGUGACCACCCCCGUGGCUUCCCAGCCACCUCCCUCACGGUCCGCGGCCUACUCCCGCCGUGGUCGGUCCUCCUCCACCCCGGUGACGGCCUCGCGAUGGAGUGUCAGGCUUGAGGCCGCCUGGCCGGACGGUAGCCCUGCUCUGCCCAUCCCCGAGCCGGCGGAGCUUCGGGCCGCUGCCCGGAACCUGGAGUCAGGUACGCCAGUCGCCCCCCCUUCAACUUCUACUUGCUCAUUCUUUGCGCUCGAAGCGGUUCCUCUAGGUCACCUUGCGAAGGUUGUGUCAGACUCCGUGAUUGUUUUCAGGGGGGAAUCCGCUCCCCCCUUAGUGCAGAUUGCGGCCAUCCAGGCUCGCGAGAUCCUUGAUGGGAAGUUGGCGGAGGCCCGCCAGACCCUCCUCGCUCCCUCCAUCCCCUCGGGCCCUCCUCCGGUGGCUACCCCGUCACAACCCCGUAGGGCGGCUGGCCGCCCACCAGUGGUGGAGGCUGAGCCUCGGGGCCGCACCCACUCUCGCACUGCCGCUCUCCGCGCCCGAAGCGCCUCCCGCGUCCUGGGGUCAAGCAGCCCCCCAAUGGUUUCCUAAUGUGUGCCUUAUUCUGGAACAUCCGCGGGUUCGGCCAUGACGGCCGGCGCCGCCAACUCAUCGAGUACGUGCGCGAUGAGCAUAUUGACAUAGUGUCGAUCCAGGAAACCAUGCGCUCUGACUUCUCAUUGCCAGAGCUUGACCGGCUGAGCACCCACCUCUUUGCGUGGCACUGGCUCCCUUCUAGUGGGAACGCCAGCCAUUCGGGUGGCAUCCUUCUAAGUGUGAAGGAUGCCACCUUCGAGAUGGGGAGUAUGGACCGGGGCCAGUUCUUUGUUAGUAUGGAGCUCUAUGAACGAGCCCUGAACUUCAAAUGGGAGGUUAUCAUCGUCUAUGGCCCGGCUGACCACAGUAGAUCCGCGUCCUUCCUCGAGGAGCUUAACCGGAAGGGUCUCUGCGGCCUCCCUGCCGGUGGUUGUCGGAGGCGAUUUUAACCUCCUCUGAUUCGCGGAAGACAAGAGCAAUGACCAUGUCAACUAUGCACGUAUGCAGAUAUUUAAUGACUGCAUUGCCGAUCUUAGUCUUCGCGAAAUAGAUAGGAUCGGUGCCAGGUUCACCUGGACCAAUCGGCAAGCCUCCCCGACCCAGUCCGUCCUGGACCGGGUCCUAGUCUCCCCAGAAUGGGACCUCUGCUGCCCUCUGGCCUCUCUUCGGGCUAUCACUCGGAUUGGCUCCGACCACGUCCCUCUUCUCUUGUCCUCCUCCGAUGAGCGUCCUCUGAUCCCUCCCCGAUUUCGGUUUGAGACAUUCUGGUUGUUCCAAACUGGAUUCGUGGAGGCUGUUGGGGCUCGCUGGGUGGAGACCAGGACUCUUCCUCACCUCCGCCCCCCUCUGCUAUUGUCUCUUGGCACCUCUGUGCCAAACGCGGCCGACAGUUCAUGAAGGGAUGGGGUGCCAACCUGGGUCGCGACCUCCGCGAGCGAAAAAAGGCCUUGCUGACCGCCAUUCAGGCACUUGACCUCCGUGCUGACACGGUCGGCCUCUCCCCUGAUGAGUGGCUCUCUCGGUAUGACCUUAAAGACCAACUCUCCAUCAUCUACACGGACAAGGAAGCUUACUGGCAUUUGCGGGGUUCCUAGAAAUGGGUCCUGAAGGGCGACGCGAACACGGCCUACUUUCAGGCCAUAGCAAACGGCCGCCGUAGACGCAACACUACCCCCCUCCUCUGGGACGGUCUGUCCCUUCUGCAGUCCCCGAGCGACAUAGGACCCAUGUCGACGGGUUCUACCGAUCCCUUUUCUCCGCCUCUCCUAGGAGCGGCCAUUCUCUAGCCCUCGAUUGCUGGUCCGGCCGCCAGCUUGUCUCCGCUGCGGAGAAUGCCGCUCUCACGGCCCCAUUCUCGGAGGAUGAGGUCUGGGCGGCCAUUAGAGGCAUGAAUCCCUCCUCGGGCCCGGGUCCGGACGGCCUUCCGGUGAAAUUCUUCCAGACCUUCUGGAAUGUGAUUAAGCCGGAAAUCAUGGCCAUCUUUGACGAGUUCUAUGUUGGGACCAUCGACCUCGGGCGCCUCAACUAUGGGAUCAUCUCGCUCAUUCCCAAAGUGCCGGGGGCCUCCGACAUUCGCCAGUUUCGCCCGAUCACGGUGAGCAAUGUGAUCUUCCGGAUUCUGGCAAAGGGGUACGCCAAUAGGGUAACCCUGCUAGCAGACCUCAUUACCCACCCCAACCAGUCCGCCUUCGUGAAAGGGCGGUAUAUCCUGGAUGGGGUAUUAGUUCUCCAUGAAGUCCUCCAUGAGGUGUGGUCUAAACACCUCAAGGCGGUCUUCCUGAAAAUUGAAUUUCACAAGGCCUACGACACUGUUAGUUGGUCCUUCCUUCGGGAAGUUUUGCUCCGGAAGGGCUUCGAUGAUUGUUGGAUCACCCGGGUGAUGCAGAUGGUGUCCUGCGGGCGCACUGCCGUGAACAUCAAUGGGGAGAUUGGUCCUUACUUCCCCACCCUCUGUGGGGUUAGACAAGGCGAUCCUUUCUCUCCGUUCCUGUUCAACAUGGUGGUGGACGCGCUUGCCGCCAUCCUAGCUAGAUAAGGCCAAAACCGCUGGCCAUAUUCGUGGGAUUACCCCUCAUCUGGCGGGCGGCUCCGGGAUCUCCAUGCUCCAGUACGCCGAUGACACCAUCAUCAUGGUCGAGGGCUCGGACACGGACAUCGCUAACCUCAAGUUCCUUCUUCUCUGCUUCCAACAAAUGUCUGGCCUCAAGAUCAACUUCGACAAGAGUGAUGUGAUGGUUAUGGGCUACUCUCCGGCUGAAGCCCUUGACAUCGCCAACCGCCUCAAUUGCCGCCUCGGCUCCUUUCCCACGACUUACUUGGGAACCCCCAUCAGUGACUCUUGGCUCACUGUCGCGGACUUGCGCCCCACGAUCGCCAAGUUACAAACGCGCAUGGAGCCUUGGCAAGGCCGAUGGCUGUCAAAGGCGGCUCGGACGAUCCUCAUUAAUUCCUCCCUCACUAGCCUCCUCCUGUUUCUUAUGAGCUUCUACAGCCUCCAUGAGACCCUUCACCAUGAGAUCGCCAAAAUUCAAUCUCGUUUCUUCUGGGCGGGUGACAACAAUAAGCAGAAAUACCACAUGGUUAGCUGGACGGACAUCUGCAAGCCCUGUGAACAGGGAGGCCUCGGUAUCAUGUGCUCUAAACGCAUGAACAUCACCCUCCUCACCCGCUGGCUCUGGCACAUUUCGCAAGGACACCGUGGUCUCUGGCUUGACAUUAUCCGGAACAAGUACCUGCGCGGACAGCCCCUCGCCUUCUGUCAGAGAUCCGGCGGCUCCCAGUUUUGGCAAUCGGUUGUCCAACUGCUUCCUGUCCUUCGCAUCGGAACCUCCAUCGCGGUUGGAUCGGGUACAGCGACGCUGUUCUGGUUCGACCGGUGGGCGGGAGACUCCCCCUUUGCGGCCCGUUUCCCCGACCUCUUCUCCAUUGCUGUCGCCCCCUUAAUCUCCGUUGAGAGGGCCCUUAUUGACUUAGGGCGCCUCGCCUUCCGGAGGCCAUUUGGGCCCCCGGAAGCCGCCGCGGGGCUUCAGCUGCUUGAUUGCGUCGCUCUCCACGAGCCGGCGGUGGAUGCGGGCCCGGACGAGGUUCGGUGGCGUCUUGAGCCUUCGGGCCAAUUCUCCACCAAGUCCCUCUACUUGGCCAUUGCCCCCUCCUCCGCUCCUCCCCCCUCCCUGCGGUUUGGUCCAUCCGCUUGCCAUUGAAAAUUCGGAUAUUCAUGUGGCAAUGGAUCCGCGGUAGGAUUCCGUCUGGGGUGGAGGUCCGCAAACGCUAUGGCCCUGGGUCCGGCAUCUGCCCCCUGUGUGGUACCCCCGAAGAUUUGAAUCACAUCUUCUUCUCCUGUGUCUCAGCUCAAUUCAUGUGGAUCUCCUUUAGGGAGGCAGUGGGAGGCGAUUGGUGUCACACCAACUUCCCCGACCUCUUCGCCGAACUCCAAAACUCCCCUUCCCCCUCUCGCCACAUUAGGUGGCUCGAGAUCGGGGUUCUAGCGUGGACUCUUUGAACGAUUCGCAAUAAGCUUGUGAUCCAGCGUAUUCCUCUUCGACGGGCUACUGACGCUCUCUUCAAACUGUCUGGUUACUUGCAGCUUUGGCGGCCGCUUAGCUGCCCUCAGGACCGCGACGCCAUCACCGCCUUCAUCGCCGACCUUCGCUCGAUGGCCGUCCGUCUGUCGCCGCCGCCCCCUCCGCCACCCCCGGAGCCGGAUUAGACGCCUUGCCUCGGCCGUGUCCUUUUUGUUUAUUUUUGGCUUGUUGAGCUGUGCCCUCAGCAGAACCUUUGCACUUCUCGUUUUGUGACUUGGGUGUGUGUGUUCUGAACUAGUCCGUGUAUGUGUGCUCUUGGCGGUUAGCUUUAUAUAUAAAGCGGGGCGAAAGCCUUUUUCGGUAAAGGUGUAACGCAGGGCACAAGGUGCAGCGACAUGCGCCGGCAAAACAGCAGUCCCGACUAGCCGGAGCAGUCCGCCCCCGCACGUGCUGAGCACCACGGAUCACAAAUACAGAGUUGCCAGCCCGACAGCGCAUGAAGACUGGCAUCGGCGAUGUACACAUACAUUGUCUGGCCCGAAGCCCGUGUCCCCCGUCCGCUGUAGUGGUCGCCGCCACCGCCUCGGGGAAUCACCGAAGAGAUCAGGACACUGCUCCAUCGGUGAUCUGGCCGCUGGCGAGGAGCAUCUCCUAGGCGUGCUGUGGGCCGCCACCGCAGCAGUAGGAGGCCCUGCACUACAAUACAGCUACAUCUACAGGCCGUCUCUCGCCAGGAGCUACCGGACGCGUGCGCCGGCGUCCACAGAUCCGGGCCGCACGCCACUACGUCCAGCUCGUCCGAGUGCUACCACUACUAGGGGGAAAACCCUAGUAGUAGCGCGGGUUUAAUGCCCACUAGUAGCGCGGACAGCCGCGCUACCAAUAAGGCGCUGCAGUUAUUACUUAGCAGUAGCGCGUGCAACAAGCACUACUGCUAAGACACAUAGCGGCAUCGCUUGUUCUGUCCCGCGCUGCUGCUAAUCUAGCUAGUUGUAGCGUGUUUACUAUCCAUCGCUACUAGUACUCUUUUUUUUCAUUUUUAGUGUAUUUAUACGCCGUUAUACAAAUUUUGUACAAUACCAAUUAUGAGGUUUAUAUCAUUAUGUCCAUAACCGUGUGUCAAAUGAAGGUGGAGUAGGUUCAAGUGGAGGCAAUAUGUGGUGCAUGUCAAAAGUAUACUACUAAUCCAAACUUGAUCUAGUUUGGACUAGUAGUACUUUCGAUGUGCACCACAUGUUGCCUCCACUUGAAUCUAAUCCGCCAGCACAAGCUAUUUAAUCAUCAUCAUAGUCAUUACCACCAACAGUAUUUAUUUAAUCACCAUAGUCAUAGUGUAGCACAUCAUCAUCUUCAAACUCAUUCUAGCUAGCUAAUCACCACCAACACUAGAUGCGGUAGCUAUCUAAUCACCACCAACACUAGCAAAUAAUAAUUAUCAUAGUCAUUACCACCAACACUAGCUAUUUAAUCAUCAUACUCAUAGUGUAGCACAUCAUCAUCUUCAAACUCAUUUCUAGCUAGCUAAUCACUCCUGCUGCUCUCUCUCAGGUAAAAUAACAUAAAACAUGUGUAGCUCUCCUCCUUCAUCAAGUUGGAGCAUGCAGAUGAACCUGUCUCCUAAUCGUGGUCUACGCUUCUCAUUGCUGCCCCCUAGUACUUCUCUGCGCUCCUCCAUCACAAAUUUGGUCCAGUCUUUCACUAUUAAGACUUCCUCGCUCUUAGAAAUCCUGAAUGCACUAAAGUGCAUUGUAGGAUAUCUUGGCCGUAAGCUAACAAUACUCAUGGUACCAUUAGUCUCGAUCCCAUGAGGCACAACAUUCAUCGGGAGUCCCAGUUGAAGAACAUCGUAUAGUAACAUACUUAGCAAUGAAGUUUAGCUUAAAAAUAAUGUAUGCAAAAGAUGCACUGAGGACAAAUAGUAAAACUCUUACCAUCUUUCCUAAAUAGAUAUGACCGUAGUUCAUUACGAACACUAUUGGUCGCACGUUUUCAGUACUAACAUUUCUAAGUGCAGGAAGAAAAUUUGUCUUGACAGUAUCAAGAUCCUCAAGCAAUGAAACAUAAUGACUUAGCUCCUCGCAGUUUAGUUCAGCCCCGGGACAGUAGUAGGUCCUGUCUACCAAGCGCUGGACAUGUUUGCUUGAACCGAAAUAAGCUGACAAUAGAAAUUAGUUGUCAACUAUUUUUGAAUAAACAAUAUUAAAGACAUAAAUAUGGUUGAGAAACUCACAUAAUGGUAUAACUGGAGGCGCCUGCACAUCGACCCAGAUGUCGGUAUUACCUUCAAUAUCAUCUUCUGGAUGAAUAUCAAAGGUGAUAACCAUAUCAGGCUCAAAUGCAUAAGUCUUGCAUAGUGUUCGCCAAGUUUUGCAUCCAAAAUAGGUGUAGUCGUCUGCAUUGUAUAAUUUUACGUGGAAAAUAUAACCAUGCUCGGUCUUCAAGUAAACUUUCUUUACCUCCAUAGUACGACUGAAACCUAUCUUAUCCAAGACAAAAACUCUUGCAUGGCAGGGGAUACGCUAGUAGAAUAGUAAAAAAAAUUUAAAUUAUAAGUUGAAGGAAAUGAAGCAGAUGUCAUGCUUAAUUACGAAAAAAAACUUGUCGUUGUGACUUACUGUAUCCACUUCGAAGUUCACGUCCAGCUUGAUGCUGAAGCGCCAAUCAUCAUCUAGGAAGAUUCCGUCGCACAGGCCGCGCUCGUCUUCGCAGUAUUUGCAAAUACCGAAAUCCUUUUCGUUGUCAGACAUUUCCUAUGUUCAUAGUUGAAACAUUAAUUGAAAAUCGAUCGAAGACAACUCCAGGAUAGUCAAAAUAUCUUAUAGGAUCAUAUUGACAUGAGCAUUCAAUAAGCAAAACCAAAUCGUAAAAUAAAUAAGUAUUCAAAUUAGCAUGCAUUCAAUAAGCAAAAGUAAAUCAUCUCAUGCGUCCGUACAUCGUCGAAUAUUAUCACUAAUACAUCCCAAAUAGUAUCAUACAUAUAACAUCACUAAUACAGCUAAAACCCUAGCGCACGACGGGUAUCAGCGCGGGCGGUGGACACCCAAAGAGAAGGAACCAUCACAGGAUCAUAGCUCCAAUGAGAUCCCUGGAGAACCUGCCAGGUAUUGGAGAACCUGUGCUCCAACGCAACAAGUAGCGAUGGACGUGCGCGUCCUCCUCACUGACACGGUCAUGCACCACCUCCGCGGGGUCCUCGAGCCUCUGGACCGUCACUGGCCCACGCGACCGCCACCAAAGAAGGUUCGGGUCAACGACAGGCUGGCUCCUCACCAACCUGCGCCCCCUGGUAGGUAGCGCCUCCCAGUACCACCCCGGCGGAGCCCAGUCCCGGACAUGGCCCAUCUGGUGACGCAGGUGUCCUCCACCGACUCGACGACGAGGAUGCGGGAUAGGCAUCGUCGACGUCGAUGCGCGAAAAAUUGCUUUAACUAAAAAAAUAACAACAAAUGUGACAUGUUCAACUAGUUCUAUAAAUUCAACUAGUUCUUACGAUUAAAUCUAGUCAAUUAAUUCUAUACCUAAUAAAAUGAAUAAUGACAUAAAAAAGGCCUAUGCUUUGCAGGAACAUUGACUCCUUCCCGGUGCGGCAAAUCCCGGGCACUCGAUAUGUCCUAGUUUGUAGCACAAGUCAUGUCGAAAUUCACGAAAAAUUUCGGCAUGACUUUUGCUAAAAAGUGGACAAAUCGAGAACCUGAAAUUUGCCGGAACGGAAAUGAAUCAACAUUCCGGCAAAACAUAGGCCACUCGGCUUCAUUUCCUGAAAACAAUAAAGCCACUUGGGCACAAUCGAACCACUUCAAUAAUGGAAUAUGCAAAUGAACAUCAAUGACAUAUAUCAUAUAACAACAAUAUGCAAAUGAAAUUACUGUUUAGGCCUUUUCAUAAAAAUUUGCCCUAGCUAAUUUCCUAAAAAAAUUGCUAAUCAUUUUUCCUAAAUGCUAAAAAAUGCCUACUGCCCUAAACAAAUCUAGGGUUCAUAUGAACACCUAGGGUUCAUAUGAACAUCAACACAGCAUCAACACAUAUAUAAAUUGCCCUAGCAGAGCGAGAGGGGGGUAGGGGAGAGGAGAGGCAGAGCCUUACGGUGAUUGCGGCGAGGGAGGGGCAGGCGGCGUCGAGGUCGGGGUCGGGGCUCGGGCGCGCGGCGGAGGGCGGCGUCGAGGUCGGGGUCGGGGGCGGCGUCGAGGUCGGGGUCGGGGGCGGCGUUGAGGCGGGAGAGCGCGUGGGAGAGCGCACGGCGGCCGACGGGCGACGGCGGCGGCGACAGUGGAGGAGUUGCGAUUUGGGGGAAGUGGCCGUUGGGGAAAACGAAUCGAGCGGUUUAGUCAGAAGUAGCAGUAGCGCGUUCCAGGAAGUGCGCUACUGCUAACAUAGCUACAGCGCGUUCGUGGAUACGCGCUACUGCUAUACCAUUCUCUUUUUUCCAAUUUUUCAUUUAUUUUUAUUUACAUUUUAUUUUUUUCUUUCACCUUUCUGUAUUUCUUUCAUUUUCAUUUACUUUUCUAUUUGCUUUUCAUUUAGUUUUAUUUACUUUAGAAGUAGCGCGUCUCAGCGUAAACGCGAUGCUACAAAGCAAAUAGCGGUAGCGCUGUUUGGCGAAGAUCGCUACUACUAUGUGCAGCCUAUCGGCUAAGCCGUGGGAAUUUUAGUAGUAGCGCUUUUGUACGCUGGCGCGCUAUUGCUAUAACGGUAUCUAUAGCCCGGUUUACAACACCGCGCUGCUGCUAAUUAGCACCAGCGCGUGUUUUUAACCCGCGCUACUGCUAAUGUCCUGUGUAUAAGAUUUUCCCUAGUAGUGUCGCGGGUUGCCGUUCAACCACAGCCACCUCCGCCCCAUCCGCACCACCGUGCAGGCGUUCACGGAGGGCCGCCCGUGCCCGCGCCUUAGAAGAAGACCAAGAAGCUAGCGGAAGCCUCCAUCCGCGCCAAGCUCAGGGACUUCCGUAAGCUGGCCUCCCCCGGCGGGCGGCUCGCGGGAUUCCUCAACAUCAUCUUCGCCGGCAAGCGCGCGGUACGUGUGCUCAUCGGCGUCGUGGUAUUCGUGGUCCUGCCUGAGGAAGACCAGCUGACACGCGGGCAGGAGCACCGUACCGUGCGGUUCAUGGAUAGUGACCGCGAGGCGCCGGCGGCGGUGCCUGGUGCAAAUCUUGGGACGGUACCGGCGCUGGAGGCGUCCUCCGGCUGGCGAUGGCAACACGAUCUCCAGCAGAGCUUCAAGGUUAGUGGAGCCAUGGCACCGGGCCGCUCAAGGUGUGUAUAUACUUGCCGUGUCCGGCGUACACUGCGUUGUCCGCUGGGAAGGAGGAGAGCCGGCCUCUUCUUAUAUAGGCUUAUAGGGCGGUGGCGUUGUGCUCAGAUUUUGCCCGGGCUUUCUAGAGAAGACAGGGCAUGGGGAGAGAACACAACGACCGAACCAACAGCGGCACACAGGCAACGACAGUGACAGGAACCAAUAUAGAACCCGAUGACGAAUAGGAAACAAGAAAGCGACUUCGGCCAACAGCACCAGAGACUGACAGCGACCUAUCACAAUAGCGAAGAAGGGCCAAAGACAGCGACUAAUCACAAAUGCGAAGAACGGCACCAGAGAAAAUACUAAACGAACCAAACCAAGCUGCACACACGUUCAAAAAAUUUCAAACGAAAACCUGAAUCCACAACUCAUUUGUACACAACCAGGUACCAAAAUAAUACGCGUGCCCCAUAGGAAUUUACCCAAAAGUCUUUUUCAUCCAAGUGGAUGAAUCUUGGAGCGAAAAAGCUCCCGGAUAUAGAGGUUUGGGUAUAUUACACGUGUGUGAAGUUUAAUGAUGAAAUACCUUAUGAUGUCGCUACAUAAAAAAAAUACAAAUUACUCAAAGUUGUGCAACGAAGAACAGAAAAGUGAACCAUCGCCAUAUUUUGGGAAGGAGCGAAAAAACUCUUUGGAGGACGAGCUCCAUGUAGGACUCGUUAUCUGGUGCGUGUGUCUUUCUUAGAACCACGCUCAAGACCUUAUUCAUCGCACGUAUCUCACCUGCCAACCAUUUUACACACCACCAUAUUCUUGUUUUUUUUACGGGACCGUAUUCUUGUUUUAUGAAUAGUACUACCCCUUUUCCAUUAAAAAAAAGAGUUGUGCCAUCACAUGUUAACAGGUUGGGCCUACCAGUGCAUGAAGUCUAUCACCCCGCCCCCAAGCCUAAUUUGGUACAAUUUUGACCCUGAAAUCUACAAAACCGGACAAAUUUACCCCUCGAGUGGUUUUGCUAUGAUUUGGGUGGUUUUGGAUUGUGUUGCGGGGUGGACAUGGCGAUGUAACUCAAGGUGACGGUCACCGCAACACGGGCGCAUGCGGGGCGCGUGAUUCCCGCUGGAGAGGGUGAAAGAAGGGGGAGGGAAGGGGAAGGAGGGGCUAGGGCAUCGGAGGCGAAGCUGUAGCACCUCGACGACGAGCAUCAGGCGUCCAUGGCAGUUGGAUGAAUGACAUAGAGGAGAGAGGUGGAGAGAGGAGGAAGAUGAUGUCAGAUCCAAAACCACGAAAAUCAUAAUCAAAACCGCUUUAGGGGCACAUUUAUCUAGUUUUGAAAUUUUUAGGGUGUAAAUUAUACCAAAAGCAGUCUUUAGGGGGGGGGUAUUUGUCCAUUGAACCACAUUUGAAGUUGAAAAUGAACUUCUUUCUAUCCAUUAUGUUGCAUUGUGGCCCGCGAGAACGGAACAUGGGCAUGAAUCUGGUUGGAUGUGCCUCUUUGAAGUCGUUGCCAUUUGGUCGAGCUGCUGGGAUUCCUGGCCUAGACGUUUGCUGGUUAGCAAUCUACUACUCCCUCCGUUCCUAAAUAUAAAUCUUUUUGAGAUUGUACAAUAAAGAAUACAUUCAGAUGUAUAUAGACGCCUUUUAAGUAUAGGUUCACUUAUUUUACUCCGUAUAUAGUCUAUUGUGGAAUCUCUUAAAAGACUUAUAUUUAGGAACGAAGGGAGUACUCCUCUUGUCCGUGGUACUCUUUCGCUUUCUUGGGCACAUGCUUUUGCACCAACGGUGAGUGGUGCCUGGCAUUACUUCUUCUAUGGCAACCUCCAUCCUGAGCCUGGUCUGUUUUUACACAAAAUAGAAAACACAAAACCAUAAAAGAUUUGUGGGUACCCCCAUGGGAAACAAACGAGGUUGAUCUCUCUCUCUCUCUCUCUCUCUCAAAUUCCUGAGCAUUUUUUAACUCAUAAAGAAUUUUUAAAAUUAAAAAAUAUGUUUUUAGUUCGUGAACAUUUUCUCAAUAGGCAAACAUUUUAGUAUGUUCAAGAACAUUACUCAAAUUCACCAACAUUUUCCAAAUGCGCAGAAAAUUUUCAAAUUUGUGAACAUUUUAUUAAAUACAUGAACAAUUUUUCAUAUUCAUGAACAUUCUUCCAACUUCAUGAACAUGUUUUCAAAUAUGCGUCCCUAUUCACGAACAUUUCUCAAAUUUGUGAAUGUUUUUCAAAUACGUGAACAUUUUUUUAAGCUUGGGAAAUUUCUCUCAAGUUUGCGAUCAAUUUUAUAAAUACAUAAACGUUUUUAUGUAUUGGGGAACAUUUUCAAAAUACGCUCCUCGAAGAUGAAUUCCAUCCAUCCUUGGCCAAUAUUUUUGUUUCUGAAACUGGGCCGAAAUCAGGCCAGUAAAUGCAAAGUGAUAAACUUUUUGUUGAUGGACUGAUCGAUUGUUCCACCGGCCUAACUACCUCCACACGGUGCAAAUUCAAAGUCCGUGAACGCUAUGUCUCGCAUUACGCGAGACGGUAGCAGCUCUCGCUGACGGUUUUUCCAUUUUUACAAAAAAAUUAAAUGCUUGAUUAACAUUUGCGUGCAUAUAGUUAGAGAAAGAGCUGAGGAAAGGGGGAACCAGAAUCGAUUCCUGGUCUCAAAGGUGACAGCGGGUGCUGCUACAAAGCCCGACCAAGUCCCGUUCGUGAUAAUUUGUAGGUGCGCGUCAUACUUUUGGCGAUUCAAGCCGGUUUUCUUUGAGUUUUUUUCCUUUUUCUCUUUUUUUCUUCUUCAUUUUUUUAUUCUUUUUUGCACUCGUUUCUUCAUUUUUUUCAUUUCUUUUUUCCUUUUGUUUAUUUUCUUUGUUCUUUUGGUUAUUAUUGUGCAUUUUUUGUAUACGUCAACAACAUUUUUUAAUACACGUCUAACAUUUUUCAAAUACAAACCAACAAUUUUUGCAAUACAUGGUCAAUAUUUUUGUAUACACAUUUUUUAAAUGCUUGAUUAUCAUUUUUCAAAUACAAGAUUAACAAAUUUUCAAUUCAUGGUCAACAUUUUUUUCCAUUUUUACAAAAAAAUUAAAUGCUUGAUUAACAUUUUCUUAAUACAUGGUCAACUUUUUUUCCAUACACAUUUAACAUUUUCCAAACGCUUGAUUAACAUUUUCAAACCCUUGUUCGACAUUUCUUUCAAAUGUUGGAUUAACAUUUCUAUAUACAUGAUCAAACAUUUUUAUCAUUUUUAAUACAUGGCCAACAUUAUUACCAUACACAUUUAACAAUUUCCCAAUUCUUGAUUAACAUUUUUUAAAUACUCGUUUAACAUUUCCCAAUUUUAGCUAGCUAUGGUGCAAACUAAGUGUUGUGCCUCGUCUUAAUCUAUCUAUAUAUCCUAUCUUCUAUUCGGCGAGGUGGCUGCGCCCGUGGCGAAUGCGGUCGCCGCCAUUGCCGGCGCCUGACUUGGUCGAUCUGCCUCUUCUCUUUAGAUGAGAUGGGGAGGAGAUGGUGAGAGAUGAGGUCAACGGCUUUGGGGAGAGGAUAAGGGUAGACGCCAACGGUGAGGCGGCGUGAGGAAGACGAGGUGGUUCGCGGCGGCGACGCGUGAGGGGAGGGGAAGGGAGGGGUAGUGGUGCGUGGAGGGGAGUGGGUAUGCGGCGUGCCCAAUUCGCGAGAGAGGAGAGAGGUCGGCAAGGGAGCGAUCCAUGGGAGUUUUUUUUCCUUCUGAGUGAGCCUAGUUGGGCUAUCUGCUGCGUCCAAGGCCCAGUGCACCACAUGUCUUCAAAUUGGCCACCAGUAGCAGCCCUUAGAACAGCAUGGCCAAUUUGCAAAUUUAAAGACAUAAGUUUUUUGCACGCAUGAAAAACAUAACAUGUAUCUUUCCACACAUAAUGAACUAUAGGUACUACCCCAAAAAAACAUAAUGAACUAUAGGUUGUCACAAGAACUCAUGCCAUCCCACAACCUCCCUCCGACCCUGCCAACAUUGUUGCAGCUGCACUCGCAAGUGUUACCGUAGAUGAUCAUGAAAUUACCAUAGAUGAUCAUUUCAUGAUUCGCGUAAAACGAAAUAAGAUCUACAAAUGAAUAGAAGCUACACAUACCUUGGCAUGCACACACAUUGCAAGCCAUACUAAGAAGAUAAGUGUUAAUAACUUGUACUCCCUCCAUCUCAGUUUACAAGUCUUCCACGUGUAUCUAGGUCGUCAAUUUAAUUAUACAAAAUAAAUUGUUUAACAUAAAAAUUAUAUCAUUAGAAAAUAGAAUAUCUACAGUUUCUAAUGAUAUAUUUUUUGUAAUGUAUGCCUCUUAUUAAGUUGGUCAAAUUAACGACCUAGGUACAUGUGCAAGACUUGUAAACCAAGAUGGAGGGAGUACAACAUAUACAACACUUAAGACAAGUAAAAGCAAUUUGGUGAGUCAUGGUCUAUGAAACCAAGCUACAUUACUAAUCUAAUCUAUCUUAACAGGUCACACAUGAUUACAAUCUUUUUUGUAUGCAAGUCAAGCUUAUCUAGUCUACACGUAACAACUUGUAGAACAUUACAAAAUUGAUGUUUGCUAACAAAUUCUAGAACACUACAACACUUGACAUGUAAAAAGAAUUUGAUGAGUCAUGACCUACUAAAGCAAGUUAUAUUACUAGUCUCAUCUAUCUUAACAUGCCAACAAGAUUAAAAACUAAGUUCUGUGCAAGCAAUGCUUAUCUAGUUUACACGUAACAACUUGCAUAACAUUACAAACUUAGUUUCACAAAAUUAGGCAAUCAAGAUUAGUGUUUAGCUGUAAAGUGAAUAAGAUGAGUCAUGUGUGUUAUCACACCUUUUUGUGGUGGAAUGAUAGUGCCACCAAACACAACAUACCAAAAUAUGAUUUUGGGAAGCAUCCAAGCACUUUGCAGACAAGCAAAUGCCAAUUGUGAAAGAGAUCAUGCCAUGGCAGCUAUAAAUAGGCAUGUAGCAUGAUGACCAUCCUUCCUCAUUCAUCAUUCUCAUAAGUAGAGUGCAUCAUUCAAGCCAAGCAAGAACUGGUCAAUACAAAUACACCAUGAAGACUUUUCUCAUCCUUGCCCUCCUUGCUAUUGUGGCGACCACUGCCACAACUGCAGUUAGAGUUCCAGUGCCACAAUUGCAGCCGCAAAAUCCAUCUCAGCAACAACCACAAGAGCAAGUUCCAUUGGUGCAACAACAACAAUUUCCAGGGCAGCAACAACCAUUUCCACCACAACAGCCAUAUCCGCAGCCGCAACCAUUUCCAUCACAACAACCAUAUCCGCAGCCGCAACCAUUUCCGUCACAACUACCAUAUCCGCAGCCGCAACCAUUUCCACCACAACAACCCUAUCCACAACCGCAACCACAAUAUCCGCAACCACAACAACCAAUUUCGCAGCAACAAGCACAACAACAACAACAACAACAACAACAACAAAUCCUUCAACAAAUUUGCAACAACAACUGAUUCCAUGCAGGGAUGUCGUCUUGCAACAACACAACAUAGUGCAUGCAAGCUCACAAGUAUUGCAACAAAGUAGUUACCAACUGUUGCAACAAUUAUGUUGUCAGCAGCUGUGGCAGAUCCCCGAGCAGUCGCGGUGCCAAGCCAUCCACAAUGUCGUUCAUGCUAUUAUUCUGCAUCAACAACAACAACAACAACAACAACAACAACAACAACCAUCGAGCCAGGUUUCCUACCAGCAGCCUCAGCAACAAUAUCUAUCAGGCCAGGGCUCCUUCGAGCCAUCUCAGCAAAACCCACAGGCCCAGGGCUCUGUCCAGCCUCAACAACUGCCCCAGUUCGAGGAAAUAAGGAACCUAGCGCUACAGACGCUACCAGCAACCUGCAAUGUCUACAUCCCUCCAUAUUGCUCGACCACCAUUGCGCCAUUUGGCAUCUUCGGUACUAACUGAGAAGAGAAGAACUCUAGUACUAGAUAUAUCAAACAUCGUGUUCUUAGUCCAUGGUUUGGUCGUUGUACUGGUGAAAAUAUAAAGUGACAUGCACUACCAUGUAAGAACCCGAACUAUACUAGUUCAAACUUGGGAAUAAAAGACAAAGCCAGGUCUUGUCUGCAUAUGAUUAUUUGUUUGAGUUCCAUUCAUGUGCCCGUUCACAAGUUCACCCCUAAUUAUAUAUAUUACGCAUUAAGUAGAUAUCUAUGUUGCAUUAAUUUGAAGAUAACAAAAUGAGUCUAAAACUUGAAUUAAAUUGAAUUGUUUUCUUGGACUUUCAAAUUGUGUAUUAUUAAAGUAGUAACGACUAUCCACAUCCUUGGCUUGCCCUUGAUCAAUUAUUUCCAGAGAAGCAUUCAAUUCAUCAAUCAAUUACAUUGAUUUUUGAGACUGGUACAUCUCCUCAUCAUGAGUAUCAUUGCGGCUACUCCAAAUCGCCCACAUAACCGAAGCAUUAAUAGCGCUCUUCUUGCAUCAGGAAAUAUGGAUUGAAGAUAUCAGGUGACCAUGUUUCCGGGUGCAACCUUGGGAGUUUUAUGUCAAAAUAUUCUCAAGAAGAAUCCAAGAAUAAACUUGCAUGCUCACGUGUGAUAAGGGCAUAUGAAGUAACAUUUCCUCCCCAUGGCCACAUAGGGCACACACAUAACCCCAUCACAUGCAUUUUUAGUUAUGCAUAUGAAAGGUAGGAUGUUUUUAAUUACUCUCCACCAAAAUACUCUUAACUUGGCUUGUACCCUAAGAGUUUGUUGCCUUUUCAUUUCUUCUUCCCCAUUAGACAAACUAGACAGUCCAUCCACCACACCAUUCCUUGUGUCCAUCAUGGCUCUGUACAACAAUUGGACAGAACAAAUGUCAUUUCUUUAUGAUACCCACGACCAAAUGUCCUCUGCUGGAUUGUUUGGUCGUGGCAUAUUAAGGAUGGCCACCUCAUCUGAUGGGAUAAACACCUAAUGAAUGAAAGGAUUGUUCCAGUCGCCCGUGUUUUUCAUCGAUAAGAUCAGCUACAAGUUGGACCGGAGUUUCUCACAUGCAUCGUAGUGGUUUCAUUAGCGGCAUGCCCUGCACCCAUUUAUCAUGCCAUAUCUCUGUAGUAUGUGCAUUCCCAAUUUGUCACAACAUACCCUCCUUCAAACCUUCUUGACCUUUCAGAAUUGCACGCCAAGUUAGCGAUGCACUAUGCAGGAACCCGCAUUUCAAAAAAAAAAGAAUCUCAUUUCAUGGUAUCUUCCAUAAAGGACCCUCAUACAUGAGCUAUCUAGAUAGAAACAGCCAUGUAUGUUUAGCAAACUUUGCAUAAGUGAAUAGAUCAAGGUUGUGGAACCCCAAGCCUCCAAUUACACCCGGCCUCUCUACCAACAAGAUGUCUAAAGACAUGAAGGAUACACACAGCCAAAAAAGAAAAUAAAAAGAACAAAAUAAAAAAUACCCCACCAUGGUGGUCAAUCACAAGCAUCAACAACACUCUAACCACCACCGAAGACAAUGCCCGGAUUACAAAAAGGUUAUUCAAAAGCAACACCCACAAGAAGGAAACAAUGCACAAGCGUUGUCGUUGCCCGAUAGAAGAUCGUGGGUUUUCACCCUGGAAAAAUUUUGAGUUCACCCAAAAACAAUGCCUUCAACAAGGCCAUUGCCAAGUACAGCCAAUAAGGGGUAGACCUUGGGUUUUCAACCUAGGAACUGAGACUCGAUAGUCGACAAGUACCACCGAAAAUGCAGUCCACCGGUGUUGCCGCCCCCGCUUGCCGAGGCCGCUGUUGCAAGUCACCAAACAUACAGUUGUCAUCGCAUCCAAUACAUCCUUCCGCCGAAGCUUCAAGACCUCAAAUGGCAGCCGCCGUGACUUUCUCCACAUCUAUCAAUGCCUUGAGGAUCUUGACUUAGACAUGUCCCGUGACAUAAAUAAGAAACCGAAGCUUCGCACCGCGUCCUCUUGAGGCCGUGUUGGCUGAUAAUAUUAGCGCGUAUGACGGGAGCCUUUCCAACCUAGAUAUCCAGGGGCGACAUACACCAAUCAAUAUAGAUCUCCGCUCGGAAAGACCGGAACUCAUCAACGGCCAGAUCCAAGUGGUCGACAUCCGGCAAAAAGACGACUUGGCGGAAGAAGAGCAUCAGGGCCAAACCACCAUUAUUAGUCCGAAGCUAAUAGCCCCCACGCCGCCCUCCUCUCGAUCCAGACCUGCAGAAAAAGAUCAACGACGCCGCAUCGUGCCACUUGCAUCCGUGGAGGCUUGAACUUGGCAAGAUGCCAACCAUGGCUGGAGACGGGGACCAGCCACUCCUGGCUGGAUCCGGUGACUCCUAGUCCUACCGCUGCCGCUACGGCGGCACCGCGUGUGGCCUACAAGCCCAUCCACGAUGAUGUCUGAUUAGAAGGAUACAUGGAUAUACAGAUGAAAAGGCCCUUGUUAUCCCUCCAACAAUAUAUAUAUAGCUUAUUGGGACGUGAGAAAGCUCGCACAAUUUUAUAGUGGCUAUGGAAAUGUGUUGCCAGACAGAGAUAUAAGAUUUUUGUUUGGCAUCCAGACCGUUUGUGUCAUGCUUAAUCGAUGGUCACUCUAAUUUUUCCGGCGGGCCUUCCCCGUGGUACUGCAGCCUUAUAUGUGUAUGGGUUUCAUACAGCUAUUCUGUCCUGUCUAGAAAAGGAGAAAACCAAAAUUACUUGGAGUUAAUAACUAAUACGUUUCCUUUAACUACCAUGUGCACGGCGAGGAUUUACGUGCAUGAUGUUUUUUCCUCUCCCCACGUCAUAUUGGGCCGGCCCAUUCACGCGCAUAUGGUUAGAAAAAGAGAUGAGGAAAGGGAGAACCAGGAUUGAUUCCUAGUCUCAAGGUGACCGUGGGUGCUGCUACCAGUCCGCCCAAGUCCCGUUCGUGAUAAGUUGUAGGUGCGCGUGGUACUUCAAGCGAUUCAAGCCGGUUUUAUUUGAGUUUUUUUUCUCUUUUUUUUCUUCUUCAUUUUUUUCAUUCUUUUUUACACUCCGUUUCUUCGAUUUGUCAUUCUUUUUUUCUUUUGUUUAUUUCCUUUUUUUCGGUUUUCUUUGUUCUAUUGGUUAUCAUUGUACAUUUUUUGUAUAUGUCAACAACAUUUUUCUCUAAUACACGUCUAACAUUUUUCAAAUACAAACCAACCAUUUUUGUAAUACAUUGUCAACAUUUUUUCUAUACACAUUUUUUAAAUGCUUGAUUAUCAUUUUUCAAAUACAAGAUUAACAUUUUCUCAAUACAUGGUCACCAUUCUUUUUCUAUUUUCACAAAAAACUUAAAUGCUUGAUUAACAUUUUCUUAAUACAUGGUCAACUUUUUCUCUAUACACAUUUAACAUUUUCCAAACGCUUGAUUAACAUUUUCGAACCCUUGUUCAACAUUUCUUUUAAAUGCCUGAUUAACAUUUCUGUAUACAUGAUCAAACAUUUUUAUCAUUUUAAUACAUGGUCAACAUUAUUACCAUACACAUUUAACAAUUUCCAAUUCUUGAUUAAUAAUUUUUAAAUACUUGUUCAACAUUUUUUUCAAAUGCAUAAUGAUGACAUUGUUCAAAAGUGGCAUCACAAGUUUCAGGGAGUAGAAAAUAGAUUAAUCAAUGAAACCGCGCGAACUUUGUGAUGCUAUUGUGUUAUAUCAACUACUUUCUCCGUCUCAUAAUAUAAGAGUGUUUUUCACAUUAGUAUAUAGUGGAAAAACGCUCUUAUAUUAUGGGACGAAGGGAGUAUGUGUUUGUUAUGUCAUACUGAGCACCAAAUUCACUAUAUAUAUAUCUAUACCAAUAUAAAAAGACCUAAAGGGGCAGAUCCAAAUAAUCUUGGCCAUUAAAUCAUGUCAAUCCAAUGACAUAGACUGCUUCACUGUCGAGCACUUAAUACGUUUAGCAUGCAGUUAAUUGCAUGCCAAAUAUAGUGCUAAUCACAUAAUAACAUGCAAAUAAUAUCCUACUUAAUAUCCGAAUGCACUUAAUAUACUUCCAAAUUAACGCGCAUUACACAUACACAUUAACUAAUCACAUAAUCAAAGAAAUUAACACACAAAUAAUAGCAUACCUAAUAUCCACGUGUAAAUAAUAAAACAAUAUAAUGCUUAAAUAUUAACCUGUGUUGCACGUGCACAUUUAGUAGAACAUGGGAAUACAGUAACAGUAAGCUCACUAGACGGAAGCCCGUCACGGCCAUGUGAAUAGGAUCCUCCUCGUACUGCUCCUCUCCUGCCCUGCCCUGAGCAGUAUCAUCCGUCGUCGUCGCCGGGCGGCGCAGCAGCCGGCGGCCGAGGGGAGACCGAGAUUUCCUCUUUGGAGGCGCCGAAUGCGGCUCGUAAGUCCAAAUCCCUCCCAGUCCCGCCUCUCGAAUCCCCACCGGUCUCCUACUUCCAUGCCGCCAAUGCCCGCCUUUUCUUUGGACUCCGAGCGAGGAAUCGGAGGGAAAGCUGUGUGCUUCUUGCAGCUUCAUGCCCCGGCAAUGGCGGCCCUGCUUGCUUUCUGUUGCCGCUGGGUCGCUCUACUCUCUGCGUGCCCGUCCGCAAGGUGUUCGAUGGAUUGUGCGCAGGGUGUCGGCCCGGCUGGUCCCCUGGUCUCGUUCCAGUUCUCCCAGGUUUCAGUCUGCUUACUGUCAGUUGCUGAAAAUGUGCACGAAACGGAUGAAAAUGCUGGGAUAUGCGCUCUUUGUUUACCGUUUACCGUCAUUUGUUUGGUUGCAGGAAGCACCCGGCCUUAAGCAUAGUACUACAUAUAAAGUUGUAUGUUCUGUUCUGUUUGUUUGUUUGCUGUCUGAUGAUUGAGACAAGGGCAUAAUCUAAAGUUUGGCACCUGCACUUGCACCUGCUCCUGCACAUUUAUGUGCUGGAAACUGGAAUCUGUUCAGAGUAGUAUGGCCACGCCACAGGUUUUAGCUUUCACUCAUGGACCACAUUGCUUCUUGACUAUCUUGGAUGCUUGUUGGCCCAUCCUUGUAAUUCUAUAUCUUUCUAGUAGUCUUAUAAAUCAGAAACAUAACAACUUUUUGUGUUGCUUACUAUAUUUUGUGUAUUUACUUAGCGUGUUUAGUCAAAUCAUCUGUCAUUGUUCUCUCAAGUUGUUUUUCCUUGCGAUAUUCAACCCAGCGGUUUAAAAUUCCUGCAAUUGAUUCAUUCAAAGUGAUUUUUCCUUCUUUGUUGUUGUUUUCUUUUAAAUGUUUGGGCUGAGGCUCCAAAUGUUGCUACUCUUUUACAUGGACUAUGUUACUUUGGAGAAUACAAGAAUUAUGCAUUGGUACCACGAUAACAUAUGCCUAAUGGUUUUUCUUACAGGAUGGGGUUUCCAACACAUAAAUAGUUUGCUAGCAUGCAGACAAGUGUCCAGUAGCCUUUGCGCCAUUUGAGGCGUAAUGGAGAUAGUUUUUCUCAUGUUGUUGGUUCUUUCUCUGCUCCUUUUCCCUAAUGGCAUCUGCAAGAGUUUAGCCACAGGGCCUCCUGUUGUGAAUAUUGGGUCUAUUCUUCAAUUUGACUCCACCACCGGAGGUGUUGCGGCAGUUGCCAUCCAUACAGCCUUGGAAGAUAUCAACUCCGAUCCAACAGUUCUAAAUGGAACUACACUAAAGGUUCAAAUGAAGGAUACAAAUUGCUUUGAUGGUUUCCUUGGCAUGGUUCAAGGUAGGCUAGCUUUAAUGUCACUCAUUCAUUUCGCAACCUUCAAAUAAUUUUUUACUUCUGUUGUGGAGUUGUGGCAAUGAUGCCGUGUUCCUUGUAUCAGCUUUGCAGUUCAUGGAGACUGAUGUUAUUGCACUCAUUGGCCCUCAGUGCUCUACUAUUUCUCAUAUGAUUUCAUAUGUAGCAAAUGAGCUUCAAGUCCCUUUAAUGUCCUUUGCUUCUGAUGCAACUCUUUCAUCGAUACAGUUCCCGUUCUUUGUCAGGACGGGUCCCAGUGAUCUCUAUCAAAUGGCGGCUGUGGCAGAAGUUGUUGACUACAACCACUGGAAGAUAGUGACUGCCAUAUACAUUGAUAAUGUUUAUGGUAGAAAUGGCAUUGCUGCUUUGGAUGAUGCACUCACUUUAAAGCGCUGCAAAAUAUCCUACAAGGUUGGGUUUCCUUCCAACGCUAAAAGGAGUGACCUCAUAAAUUUGUUGGUUAGUGUCAGUUAUAUGGAGCCUCGUGUUAUUGUUCUCCAUACUGGAGCUGAACCUGGACUCAAGCUUUUCUCUGUGGCAAACCAACUGAACAUGAUGGGCAACGGCUAUGUGUGGAUUGCAACUGACUGGCUGUCUGCAUAUCUUGAUGCUAAUUCAUCAGUUCCUGCUGAGACUAUAUCUGGCCUGCAAGGUGUUCUUACUUUACGGCCACAUAUUCCCAACUCAAAGAUGAAGAGUAAUUUGGUCUCCAAAUGGGGCACGCAAAGUAAAAAGUACAACUACAGUGAUCUUCGUGUAAAUACGUAUGGUUUUUAUGUUUAUGAUAGUGUCUGGGCAGUAGCUCGGGCUCUGGAUGCCUUCUUUGAUGAUGGUGGUAGGAUUUCCUUUUCAAAUGACUUGCAUGAUGGAAUUGGAGGAACUCUUCACCUUGAAGCAAUGAGCAUUUUUGACAUGGGAAGCAAAUUACUGGAGAAGAUUAGAAAGGUAAACUUCAGUGGGAUAUCUGGGCAAGUGCAAUUCGAUGCUGUAGGCAACCUCAUUCACCCUGCGUAUGACAUCAUAAAUGUCAUCGGAAAUGGCAUGCGGACCAUUGGUUUUUGGUCAAACUAUUCUGGCUUGUUGUCGACUGUCUCUCCAGAGGCUCUAUAUUCAAAGCCUCCUAAUAUUUCUCUCGCCGAUCAGCAUCUCUAUGAUGUUAUUUGGCCUGGGGAAACUGCACAGAGGCCUCGAGGAUGGGUCUUUCCUUCUAAUGCCAAGCAGUUGAAAAUUGGUGUUCCCAACAGAUUUAGCUUCAAAGAGAUCGUCACGGUAGACAAUGCUACUGGGUCAAUGAAGGGUUAUUGCAUCGAUGUCUUUACUCAGGCAUUGGCUUUGCUUCCUUAUCCUGUUAGUUACAAGUUUGUACCUUUUGGGAAUGGUACUGAAAAUCCUAAUUAUGACAAACUCGUACAGAUGAUUGAAUCAAAUGUAAGUAUGGAAUGCCUCUUUUCUUCCUCUAACCAUUUCAUCAUAUACCAUGCUGACCAGGGUCAUCUUAUCCUGCAGGAGUUUGAUGCAGCUAUAGGGGAUAUUGCAAUUACAAUGAGGCGGACAGUAACUUUUGAUUUCACCCAGCCAUUCAUUGAAACAGGCUUGGUUAUCUUGGCUCCGGUUAAAGAGCAUAUAACAUCGUCCUGGGCAUUCUUGCAGCCAUUUAGUUUGGAGAUGUGGUGUGUUACAGGGCUGUUCUUUCUUAUUGUGGGUGUGGUUAUUUGGGUUCUUGAACAUCGGAUCAAUGACGAUUUCCGUGGUUCAGUAUGUCAACAAAUAAUAACUAUUUUCUCGUAAGGAGCUGGCAUUUACCUUUUGUAUCGUCUUCUUGUAUAUCAUUCCUGUUUUCGAAGUGUUGAUGUUUUAACAAGUCUUGUGCAAUAUGUUGCAUACAGCGAGCACCUUAGAGCAUUGGCCAGUUAACAUACCUAAAUGAAGCAUCUAGUGAUUACCAAUGAACUACUCCCUCUGUCCCAUAAUAUAAGAGUGUUUUUGACGGCGGGAGUAUUAUCUUAAUAAUCUUGUGAGACAUAUAUACAUGCACAGUAUAUAUAUUCGCUUAAUGAUAUUUAUGUUCAUUGCUCUAUUUUUUCCUGUUUUCACGUACUUCUCCACAUGUAUUUGCCAAAUGCUCUUAUCAUGACGUGAUUCCUUACUGUGAGUAUAAUUUCAAAUUUUAUUGCCUGCAGGUUCAGCUUUUCAACUUUGUUCUUCGCACACAGUGAGUAAACCAACCUUUUCUCUUAUGUGUUUUUUUGGCUAUAACAUUUUGUUCUGAGGCAUGACUCGUGAUUUCAUCCAUGUCUGCUCGCAGGAGAAAAUACUAUGAGUGCCUUAGGGCGUGGUGUCCUGAUCAUAUGGCUGUUUGUUGUUUUGAUAAUUGUAUCCAGCUAUACCGCGAGUCUUACUUCCAUCCUGACCGUGCAACAACUUGAUACUUCUAUAAAAGGAAUUGAUGACCUGAAAAAUAGCAAUGAUCCUAUUGGUUUCCAAGUUGGUUCUUUUGCACAAGACUAUAUGGUCAAGGAGCUCAACAUCUCACGGUCAAGGCUAAGAGCUCUUGGUUCACCACAAGAAUACGCGGAAGCCCUCAAGAUAGGCCCUAAGGAAGGAGGUGUUAUGGCCAUUGUUGACGAGCGCCCCUAUGUUGAACUGUUUUUGUCAACCUACUGCAAGAUUGCGGUAGCUGGCACAGAUUUCACCAGCAGAGGAUGGGGCUUUGUAAGUACAGUUCAACCAUAUACUUUUAUAUAAACUACUCCCUCCGUUCCUAAAUAUAAGUCUUUGUAGAGAUUCCACUAUGGACCACAUACGGAUGUGCAUAGAUGCAUUUUAGAUUGGAGAUUCACUCAUUUUGCUCCGUAUGUAGUCCAUAGUGGAAUCUUCCCAAAGACUUAUAUUUAGGAACGUAGGGAGUAGAAUAUAAGAACAAAAUAUUAUGCUGUUAAUGUCCUGGAAUAGAGGUUUUAACUUUGAAUAGUUGUGUCUAGUCUCUAGUUUAUUAUGCAACUUUUCUUGCACUUAUCUGCGGCUACUUUGUUUCGCAAAUCGAAAUGUAGCACCUUACAAAUUAAUUCUGCCAGGCAUUUCCAAGGGACUCCCCUUUGCAAGUAGACCUCUCCACCGCAAUCCUGUCUCUGUCAGAGAAUGGGGAGCUGCAGCGGAUCCAUUCCAAAUGGCUCAAUACAGGGGAGUGCACAACUGACAACAGCGAGUUUGUCGACUCGAACCAGCUCCGCCUUGAGAGCUUCCUUGGUCUGUUCCUAAUCUGUGGUGUGGCAUGUGUUCUCGCGCUGCUACUCUACUUUGGUAUCAUGCUAUGCAAAUACCUGAGGCAUGAACCGCGGAAGAGCCUCAGAAGAUUCAUCUCGUUCGUCCAUGGGAAGGAGCCGCCGAAGAACAUGGAGAGGCGAUCCAUGAGCCUGCCUGGAAGCUCGACGCCAACAACGCCGAUGGGCAGCUUUAGUUCCCUUGACAUGGAAAGGCCGGCCAGGCCAGUCAGAAACGGCAGCGUUAUUGAUAUGGAAAGCUAGUUCAUGUGUAGAAAGCUACGCGGUCGACUAACAUAGGUUCUGGUAGUCGGACAGCAGGGGUGUAUAGGGGGAUUCAAAAUACUUCUUAAGUACUCCCUCCGAUCCAAAUUAUUCCAAAGUUUAGGAAAUAAGAGAAGGAAGGAUUAAUAAGAAAUAAAAAUAUUGAAAUGCUCCUCCUGUCCUACAUAUAUUGUUUUUACCUUUUCAUGACUGUAUUUUGGGGGGAGUGUGGAUUUUCUAUCAUGCACGGGACCUCCCGUGCAUGCAUCCAUCACAUUUUUUAUUGCUGUGUGGGGCCCCUAUUUUCUCUCACCUAACAUACAUUCACAUGUUAAUUUGUACUGACUAGGUUUCAUUCACUAGUGCAGAACAGGCCUUUAUCACUGGUUCAUAAGGGCCUUUAGUGCCGGUUCUGUAACCGGCACUAUGGAGUGGAGACUAAAGGCCCCCCUUUAGUACCGGUUCGGCACGAAUCGGCGCUAAAGUGCCACCACGUGGCACGAGCCAGUCCCGGGUGCUGGUAGACCAUUAGUACCGGUUGAUAACACCAACCGGUACUAAAUGUUUGGGGGGGUUUUGGUUUUAAUUUUUAAUUUUUCAUUAACUUUGGGUUUUCCAUUUAAUUCUUUUUUGUUUGCUGGUAUUUUACGAUACUACAUAUUGUACACGUUAUGCAUAUAUAUAUAAAUAGAUUUUCUCGUAGAACUGAUCAUAUAUAUAAUCGAAUGUCUCACAACCACCAUUAAUUAUUCACACAUACACNNNNNNNNNNNNNNNNNNNNNNNNNNNNNNNNNNNNNNNNNNNNNNNNNNNNNNNNNNNNNNNNNNNNNNUUUGCUGGUAUUUUACGAUACUACAUAUUGUACACGUUAUGUAUAUAUAUAUAAAUAGAUUUUCUCGUAGAACCAAUCAUAUAUAUAUAUAAUCGAAUGUCUCACAACCACCAUUAAUUAUUCACACAUACACAUGUAUAUAUAUAUAUAUAUAUAUAUAUAUAUAUAUAUAUAUAUAUAUAUAUAUAAUUUCUCCUCCAUGUUGCCUUGGUGCCUUCGGAGCACGAUGACAAGUGGUUCAUGGAGACGGUAGCGGGUAAUAGUAUUUUCCUUUGGGAUCUAUGACCUGCUCGAGCAAAAAUCUCGUUAUUUCCUCUUGAAGUGCUCGUAUGCGCUCUGUUGGUAGGAGCUGGUCCCGCAUGUCUUUGAACCGUUAAGAAGGAGAUCAAUAUGCAUGUGUAUUAGUUGUGUGACUAGAUAUCGAUAAUCAUGUAAGAUUUGUGAAUAGUGUUCUGGCAAACGUACCCAUUGUUGUCUAUCAUAUCUGCUCCUUUCGGACGCCAUUAUGCGAAUGUUCUUGAAAACGUAGUAUGCACACACUUCAGUCCCCGGCGCCUGCUUCAGGGCCUUUACGAGAAUAGAAUUUAAUCAGAUAAUAAUUAAUCAAGUGUGUUAAUUAAUUAAUGGUAUUGAAACAAGAAUUAAAGAGAUGGUAGCUAGCUAGCUAGUACUACUUAAUUACUUGCCUUGGGUCGAUACCAAAAUAGCUUUUGUCGCCAUUUUCCUGAAGUCACCUUGAUGUACUUUACCCAAGCCCUUCCCGUCGGCAAAGAAAAUUGAUAAAGGGGUUAUUAAAAAUAGUUCAUAUCAGGAAAUGAUAAACUAAAUAGGCCAAGAUAUAGUUAAUAAUGAUUGAAAUUACCUGUUGACUAUCCCUUCAUUAUGCUGUAGUCACUAUCUUUUUUAAGUAGUGAGUCCAGUACUUCAACUUUUCCUUCGUCAACUUUAAUGUCUAACAAGAUCCAGUGGUACCUGCAUACGCAUAAGUUUGCAUGUAUAAAUUAAGCGGGCAUGUGCAUAACACUAAUCAACUAUAACCCUAAACCCUUUACACUUAUUAACAUCUAGCUAGUAAGCAAAAACAGAAUUUGUAGUACAAGACAGUGUGACUCACUCGAAGUUGUAAGGAAGUAGUACAUCUUCAUUGCUAUUGAGGUGCUUCAAGAACUCUAGCAUGUUUUUCUCUACAUCUUGUCUACACCAUUCCAAUUUCCAUGUGUAUUCAUUAACAGUAUUUGGGUCAAUGAACCCAAUGCCAUAGCGUCUAGCUUUUUUCAUUUCAUACAUCUUCAUCCUGCAUAAUACCACAGAAAAGAAUAUAUAGUGAGGAUAUUUAAUUACAGGUAAUUAAUGAUCAAUCAAUGAGCACUAGAGCUAGCUUGAGACUUAAAUUACAGAAAGAAAUCACUUACAGACAAUAGCAACUGACGAUAGAUUUGUCGAGUGCAUCUUGAUUGAAUAACUGAAAUAGUUCUGAAUACUCAACAGUUAGAGCUUUCUUAUUGAAGUAAUGAUCUUCCUUGACUUGCACCAUGAGGGACUCUCAAUUGGAAAUCUUGAUAAUUUUCAUGUACCAAUCAUGCAAUUCAUACAUUCUCGUUGGGAGGUUCUUGACCUCCUCGGGCUCGACCAAAGGUUGGCCCCGGACAUAUUUCCGUUUUAUUUUCUCCUCUCUAAGCAGAGACAUGGGCUCGAUAUCGAGGAGUUGUCCAAUAGUGAUCUUGAGCAUUUCAGCCUGCAUUAUAUGAUCCUCGGUUAUUACCACACCACCCACCUCGGGAACGUAAAUGGUUGCGCCGCCUGUUCUCCCAGCUGGGGAACGGUUUUCCCGUAUUUUUUGACAGCUGCUUGUUGGCUCGAGCUCGAGCUCGCUUCUUUCCGUAGUCGUGCUCGAUGUGCCUUUCUGAUUUGGCGCUCAUAGUCUGAGUCAACAGGCUUGGGAGCUGGUGGCCUAGCCAUACGAAUGAAGUGGUCAAUAUUUUUCCUCAGGCACUUUCUCCCUCGGCGGCGUUGCCGGUUUCGGUCCAAAAUGGGCGUCCACUUGGGCCUUCACUAUGGCUGCAUUUUGCUCCUCGGUCAUGUUGUAAGGCCUCUGAGGAAGAGGAGCGAGGCUGCUUGGACCAUAUUUAUAUCGCUUGUCUCCGCCUGUACUUCCUGUACUACCUUGACUCGUACCACUACGCACCAUAGCUGCGGCGUGUCUCUUCUGCGAUUGCUGAGGCGGCGGAGACGGCUGACGUUGCUGAGUUGGAGCAGGAGGAGUGGCCUGACGCUGUGCCAGACUUGAAGCAGGAGGUGUGGCCACUAGUAGAAAAAGGGUCAAAUGUGAAGCACAUUAGUGCCGGUUUGUGAAAAAACCGGCACUAAUGUGAUCAAUAGUACCGGUUCGUGGCGGCGAUCAAUAGUAUCGGUUCGUGACGAACCUUUAGUACCGGUUCAUGCCACGAACGGUACUAAAGAGGAUGUGGCAGCCUGCAGUCAGGCUAUGGCCCCACCAUCACCAUUUAGUGCCGGUUCGUACCACGAACCAGUACUAAUGAGGUUAUGGCAAGCUGUUUUUAGUCCCACCUCGCUCCCCUAACAAGGCUUUUACCACCUUAAAUAUGUUACUUCUCAAACUAUCACAAGCACUUGGUCUUCAUUGAACUCUAUGUGUAGAAUUUGUGGCUGCAAUAUGAGUCUUCACCGGUUUAUAAAUCGUUGAGGACUCAUAUUGACAAUUCAGAUUGUACACAAAAAGAUCAUUGAUGAUCAAAGUAUUUUUAAUGUAUAAGAUCAUAGUGACAAUUCAGACUGUAAAGAAAUAUAAUAUCAUAAUCUAAAUGCUCUUAUAUUUUUUGCAUUCAGUAUGCACCAUUCAAAGCGACGCCAUCAACUUUCAACCAUUUAUGCCUUCAUUUGCUAUUUUUCAUGCAUUUAAUGAUUUGUUUUGAGAACUAAAUAACCUGGAAAUUGAAAAGCACUACAAAUGAACUCUGAAAAAGUUGAAACUUGGCAUGGUAUCAUCAUUUCACCCACAUAGCAUGUCCAAAAAAGUAGAGAGGGUUAUGGCAAAAACUGGAUGCACUUCGUUUACAAACUGGACAAUCUCUUUCGAAGUAUUUGGGUUUUGACGAAAUUAAACUCAUCUGUUACAAAGGCAUUUCAUUUUUUAAACUUAUUACAACCCCAGACUUUUUGUUCAUUAGUAUGCACUAUUCAACUACUAGGCGGGAGGAGCUCUUUAGUACCGGUUCCAACUGCUAAGCGGGAGGAGCUCUUUAGUACCGGUUCGUGGCGAACCUUUAGCACCGGUUCGUGCCACGAACUGGUACUAAUAAGGUUGUGUUAGGUAAGGCUGGGGCCCCACGAGCACCUUUAUUACGGGUUCAUGGCAUGAACCAGUACUACAGUUUCUUAGAAAGCUGUUUUUUAGUCCCACCUCGCGAAGAGAGAGGGACUAGGAGCGGUUUAUAAGCCCUGAGUGCAGAGACGAUGAAGAAGAGGCUCAAUGCUCACGUUGCUUAGCUUCAAGCCUUGAGGAAUAUGGUAGACUGCAUGGAGCUAUGUGCAAUGCAGUUUACACUAUUCCGAAAGGCUUGAAACUAAUUAACGAGCAUUGCAUCUCUUUUUUAUUUUUAAUAACUUAUUACAACUCCGGACUUCUUCUGUUAUGGCAAAAACUAGAUGCACUUCGUGUACAAACUGGACAAUCUCUUUUAAAGUAUCAGGGCCGGUUUCAGACGAAAACUCUGGUUAUAACUCCAGACUUUGACCAUCAAGUUUUAACCAUCAACUUGGCAUGGUAUAUGAAAAUAAAUGAAUAGAAGAAAAUAAAUAAAGCAGAAAAGAAAAAAACUAUAGCAGAAAAUAAAAAACUAUAUAAAAAACUACUCAGAAAUAAAUAGAAGAAAAUAAAUAUAGCAGAAAAGAAAAAAACUAUUCAGAAAUAAAUAGAAGAAAAAAUAAAGCAGAAAAGAAAAAAAACUAUAUUUGCUAUUUUUCAUUCGUUUACUGAUUUUUUUAGAGAGCCAAAUGACCGUGAAAUUAAAAAUCACUACAAAAUAAACUCUGAAAAUGUUGAAUUUUGGCAAACUAGAUAAAAAACUACUCACAAAUAAAUAGAAGAAAAUAAAUAUAACAGAAAAGAAAAAACUAUACAAAAAACUACGCAGAAAUAAAUAGAAGAAAAUAAAGCAGAAAAUAAAAAAACUAUACAAAAAAAUUGGGGCGCUGCCCAAUGGGCCUGCUAGGCCACGGGCGUGCAAUUACAGGCCCUAACGGCCCAACAGGCUCACAGGGCAGCGCACAGAAGUUAGGCCCAGAAGCCUGCUAUAUAUAGGAGUUCAAAGAGGCAGCCGCGGCUGGGUUUAUAAACCAGUGAGGCUGCCCUUCGCACGGGGAGAUGGGACUAAACGUCGUGCACCGCGGGUGGCAGCGCAAGGCCUUUAGUAUCGGUUGGUGGCUCCAACCGGUACUAAAGCUCGUGCCUUUAGUACCGGUUGGAGUCACCAACCGAUACUAAAGGCCAUCGGUUCCCGUCGUUUGGCCUGGCGAAAAUAGGCCUUUAGUACCAGUUGGAGGCACCAACCGGUACUAAAGGCCCAUCCUAUAUAUAUAGCACUUACGAAAUUUUCAGUUUCAUCCCCCACUUCGUCUCUCGAACCGCGUGCGCCGCUCGAUCCCCGUCGUGUCGCCGCACGUCGCCCGUCGUCCGUCGUCGUCGUCGCUGUCCCCCGCCGCCGCCCGUCGUCGUCGUCGUCUCACGCCGCUGCCCUGAACGCCGCCGCUGUCUGUCGUCGUCGCCGCGGCGCCGCCCGAUACGUCUCUCCCCGCCCCGUACGCCGACGCCCCUGCCCCCGCCCCGUACGCCGCCGCCCCCGCCCCCGCCCCGUACGCCGGCGCCCCCGCGGCGUACUGCACAUACACACACACGUAUACAUAUACACGCAGUACACACAUAUACACACACAUACACAUACACAUUUUUUUACUAGUUGAAUAAUUUAUAUAAUUAAUAUAACUAGUUUAUUUUAGUAAGAAAAUAAUCGAACUAGUUUAUUUAGGUAUAUGAGAUUUGAACUAGUUGAAUAAUUAAUAUAACUAGUUUAUUUUUAGUAAGAAAAUAGUCGAACUAGUUUAUUUAGGUAUAUGAGAUUUGAACUAGUUGAAUAAUUAAUAUAAAGAAAAUUUAGGUAUCUGAGAUUUGAUGAUCUAAUUAAAAUAUUAUUUGUUAAUGAGUUUUUCUGUUUAUUUAAUUUUUUUUAUAUAUUUUUAGUUUAUAUAAAUGUUAGAUUAAUGUCGAAUGUUAAAUGAAUUAGAUAGAAAAGUUAAAUAUAUAGUAAUGUCAAUUGUUAGAGAUGAAUAUAGUUAGAUAUAUUAAUGUCAAAUGUUAGAUGAAUAUAUAUAUUUGAAUUAGCUAGAUAUUAAUUAAUGUUAGAUAGUAAUAAGUGUUUAAUGUUUCACUUAUAUGAACAUAGGAAAUGUCAUCUGACAACGAAGAAGAUUUCAUUAUGUGCGAACACUNNNNNNNNNNUCUCCUACAUGUUGCCUUGGUGCCUUCGGAGCACGAUGACAAGUGGUUCAUGGGGGCGGUAGCGGGUGAUAGUAUUCUCCUUUGGGAUCUAUAACCUGGUCGAGCAAAAAUCCCGCUAUUUCCUCUUGAAGUGCUCGUAUGCGCUCCUCUGAUAGGAGCUUGUCCCGCACCUAUUUGAACUGUUAAGAAGGAGAUCAAUAUGCAUGUGUAUUAGUUGUGUGACUAGAUAUCGACAAUCAUGUAAGAUUUGUGAAUAUUGUUCUGGCAAACGUACCCAGUCCUGUCUAUCAGAUCUGCUCCUUUCGGACGCCAUCAUGCGAAUGUUCUCGCAAACGUAGUAUGCACACACUUCAGUCUCCGGCGCCUGCUUCAGGGCCUUUACGACAAUAGAAUUUAAUCAGAUAAUAAUUAAUCAAGUAUGUUAAUUAAUUAAUUGUAUUGAAACAAGAAUUAAAGAGAUGGUAGUUAGCUAGCUAGUACUACUUAAUUACUUACCUUGGGUCGAUAUCAACAUAGCUUUUGUCGCCAUUUUCCUGGAGUCACCUUGAUGUACUUUGCCCAAGCCCUGCCCGCCGGCAAAGAAAAUUAAUAAAGGGGUUAUUAAAAAUAGUUCAUAUCAGGAAAUGACGAACUAAAUAGGCUGAGAUAUAGUUAAUAAUGAUUGAAAUAACCUGUCGACUAUCCCCUUCACGAUGCUGUAGUCACUAUUUUUUUAAGUAGUGAGUCCAGUACUUCAACUUUUCCUUCGUCAACUUUAAUGUCUAAUAAGAUCCAGUGGAAGCUGCAUGCGCAUACGUUUGCAUGUAUAAAUUAAACGGGCAUGUGCAUAACACUAAUCAACUAUAACCCUAAACCCUAUACACUUAUUAACAUCUAGCUAGUAAGCAAAAACAGAAUUUGUAGUACAAGACAGUGUGACUCACUCGAAGUUGUAAGGAAGUAGUAUAUCUUCAUUGCUAUUGAGGCGCUUCAAGAACUCUAGCAUGCAUUUCUCUACAUCUUGUCUACACCUUUCCAAUUUUCAUGUGUAUUCAUUAACGGUAUUUGGGUCAAUGAACCCAAUGCCAUAGCGUCCAGCUUUUUUCAUUUCAUACAUCUUCAUCCUGCAUAAUACCACAGAAAAGAAUAUAUAGUGAGGAUAUAUAAUUACAGGUAAUUAAUGAUCAAUCAAUGAGCACUAGAGCUAGCUUGAGACUUAAAUUACAGAAAGAAAUCACUUACAGACAAUAGCAACUGACGAUAGAUUUGUCGAGUGCAUCUUGAUUGAAUAACUGAAAUAGUUUUGAAUACUCAAUGGCCAGAACUUUCUUAUGGAAGUAAUGAUCUUCCUCGACUUGCACCAUGAGGGACUCUCGAUUGGAAAUCUUGGUAAUUUUCAUGUACCAAUCAUGCAAUUCAUACAUUCUCGUUGGGAGGUUCUUGACCUCCUCGGGCUCGACCAAAGGUUGGCCCCGGACAUAUUUCCGUUUUAUUUCCUCCUCUCUAAGCGGAGGCAUGGGCUCGAUCUCGAGGAGUUGUCCAACAGUGAUCUUGAGCAUUUCAGCCUGCAUUAUAUGCUCCUCGGUUAUUACCACAUCGCCCAGCUCGGGAACGUAAACGGUUUGCCCACAAUAAUAUUGGGCGCGCGUACUCUCAUGUGUUGUUGGCACAACAAGCGAGGGGGGGGGGGUGGUCGAUUGCGCCGCCUGUUCUCCCAGCUGGGGAACGGUUUUCCCGCAUUUUUUGACAGCUGCUUGUUGGCUCGAGCUCGAGCUUGCUUCUUUCUGUAGUCGUGCUCGAUGUGCCUUCUUGAUUUGGCGCUCAUAGUCUGAGUCAACAGGCUUGGGAGCUGGUGGUCUAGCCAUACGAAUGAAGUGGUCAAUCUUUUCCUCAGGCACUUUCUCCCUCGGCGGCGUUGCCGGUUUCGGUCGAAAAUGAGCGUCCACUUGGGCCCACACUAUUGCAUCGUUUUGCUCCUCGGUCAUGUCGUAAGGCCUCUGAGGAAGAGGAGCGAGGCUGCUUGGACCAUAUUUAUAUCGCUUGUCUCCGCCUGUACUUUCUGUACUACCUCGACUCGUACCGCUACGCACCAUAGCUGCGGCGUGUCUCUUCUGCGAUUGCUUAGGCGGCGGAGACGGCUGACGUGGCUUAGUUGGAGCAGGAGGAGUGGCCCGACGCUGUGCCGGACUUGAAGCAGGAGGUGUGGCCUGACACGGUGUCGGACUUGAAGCAGGAGGUGUGGCCUGACGCCGUGCCGGACUUGAAGCAGGAGGUGUGGCCUGACACGGUGGCGGACUUGGAGGAGCGGGAGUCUGCUGACACGGUGGCGGACUUCGAGGAGGAGUCGGCAGACGCGGUGUCGGUGGACUUCGAAAGAUGAUGCAAUCCUUUUUCCAUAGGAUGAAACGAUGUAUGGCCUCUCCCAGUGUUUGCUCGUCGUCACCUCCAGGAAUGUCAAGCUCUAGCCCCGAAUAUGGGCCCACCACCUCAUCAACCAAGACACGAGCAUAGCCCUCUGGAAUCGGGGCACAAUGGAAGGUUGCUCCGGGGGUAAUUGUAAAAGCAACGGCGUUCGCCACCUUCAUGGAUAUGUUCUUCAUUUUGUAGUGUAGCUCACAGUUAGUGUUCUCUAUGAUGUCAUCCACAGGGUAUGUAUCCAGCAGUGCGUCGCCCGGGGCGGAACCAACGCUGCUUCUCGGCAUGGAUGGGACGGCGCUAUCCAAUGCUGGAUGAUCAUCCGCUUGCUGCUGCCGCUGCUGAGACCCCCUUUCCUGGCUAAGUGAGUCGAUCUGCUGCUGUUGCUGCUGCUGGAAUUUGAGUGCCAAGUCCGCGUGCCUUGCUUCUAGGCCUUGAAGGCGUUCCGCGUCCUGCUUCCUCUGCUCCUCCUCCAGCUUCCUCUUCUUCUCCUCCUCCAUCUUCUUUCUUGCACGGGUCCUGUAGUCGUCGUUCCAUUCCGAAAAGCCCUCAUACCAGGGAAUAACGCCCUUGCCUCGCGUUCUUCCCGGGUGUUCAGGAUUUCCCAGGGCACGCGUAAGCUCGUCGUUCUCUCUGUUGGGCGUGAACACCCCCUUUCGAGCAUCUUCUAUUGCGUCAAGUAACUUUUCUUCUGCUCCGUUUAGACUUGCCUUCUUCGAAACCAGGCCUGUCUUCGGGUCCAACGCCCCCCCAUGCGCAUAGAACCAAGUUCUGCACCUGGGGGGCCAGCUCCUAGUAACCGGAGUGACCCCUGCAUCCUCCAUCUCUUGCUCAGACUUAUCCCACUUAGGCAUUGCCACCGCGUAGCCACCUGGACCCAGCCUAUGGAACUGCGUCUUUUUUGCGGCAUUGGCCUUGUUUUUUCUCGACGUUCCUUAGAUAAUUCUGAUUCCUUGAAUUUCACGAAAGCGGGCCAGUGUUCUCUUUGCUUCUCCAGUGUUCCCUUGAAUUCUGGAGUCUUCCUUUCUGCAGUGAGGUAGUUGGCCCAUACAGUUUUCUUGUGGGUGUUGAAUGCAAUUGCCAUCUUCUUAAGAGCAGCGUCCUUGACUUUCUGCACAUCUGCAUCAGUGAAAUAAUCUGAUAGGGUGAAAUGUUCCAUCAGAGAUUUCCAAAGCUUUUGUUUUGCUCUGUCGUCGACCCAAGUAAUAUCUGGGCGUUUAGUUUUUGGCUCUUUCCAUUCUUGAAUGGAGAUCGGGAUUUGGUCCUUCACAAGAACUCCGCACUGACGAACGAACUUGCUCGCAAUGUUCUUAGGCGUGAGGGGUUCGCCACUAGCUUUGAUGGAAUCGAUGUUGUACUUUACACCCUCCUUCAACUUUUUGCUCGGGCCGCGCUUUGUCCUGCUGUCUGUAGAAGCAGAUUUGCUCGAUCCGGAGGGCUGAAAGAAGAAAGAUCGAUUCGUUAAUAUAUCUUCAAAUAAAAAAACAUGUGAUGAUCACUAGAUGACUGCUUAUAUAAAUAUACCUCGCCGGUAGUCUUUGUUAUUUCAAGAUCAACAUUGUAUUCGUCAUCAUAAUCAUUGUCUGCGUCAUCAUAAUCAUAAUCAUAGUUCAUGACUUCAUCAGCUCGGUCGUCGAGAUUGAAUAUCUUAUCAUCACCCUCCCCGGUAUUGUUCAGAUAUUGGGAGCCGUCAUUUGCUUCAUUUAGAUCAUCUGGCCUGCUAGGGCUGCGUAUGAUCUCGAACAGGGCCUCUUCUCCCUCUCUGCCGGUAUUGUCCGCCAUAGCUUUUAUUUAACUAAUACAAAAGAAAUAUAAAACAAUUAAGUAUUCAAAUUACAAUGCAUGGAUGCAAUCAAUAAGGAAAAACUGAAUCAUAUAGUACAUAAUAUGCAUCGUCUCGAAUAAUAUAUAAUCUCGAAUACAUCGUCUCGAAUAAUAUAUAAUCUCAAAUACAUCACUGGCUAGGUAGCUAAUAAAGAUCGAAUACUAUAGAAGAAUCUAGGCCACUCGCGGUUCCUGGGGCGCGGGCGGUGGACACCCAAAGACAAGGAACCAUCACAGAAUCAUAUCUCUGGUCAUCUGCCCAAAGAACCUGCCAGGUAUUGGAGAACCUGACGUCCAUAGCAGCCAUGUAGCGAUGGACGUGCUCGUCCUCCUCCCUGACACGACGACGCACCACCUCUGGCGGGGCCGGCUCCCUCUGCACCGAAUGUGGCCCACGCGAACGCCACUAAAGGAGAUCAGGGUCGACAACGGGACCCGAGGCUGGGUCCCUCACCAAGCGGCGCGCCCCUCCAGGUAGCACCUCCCAAUGCCAGCCCGGCGGAGCCCAAUCCCGGACAUGGGUCAGCCGGACGUCGUCGCGAACGGGUCGACGGCGAGGAUGCAGGCCGGGCAUCGUCGAGAACAAAUACUAUAUGCCCGCAAAAAGUAACAUUUUUUAAAAGAUUGGAUUGUGAUAACUAAAAUUCUAUAUGCAAAUUCUAACAAUUUGACAUUAAUCUAAUUCAUCUAACUAAAACUAAUUCUAAAAUUUCUAACAUUUCUAUAUAUAUAACUAACAUUUCUAUAACAUUUCUAAUAUUUCUAUAACUAAAAAACAGAAAAAUUGCUACGAUGACGCGGAUGGCGACGAGGGGGGCAGCGACGGGGGCGGCGACGACGGGGACGGGGACGGCCGGGGCGGCGACAACGGNNNNNNNNNNNNNNNNNNNNNNNNNNNNNNNNNNNNNNNNNNNNNNNNNNNNNNNNNNNNNNNNNNNNNNNNNNNNNNNNNNNNNNNNNNNNNNNNNNNNNNNNNNNNNNNNNNNNNNNNNNNNNNNNNNNNNNNNNNNNNNNNNNNNNNNNNNNNNNNNNNNNNNNNNNNNNNNNNNNNNNNNNNNNNNNNNNNNNNNNNNNNNNNNNNNNNNNNNNNNNNNNNNNNNNNNNNNNNNNNNNNNNNNNNNNNNNNNNNNNNNNNNNNNNNNNNNNNNNNNNNNNNNNNNNNNNNNNNNNNNNNNNNNNNNNNNNNNNNNNNNNNNNNNNNNNNNNNNNNNNNNNNNNNNNNNNNNNNNNNNNNNNNNNNNNNNNNNNNNNNNNNNNNNNNNNNNNNNNNNNNNNNNNNNNNNNNNNNNNNNNNNNNNNNNNNNNNNNNNNNNNNNNNNNNNNNNNNNNNNNNNNNNNNNNNNNNNNNNNNNNNNNNNNNNNNNNNNNNNNNNNNNNNNNNNNNNNNNNNNNNNNNNNNNNCGGGGGCGGCGGGCGACGGGGCAGAGGAGAAGAAGCAGAUGAAAACUGACGAAAUUUCUAAGUGCUGCUUAUAUAGGAUGGGCCUUUAGUACCGGUUGGAGCCACCAACCGGGACUAAAGGUCAAAUUUGGCCAGCCCAAGCGGCGGGAAGCGCACCCCUUUAGUACCGGGUGGUGGCACCAACCGGUACUAAAGACCCCCCUUUAGUACCGGUUGGAGCCACCACCCGGUACUAAAGGGUGUGCGCUGCUAGGCGAGGGGCGCAGAAGUUUAGUCCCACCUCGCUAGUUGAGGAGCGCCAGGACCAGUUUAUAAGCCCCGAUGCGGGCACUGCAUUGAGCUCCUCUCAAUAGUAGGCCUUCUGGGCCUACCUCUCCUACUCUGCCUGUGGGCCUACUGGGCUUGCGGGCCUGCAUCCUGGCCCAACUACAGGUUGGGUUUCUAGUCGUAUGCAGGCCGCUCUGGCCGAGUAGGUGGGCUUUUUUAUUUUCUUUUUUUUUUACUUUAUUUAUUUUUGAGUUGUUUUUUGCUGUAUUUAGAGUUUCUUUGGGAAUAUUUUUGCUUUAGGUACAAAAAAUUACAAAGUUUCUGUUAAUGCCGGUAGUUUACAAAUUUGAAUAGUUUAUAUUUUGAAUUAUUUGAAAUUUGUGUGAAUCACUAGUUUGUGAAUAACUUAACUUUGAAAAUAGAUUUUCAGUGAUUCUUUUAUCUUAUGUUUAAUAUUAGUGUGUUUUAUCAUUAUAUUCAAUUUGGUAAUGCUUAGGUUAUUUAAAAAAUGAAAUCCCUUUGUAACGGAUGAGUUUUUGUCCGAAACCCUGAUACUUCGAAAGAGAUUGUCCAUUUUAUACACGAAGUGCAUCCAGUUUUUGCGGUAACCCUCUCUAUUUUUUUGCACAUGCUAUAUGGGUGAAAUUAUGAUACCAUGCCAACUUUCAACCUUUUCUGAGUUCAUUUGAAAUGCUUUUCAAUUUCAGGGUCAUUUAGCUGAAAAAAUCAGUAAAUGCAUGAAAGAAUUUGUUUGCACAUAAAAUUUCUUCGCGUUUCAAAUGUCAAAACACAUAACUACCCUAACUAUUACAGAGAUUCCUUCCUGGGUGUGAAACACAGAAGAAAUUGAUGAUAGUGAAGCCGAUCACAUCCCAGAUCUUUGGGUGUGUAACUUUUUCUUCGCAUAUGUCCCUUUGCGCCGUAGCCAUGGAAAAUCUUCAUCAUUUAACUGGAUGCUCGGGUCAAUAUUCACUGUGAAUGGAGCAAUUUCAUCAAUCUUUUCAUAAUCUUCUGACAUGUCUGUCUUGUCAUCCACUCCCACGAUGUUUCUCUUCCCAGAAAGAACUAUGUGGCGCUUUGGCUCAUCGUAUGAUGUAGUCGCUUCCUUGUCUUUUCUUUUUCUCGGCUUGGUACACAUAUCCUUCACAUAGAAAACGUGUGCCACAUCAUUAGCUAGGACGAAUGGUUCAUCUGCAUACGCAAGAUUGUUGAGAUCUACUGUUGUCAUUCCAUACUGCGGGUCUUCCGUUACCCCAUAUCGUGUCAUAUUGACCCAUUUGCACCGAAACAAAGGGACCUUCAAAUCACGUCCAUAGUCAAGUUCCCAUAUCUCCUCUAUGUAACCAUAAUAUGUUUCCUUUCCCGUCUUGGUUGUUGCAUCAAAGCAGACACCACUGUUUUGGUUGGUGCUCUUCUUAUCUUGGGCGAUCGUGUAAAAUGUAUUACCAUUUAUCUCGUACCCUUUGAAAGUCAUUAUAUUCGUAGAUGGUAACUAGGACAGCGAGUACACAUCAUCUUCAAUAGAGGCGUCAUGCAUGGUACGUGUCUGCAACCAGCCGGCGAAACUCCUGGUUUGUUCACGUGUAAUCCAGUCAUCAGACCGCUCCGGGUGUUUGGAGCGUAGAAAAUUCUUGUGUUCGUCCAUAUACGGAGCCACCAAGGCGGAAUUCUGUAUAACUGUGUAGUGUGCUUCAGUGAGAGAAUGUCCGUCCAUACAUAUUUUUUGAUUCCCUCCUAGCGUGCCUUUUCCAUCUAGUCUGCCCUUAUGCCGCGAUUCAGGAACACCAAUCGGCUUAAGGUCAGGAAUAAAGUCAAUACAAAACUCAAUGACCUCCUAAUUUUCAUGGCCCUUGGAGAUGCUUCCUUCUGGCCUAGCACGGUUAUGAACAUAUUUCUUUAAGACUCCCAUGAACCUCUCAAAGGGGAACAUAUUGUGUAGAAAUACAGGACCCAAAACACUAAUCUCUUCGCAUAGGUGAACUAGGACGUGCGUCAUGAUGUUGAAGAAGGAUGGUGGGAACACCAACUCAAAACUGACAAGACUAAUCGAACGUUGAGGAAUGCACGCAUAGCUUCACAAUGGCUAAUCGAACGUUAUCCGGUAGAAGCCCCCUCAAUGCAACCGGAAGCAGUUGCGUCAUAAUCACGUGGCAGUCAUGAGACUUUAGGUUCUGGAACUUUUUCUCUGCCAUGUUUAUUAUUCCCUUUAUAUUCGACGAGAAGCCAGACGGUACCUUAAUACUGAGCAGACAUUCAAAGAAGAUUUCCUUCUCUUCUUUGGUAAGAGCGUAGCUGGCAUGACCCUGAUGUAUGCCGUCUUUUCCAUGCAUACGUUGCUAGUCCUCCCGUGCCUCAGGUGUAUCUUUUGUCUUCCCAUACACGCCCAAGAAGCCAAGCAGGGUCACGCAAAGAUUCUUCGUCACGUGCAUCACGUCGAUUGCAGAGCGGACCUCUAGAUCUUUCCAAUAGGGCAGGUCCCAAAAUAUAGAUUUCUUCUUCCACAUGGGUGCGCGUCCGUCAGCAUCAUUCGGAACAGGUUGUCCGCCAGGACCCUUUCCAAAGACUACCUUCAAAUCCUUGACCAUAUCAUGUACAUCAGCACCAGUACGGUGGCGAGGCUUCGUCCGGUGAUCCGCCUCACCUUUGAAAUGCUUGCCUUUCUUUCUUACGGGAUGCCUGCUCGGAAGAAAUCGACGAUGUCCUAGGUACACAUUCUUCCUACAAUUGUCCAAAUAUAUACUGUCGGUAUCAUCCAAACAGUGCGUGCAUGCGCGGUAUUCCUUGUUUGUCUGUCCUGAAAGGUUACUGAGAGCAGGCCAAUCAUUGAUGGUCACGAACAGCAAGGCCUUUAGGUCAAAUUCUUCCCCCAAGUGCUCAUUCCACGCACGUACACCUGUUCCAUUCCACAGCUGUAAGAGUUCUUCAACUAAUGGCCUUAGGUACACAUCAAUGUCGUUGCCGGGUUGCUUAGGGCCUUGGAUGAGGACUGGCAUCAUAAUGAACUUCCACUUCAUGCACAACCAAGGAGGAAGGUUAUACAAACAUAGAGUCACAGGCCAGGUGCUAUGGUUGCUGCUCUGCUCCCCAAAAGGAUUAAUGCCAUCUGCGCUUAGACCAAACCAUACGUUCCUUGCGUCAUCUGCAAACUCCUUCCCGUACUUUCUCUCAAUUUUUCUCCACUGCGACCCGUCAGCGGGUACUCUCAACUUUCCGUCUUUCUUACGGUCUUCUCUGUGCCAUCGCAUCGCCUUGGCAUGCUCUUUGUUUUGGAACAAACGUUUCAACCGUGGUAUUAUAGGAGCAUACCACAUCACCUUGGCAGGAAUCUUCUUCCUGGGGCACUCGCCCUCGACAUCACCAGGGUCAUCGCGCCUGAUCUUAUAGCGCAAUGCACCGCAUACCGGGCAAGCGUUCAAAUCCUCGUACUCACCGCGGUAGAGGAUGCAGUCAUUAGGGCAUGCAUGUAUCUUCUGCACCUCUAACCCUAGAGGGCAGACAGCCUUCUUUGCUUCGUACGUACUCUCGGGCAAUUCGUUGUCCUUUGGAAGCAUAUUCUUUAUCAUUACCAGCAACUUUCCAAAUCCCUUGUCAGAUACACCAUUCUCUGCCUUCCAUUGCAGCAAUUCCAGUGUGGUGCCCAACUUUUUCUUGUCAGCUUCGCAAUUCGGGUACAACAAUUUCUUGUGAUCCUCUAACAUGCGCUGCAACUUCUUCUCCAAAUCACUUGCGCAGUUUCUCUUUGCAUCGGCAAUGGCCCGACCUAGAUCAUCAGCGGGCUCAUCUGAUGCCUCUUCUUCAGCUUCUUCCCGCAUUGCCGGCUCAGCUUCUUCCCUCAUUGUUGUAUCAUCGUAUUCAGGGAACCCAUGGCCAGGAUAGUUGUCGUCGUCCUCUUCUUCUUCAUUGUCUUCCAUCAUAACCCCUCUUUCUCCGUGCUUGGUCCAAACAUUAUAGUGGGGCAUGAAACCAGGACUUAAACAGGUGGACGUGAAUGGUUCUUGACGUAGAGUAAUUGUGAUCAUUCUUACAGACUAAACAUGGACAAGGCAUAAAACCAUCCGCCCGCUUGUUUGCCUCAGCCGCAAGCAGAAAAGUUUGCACGCCAUUAAUGAACUCGGGAGAGCAUCGGUCAUCGUUCAUCCAUUGUCGGCUCAUCUUCAUUACACAACACCGAAUAGACCAAAUUAAUACAAGUUCAUACAUAAAGUUCAUACAAGCCUUAAAUGCAACAAACAAAUAACUCUCUAACUAAAAAAUUUAAAUGCAACAACAAAUGCGAUCAAGAUCGCAACUAAGGUGACAAUUGAUCCAACAACAUAAUGAUACCAAGCCUCACUAUCAAUGGCAUAUUUUCUAAUCUUUCUAAUCUUCAAACGCAUUUUCUCCAUCUUGAUCUUGUGAUCAUCGACGACAUCGGCAACAUGCAACUCCAAUUCCAUCUUCUCCCCCUCAAUUCUUUUCAAUUUUUCUUUCAAAUACUCGUUUUCUCUUUCAACUAAAUUUAACCUCUCGACAAUAGGGUCGGUUGGAAUUUCCGGUUCACAAACCUCCUAGACAAAAAUAUCUAUGUCAACUUGAUGGGCAUAAUUUGUCAUAAACACGAAAUGCAACAACUAGUUUUAAAAGAGAAUAUACCACAUCCGAAUCAUAAUAAGGAUGAGGGCCGACGGGGACGGAUAUCAAAACCAUGGCACUAUGUAUAACAAACAAUGUACGGGUAAGAUAAUUAUACGAGUAACUAUAUAUCCAAAUCACACAAACAUCAAUUUGGUAAUGUAAAACAUUCAUGAACAAGAGGCUCACCACAAGGUGGUGCCGGCGACGGAACGGUGUGGGCGAUCGACUGUGGUUACGAUAGAGAUUUAGAAGGCACUAAGUAAACCACACCUACAUAUGCAAACUAAGUGUUAGUUUUGACCACAAAUUGCAUAUAAGUCAAAUACUAGCACAUAUAUUUUCUACCAAAUUACUAAACUCAUAAAUUAAUCACUAUACAAAGCAUUGCAAGAGCUAAUCUAGCAAUGAGAGAUGAAAGGACAAAGUUGCUAACCUUUGUGGUCAUUUGAAUGGAUGGGGGCCUUCAAAUCUUGACAAAUUUUGGGCAAAAUGUGUGAUGAGCUCGAGAGGAAGAGGGGAAGAACAUAGAGGAGAGGGGAAAGGGGAAGAACAGAGCGAGCUCGGGUGGACGAAAGGCUUAUGUACGACGACCUUUAGCAUCGGUUCGUGCCACGAACCGGUACUAAAGGUGCUGGAGGGGCCCCGGACUGACAACAUCCUUCCACCUCUCACUUUAGUACCGGUCCGUAGCACGAACCGGUGCUAAAGGUCGGCCACGAACCAGUACUAAUGAAAGCAGCUGGCUAGCCGUUGGAACCGGCACUAAUGCACACAUUAGUGCCGGCUCAAAAGCAAACCGGCACUAAUGUGCUUGACAUUUGACCCUUUUCUACUAGUGAUUCAAGUAAAUAGAUGCCUAAUGCAUGUUGAAAUAAAAGUUUGCUUUACAUUCUGUUUGCACAAUUGUGUUUUUUACAAAGUCUUUAAAACAAGACCAAUAUUGAAUAUAUUUUUAGAAAUUAAUUUUUGACAACUAAAUCACCAUGCUUCGAACUUGUUCCAUACAUAUUUAUUAAUUCCAUGUGAAAAUUUUAAUAAUGUACAUUUCACAAAUUAUUAUCUUAUUGUUUCACUAUGGCUCCCCAUGUUCCGUUGCAUUUCAUAAUGAUACAUUGUGUGCCAAUGUGUAUCAAACUGAUUCUUAGUAAUCUAAAAGUUUGUAAAUAUUAAUAUAUUUUAUUGCAACAAAACUUUGGCCUUAUCUAGUGUUUAACAAAACAUGGCAUAGUUAUGUGUACUCUUAUAGUGUUUCACUAUGUUUCAGAAUUUAAAUUUUAAAAAUUAUUGAAAUAUAUUCAAAAGUGGUCUCUUUUCAAAGGUCUCGUUGUCAAAAACACAAAUAUGAAACCGGAUCAUAAAUUGUACUUUUGGUUCAUAAGACCAAUUAGAUUUGAACUUGGAAAUAAAAUGAAAAAGUAUGAAAUGGUGGAACGUAGGUGGAACAGUGUACUUGCAUGUGAUGAAAGAAAUAACUAACUAACUGCCAGCGGUAUAAAUGCAUGGCAUCGGAUCUCCAAACAAACCAACGGCGCAUGCAUGCACGGUACCUCCCGUGCAUGGGAGAUUAGCUUUUCUCUAUUUUGGGGGAUACUGUGCCAGUUCAGACUUGGCGUUUGGCAGCGUGGCCUGUUCAUGUGUUUGAUUGGGCGUAGUAGUGUGUGGGUACUUCAGUUAGAUGGUAUGCAGCGGAUCGAGUCUAUCGACCGUGUGGCGAUGCCUGUAGAUUGUAGCACUAAAAUAUGAUGCUCAUUCAUAAACUAAUUUAGAUAAAGCCGCAAAAAAAAUGUGCUAGUUUUUUUUUGUGCUCACAUACUCUGUUUUGUCUCAGUUUUAGUCCAGGGCAACUUUGAAGCUUAUCUUAGGGUGGUAGCCAGAAAAAUGUGUUAAAGACCUUAUUAAGAAGUGAAGAAGAAUAGGCGUCUCCAGUUUUUGUUUCUCCAACUCUAUGCCUACACUGUAAUAUUAUUGAUGGAUUAGCUCCAGUUGAUGCAACUGUACUCUUUCUGGUAGGUCUGAGAUGCGAGUGAGCCAGAUCGAUCCUGAGCUAGCUACUUGUCUCCCUUAAGUCUUACAGCAAGACAAAUGCACUGGACUACAAAGAGGAAAUUCCUGCAGGUUCGUAAUGCAUCUGUUUUGGUUCUGGCAUUUGUCAGAUGUGUAUAGUCCCUUUUCGGUUCUUUCCCGUUGUAUAAGGGGUUUCCUGCAUUUCACCACACAUGUAUAUGUAAUGGCCUUUGACCCUCAGUGAAUACUAGUUGCUGUUUAUCCAACAUGGUAUCAGAUGUUAGGUUCCUCUCUCUCCUGCACGCUGCAACUCCGUGCUAGCUCGCCUCCCCUGAUUCGCUUCGUCCCCUUGCCAUCCGGCUGAUGCUGCUCUCUGGCCGAUUCCGGCUGCCCCCGACCUGAGCUCCGCCCGGUCCUCCUCGUCGUGGAUCCGCCGGGGCCUGCUCGAUCCGGCCUCCCCGGCCUAUCCACGGCCAGGCUCGGCCACCCCUCGCCGCGGAUCCAACCGGGACCUGCUCGUCCCGUGCUCGGCCGUAGCCCUCCUUGCCGCUCGGCCACCCCGCGGAUCCGCCUAUGCCCGACCGGGGCCCUCCUCGCCGUGGAUCCGGUCUCUCCGGCCCGUCCAAUGCCAGGCUCGGCCCGGCCGCCGCCGCCUCCUGCCGGCCGGCCGCCGUCGCCCCUUUCUCCGCCUCGCCUUGGAUCCGGCCGGGGUCUGCUCGUCCCGUGCUCGUCGGGUCCUUGCUUGGCCGCUCGUCUGCCUGGCCGCUCGUCCCGUGCUCCUGCACUCGGGUUCGGCCCUCUGUGGUCAAUGUGUGUUGCCUAUAGUUGACCCUGUGUAAAAAAACCCAAUGAGCUCGUCAUGUCUCCGUCAGGCUAUGUGGCUGUUCCUCGGUGCUCGGUGAUCUUCGAUGGCACCAACUAUGCUGAGUUUGUGGGUUUCAUGCGCAUUCACAUGCGUGGUCUUCUCCUGUGGGGCGUUCUCUCUGGCGAGGUUCCAUGUCCGCCUUGCCCUGUUGCUCCUGUGGCUCCUAUCCCGCCGGUGCCGCCUGUUCUUGCUGUUGAUGCUUCUCAGGCUGAUCGGGAUACAGCCAAGGCCCUUGACGAUGCCGCGGUUGAUGCUUAUGAUCAGCAGGUAUCCGCCUACUCAGAUGCUCUUUCUGCUUACCGAAACGAUUUGUCUGCUUACACUCAGUGGUGCAACGAUGAUGCUCGAGCUACUGCUGUUCUCACUUCGAGUGUCUUACCUCAGUUUGCAUCUGAGUUCAUGGGUCUCAGUAUUGUUGCUGCGAUGUGGUCCUAUCUUUGUCAGUGAUAUCAGCCCUCUGGUGAUGCUCUCUACUUAUCUGUGGUGCAUCAGGAGCACGCUCUUCACCAGGGUGACCCUUCUGUUGAUGAGUUCUACUCACAGAGCUCUGCCAUCUGGCGCCAGAUUGACUCUCUCAGGAUAGUUGUUUGUGGUUCUUGCCGUUGUUGCCAGACUGUACGGUCAGACUUGGAGUUUCAUCGUCUCCAUGAGUUCUUAUCUCACCUUCAUCCAGAGUUUGAGCCUCGGCGUGCUCACCUGCUUGCUCGUGGUCGUGUUCCUAUUUUGGAGGUGCUUGUAGAGCUUCCUGCCGAGGAGACACGCCUCCGUUCUGCUGGUCUGCUUGUGGUUCCCACUGUGCUUGCUGCCCGAGCUCCUGUGUCGUCUGCUCGCCUCACCACUCGACCACUCCUGCCCACACCUCCAGGGGGUGGUUCACCCUCCUUCAGGCGAGGGUCGAUCGCGCUCGCACACCUUCCGUGGCUACUGCAACAGGCCAGGUCACCCAAAGUCUGAUUGUCACAAGAAGCGGAAAGACCUGAAGCGCUCUUCUUCUAGUGGGACUCGUGCGUCUUCCUCGACUUCGUCGCUCAUUGACCAGGAUAUUGUGCGGCUCAAGCGCAUGUUGGCUUCCUCUGGUUCUUCCUCGACGGGUUCUGUUGCCGCUGUGACUACCACUACCACUCCGCCGCCGUCGGAGCCUACUCAGUGAGGUACAUCCUCGUGGGUUCUGGAUUCUGGAGCUUCUUUCCAUAUGUCUUUUGACUCUUCUGCUUUAUCUUCUCUUCGACCUCUUGAUUUUCCUCUUAAUGUUCUCACUGCCGAUGGCACACCCCUUCCUGUUACUAGUCGUGGCAUUCUUUCCACUCCGUCUUUUUCGGUUCCUAGUGUUUCUCAUGUUCCUCGUCUUACCAUGAAUCUUUUUUCCGCUGCCCAACUUACUGAUUCUGGUUGUCGUGUCAUUCUUGAUGCCGACUCUUGUUCUGUUCAGGAUCGUCGCACUCAGGCUCUGGUUGGCGCUGGCCCUCGGCGCGGUGAGUCUAAGGGACUUUGGGAGGUUGACUGGCUUCGUGUUCCUUCCGCUGCUACCACAUACACCAGCUCUCAUGCUCUUGUUGCCUCCUCUUCUGCGUCCUUCCAGCAGUGGCAUCAUCGACUUGGUCACAUCUGUGGCUCUCGCUUGUCCUCCUUAGUUCACCAAGGCGUCUUAGGGUCUGUCUCUGGUGAUGUUUCGUUGCAUUGUGAUGGUUGUAGGCUUGGAAAACAGACUCAGUCACCUUAUCCUACCAGUGAGUCUAUAUCUCAGCGUCCUUUUGACUUAGUUCAUUUUGAUGUAUGGGGUCCUGCUCCUUUUGACUCGAAAGGGGGUCAUCGCUAUUAUGUUUUGUUUAUUGAUGAUUUCUCUCUCUACACUUGGCUUUAUUGUAUGAAAUCUCGCAGCGAGGUUCUCCCCAUAUACAAGCGUUUUGCUGCCAUGGUUCGCACUCAAUUUUCCACGCCUGUCCGUAUCUUCCGUGCUGACUCAGCUGGAGAGUAUAUCUCUCACAUGUUGCGUGGUUUUCUUGCGGAGCAGAGUACUCUUGCCCAAUUCUCUUGCACUGGUGCACAUCCUCAGAAUGGCGUUGCUGAACACAAACAUCGCCAUUUGCUUGAGACGGCUCGGGCGAUGAUGAUCGCCGCCUCUCUUCCACCCCAUUUUUGGGCUGAGGCCGUUUCAGUAUCCACCAGCUCGUCAACAUUCAGCCAUCGGCUGCCUUGAAGGGUGGUAUUCCUAUGGAGCGUCUCUUUGGUCCUGACUACUCUGCUCUUCGCAUGUUUGGAUGCAUGUGCUAUGUUCUCCUUGCUCCGCGAGAACGAACCAAGUUGACUGCUCAGUCAGUUGAGUGUGUUUUCCUUAGCUAGAGUGAUGAGCACAAGGGCUAUCGCUGUUGGGAUCCUGUUGGUCACCGACUGCGCAUUUCGCGUGAUGUGACUUUUGAUGAGUCUCGUUCUUACUAUCCGCAUCCCUCCUCCUCGAGCUUUUCCGUGGAAGAUAUUUCCUUUCUUCUCCUUCCCGACACAUCUCCCUCUGUGUCUCCUGUUAUUCCCUCUCCCCCGAUGAGUCUCCCUACACCAUCGGUACCAUCAUCCCCUCCCUCCUCCUCCUGUCCCUCGUCAUCUCCCUCCCCACCCUCCUCCCCAGUCUUUCGCCCUCACUCCCCUUCUCCUCUCCACUACACUCGUCAUCCUCAUGCUGUGGAUGAUCCUACUGAUGUGCCCUCUACUUCCGGUGCACCUCCUCUCACGCCUACACCGGUCCAUAACCUUUGCGUUAGGCCUUGUCCCCCACCUGAUCGCUAUUCUCCUGACCAGUAUGGUCUUUCUGCCAUUGCUGAGCCCACCACCUAUCGAGCUGCCAUGACUCGGCCUGAAUGGCAGCUUGCCAUGGCCGAGGAGCUUGCGGCGCUUGAGCGCAAUGGCGCGUGGGAUCUGGUUUCUCCUCCUUCUGGUGUUUGUCCCAUCACGUGCAAGUGGGUCUAUAAGAUUAAGACUCGCUCUGAUGGUUCUCUUGAGCGUUACAAAGCUCGUCUUGUGGCUCGUGGCUUUCAGCAGGAACAGGGGCGUGAUUAUGACGAGACUUUUGCUCAUGUGGCCCAUAUGACCACUGUCCGCACUCUACUUGCUGUGGCUUCUGUUCGUCAUUGGCCUGUGUCUCAGCUUGACGUUCAGAACACCUUUCUCAAUGGCGAGUUGCGUGAGGAGGUUUAUAUGCAGCUACCACCGGGGUACUAUGCUCCUGAUGGUAUGGUCUGUAGACUUCGCCGCUCCCUCUAUGUGUAGGAUCGGAAGUAUGUCUAGAGGGGGGGGGGGUGAUUAGACUACUUGACCAAAUAAAAAUCUAGCCUUUUCCCAAUUUUAGUUCUUGGCAGAUUUUAGCAACUUAGCACAAGUCAAACAAUCAACCUACACAUGCAAUUCUAAGAGUAUAGCAGCGGAAAGGUAAAGCAAUUGCAUAUGAAGGUAAAGGGAUGAGUUUGAGGGAGCAAACGCAAUGUUGACAUAGAGAUUUUUUAUCCGUGGUUCCGAUAGGUGGUGCUAUCGUACAUCCACGUUGAUGGAGACUUCAACCCACGAAGGGUAACGGUUGCGCGAGUCCACGGAGGGCUUCACCCACGAAGGGUCCACGAAGAAGCAACCUUGUCUAUCCCACCAUGGCCGUCGCCCAUGAAGGACUUGCCUCACUAGGGUAGAUCUUCACGAAGUAGGCGAUCUCCUUGCCCUUACAAACUCCUUGGUUCAACUCCACAAUCUUGUCGGAGGCUCCCAAGUGACACCUAGCUAAUCUAGGAGACACCACUCUCCAAGAAGUAACAAAUGGUGUGUUGAUGAUGAACUCCUUGCUCUUGUGCUUAAAAUGAUAGUCUCCCCAACACUCAACUCUCUCUCAUAGGAUUGGAUUUGGUAGAAAGAAGAUUUGAGUAGAAAGCAACUUGGGAAGGCUAGAGAUCAAGAUUUAUGUGGUUGGAAUGGAAUAUCUUGAACUCAACACAAGUGUAGGUGGUUCUCUCUCAGAAAAUAUGUAUUGGAAGUGUAGGCAUGUUCUGAUGGCUCUCUCCACGAAUGAAGAGUGGGUGGAGGGGUUUAUAUAGCCUCCACACAAAAUCUAACUGUUACACACAAAUCACCAAACUCGGUGGGAGCGAUUCAAAGAACUCGGUCAGACCGAUUUGGUUCAUAAUGUGAACGUUAGGAUUCUCGGUGGGACCGACAUGUCAACUCUGUGGGACUGAUGUCAUUAGGGUUAGGGCAUAACGUAAUCUCGGUGAGACCGAUUACACAAACUCGGUGAGUCCGAUUUUGGUAAUAGCCAAACAGAGUGUUGGUCUGGCAAACUCGGUGGGACCGAUUCGCUCAUCUCGGUUGGACCGAAAUGUUACGAAAGGGAAACAGAGAUUUUGCAUUGUAAUCUCGGUGGGACCGAUCGCUCAUCUCGGUUUGACCGAAACGUUACGAAGGGAAACAGAGAGUUUGCAACCCCAUCUCGGUGAGACCGAGAUCCCUAUCGGUGAGACCGAAUAGAUUAGGGUUUCUGGCAGUGGCUAUGUCAACUGAACUCGGUGGCUCUGGAUGGAAAGAAUCGGUGGGGCCGAGUUGGACUUUUUGGUUUAGGACAUAUGUGGAUAUGAGAAAGUAGUGGAGGGUUUUGGAGCAUAUCACUAAGCAUUUUGAGCAAGAAUCUCAUUAAGCAACACCUCAUCCCUUCUUAAUAGUAUUGGCUUUUCCUAUAGACUCAAUGUGAUCUUGGAUCACUAAAAUGAAAAAUGUAGAGUCUUGUGCUUUGAGCUUGAGCCAAUGUUUUGUCCUUAGCAUUUUGAAGGGUCCACUUCCUAAUCCAUGCCAUGCCAAACAUUGAGCUUUCCUAAAAUAUUUAUCUUGGAAUAGCAUUAGCUCAGUGAGCUAUAUGUUGUUAGGAAUUACCAAAACCACCCAGGGAUAGUUGCACUUUCAAUCUCCCCCUUUUUGGUAAUUGAUGACAACAUAUAGAUCAAAGCUUCGACAAAUGAUAAAUAAGAUUGAAAAACAUCGUCGCUUUGAGAAGUAUGUGAUAAGCAAGAGCUCCCCCUAAAUUUGUGCAUUAUUUAAGAUUUGCUUUUGAAUGCAAAUGCACAAUCGAUUAGGAUCAUGGGUUACUCUUCCAUGUCACAUACAUCUUGGUGGAGCACUCAAAUGAUAGAGAUUAAAAGCAUGCACUCAUCACCAAGCAAAGUGAAUGAUCAUAAUAGGAUAUGAAAGAUAGCAUUAUCCAACAAGCAUUAAGGGUAGCAUAUGAUCAAACACUUGACCAAAUAAGUAUCUCACAAGGACACAAAGUAGUAUCACACAAGCACGCAGUAAAGUUUCAAACCAACCAAAAAAGAGUGCAAAGAGAGAUAAAAACCAACACUCUCUCUCUCGAAGCCUAUGAUCUAUACAUUUUUCUCCCCCUUUGGCAACAAGUUACCAAAAAGUUUGAAAAUGCAUAGUUCUAAACGACUCUCAGGCUUGAUCUUCGGGAGGUGGUGUUGAGAGAACGCCAAGGACGAAGGCUUCUGAUGAAGUGGCUGGAGCUGGUGGAGUAGCUACUGGCGUUGGAACUGGAGCUGUGGCUGCUGGUGCUGAUGUUGUAGCUCUAGUGUCUGUCACUGGCACUGCAGUAGAUCUCUGUCCUCUGGGCACUCUAGCAAAUGCAUCUGUGGUAGACUUGCCCUUCUUCUCCUCUGCUUCCUCCUGAGGUUGCUCAACUGCUCUUUGGAUCUCAGUUACCUUGACAUCAAGGUCAUAGAAUUUUGUCUCAACAAUCCUUUCCAAGCUCUCCUGGUUCUUGGUCAGGGUGGCCAAGCCCUGCUCAAUCCUCAGAGUGGAUUGGAUCAGAUAUGCAAGCUGGUCGUGCUUGCUCUUCAAGAAUACAUGAGAUGCCUCUUCCAUAGUUGGCAUCUUUGCAACUUUCGCAGCUUUAGCCUUCUCUCUCUUUUCUUGUGCUUGCACAAAUGAUGGUUCAUUCUCAGUCAUGACAACAGUGUUGUCCUCAAAUUCAGGAUAGAUGGGUAGAUGCUCCUUGUCCAAGAUGUACUUGCCUUUGCCCAUCUUUGAGUUGAUGAGCUCCUGGAUGUGUGGGGCAUAUCCACAACUUCGCUUCUGAUCGGCUGCAGUCCUCUUGAUUGUUUCCACAAUCAGGCUCAUAACCUUGAAUUUUUGUGGGACAUCAAAUAUGUGCAGCAAGUUGAUAGCAUGUCCUCUGAUCAUCUUGUGAUCACCUGACUUGGGUAGAAGUGUGUGCCUCAGAAUCCAAUUGAUUGUUGGCAGACCAGACAACAAAUAGUGUACAGAUCCAAACUUAUGUGUGUCCAAAGCAUCAUCAGGGAUCUCUUCGUACAUAUUUGCCAUAGAGUUGUGGUCUUUCUUCUUCUUGUCAUAGACAUCCAAGUCAUCCUCAUGUUCCUCAGGAGCAUUUAUUAGUUUUGCCCAUUCUUCAACUGUAAACUGGUACCUAGUACCCUCAGACAUCCACACAAUCCUUCCAUCUGGAUAGAAGUGUGCAGUGGAGUAAAAUUGCAUAAUGAGCUCAUCAUUCCACUUGGUGAACUUCCGAGCCACAAACUCAUCAACUCCACAUGCCUUGAAGUUUUCAUAUACACCAGGGAAGUGAUCCUCAUUUUCCUUAAUGAAUUUCCAAUCAACCCAUCUCAUGUCACACACUAUGGGCUUCUUGUCAAGUAAGGCAGCCUCAUAGAAGUCCUGUUGUUCCUUAGUGUGGAAUGUGUAGUCCAUAGUAGUCCUUCUCCUGGUGGCAUAUGGAUCAGACUCUCUCCAUAGCCUCAAUCCUGAAUCCUUCCUGAUUUUCAUGUUCUCUGCAACUGGGUGUGCAUCAUUGUGAUCAGGGAUCUUGGGCUUCAGCUUUCUCAAAAUGACAGAAUCAUCUUCUUCUUCUUCAGCAGCUUGAGGCACUGGGGCCUUGUUCUUCUCCUCAGCAGGGAUGUUCCUAGUGCUCCUCUUGGGUUUUGGUUUUGGAGCUGGAGCAGCAGCCUUGGGAGCAGCUUUGGGCUUAGAUGGAGCAGCCCCUGAUCUGAUUGCAUCUCCCAUGAGCUUUUGAGCUUUGGGUGCUGGUGCAGCAUCCUCUUCCUCUUCCUCUUCAGAAUCUUUCCUCAUUGAGGGCUUCCCAAGAACUCUAGAAGUAGUGGUUCUGGCCCUCUUCUUCUUCUUAUCCUCACCAGCUGCUUCUUCUUCAGAUUCAAUGGUGAACUUCAUAGUUUCACCUGUGGCAACUUUUCUUGGCUUAGACAUGGGCUGUCUUCCUGCUGGCCUCUUUGUUUUCAGACCUGGCUUAGUUGCAGCAGCUGAGCCAUACUCUUUCUUCAGCACUUUCUUCUUUGAAGUGGCUUCAUCUUCAACAGCCACAUAGUCUUCAUCCUCAGAGUCAGAAGUUCUCUUCUUCCUUGACCUGGUGGCAGCUUUUGGCAAGUUGCUUGGAGUGCUCCUGCUGCCUUCAUCAUAGCUGCUAGAGGGACUAGUGCCCUCACUCAACUGAACCUGUUCCUCUGACUUGUUCUGGCUGUCACUUUGGUCAGACAUCUUGCAGGCAAACUGUCAGCAGACCCUGUGAACAGGUUAUAGAUGAGGUAGAGUAGAUGAGCAUCACAAAGCACAGGAGUUUUUGCAAAAUAGAUGACUUAAAAACUUAGUUUUAGUUCUUCAUAGAAAGCAUUUCGGAUCUACCGUUUUGUAAACUCGGUGAUACCGAAGCAGCUUUUGGAACCUGAACUAGUGAACUCGGUCAGACCGAGUCACAGUUCGGUGGCACCGAGACUGCUAGGGUUUCACAGAGAAUUGAACUCGGUCACACCGAUUUGCAAUUUUCGGUCGGACCGAAAAUGCGUGUGCUCUGGCCUAAGCCAAAAUCGGUGAGACCGAUUUCUACAACUCGGUCGGUCCGAGAUGAAUUCGGCGGAGACCUAACCCUAAAUUUUCAAAUCAAAACUAAUCUACGGGACGUUUUCGCUGGACAGGAUGAUUUCAGUUGUGGCAAGAAACAUGGCAAAGCAAUGUGCUAAGAAUUGGAGUUAAAGAUUAGCACAAUGAUAAAGUCCGUACCCUAGUGCGGCGACGAACUUGCUACGUCGGCAACGGCGGAGAUGAUUUCCGUUGACGGCGGCGGAGACCAGCGGCGGGAGGACGCUGGCGACGAGAGGACGAUCCGGAGACCAGAGGAGGCAGAGUAGGUUACGCGCGGGCGAAGGGGUUCGGAGAAAUUUCCAAAUUUUGACCCAGCGGUAUAUAUAACCUGACCCUGUCGGUGUGACCGAGUGGAACGACUCGGUGGCACCGAGAUGCAAAACUGCAAGCAGUUACUGCAACUCGGUGUGACCGAAAUGUUCUAAUCGGUUGCACCGAGAUUGAAAACUCUAGAUCAACUUGGUGACUCGGUAGGACCGAAAAGGAUGAAUCGGUCAGACCGAGGUGCACAAAGAGGUUUGGAGGUUUAAGUCUAUGACGAAUCGGGAUCUCCGAGUGCUCCUCACACAGAGUGGUUCGAAUCUGACUUGAUCAAACUUUGUGAUGUAGCAUGAAUAGAGUUUGAGACGAGAAAAGCAUAGAUAGCUAGAGGGUGUUCUUAGGCAUUCUUGUCCAUCCAUUUGGCAAAAGAGAAAGAGCCAAACAAUCAAAACAACAAAUGGAUGUCCUCGAAUGAGUAAAAUAUGCAACCAACAUGCUCACACAAUAAAAUGGCAAAUGAAAUAUGUGAAAAAGCAUGCACAAACAUUCUAGCAUCUAUCAAGCAAUUGGCGAUGACUAGGUCAUCUAUAUAUGAGUAUAUUGACUUAGGAGUCAAAUGAGAACAUUUGAUCAUAGGUCAUACUCAUCGUUUAAGCACAAGUGGGGUUACCACUUUUACAUAAAGAAUUGUUGUGUUCACACCAUUAGAGUUGCUUUAGCUCAUUGAUUUGAGUAAAGCUCCCCCUAGAUGUGAUAUUCCCCCUAAAGGGAAUGAACUAACCUUGGGUUUUGUCGAUGAUGACUUCAUGUAGGUGUUGAAGAUGUAGAUGCUCAAUGUUGAUGUAGAUCAUUUGGAGCAAUCCUUUGGAGUGAGUUGCGCUUUCAAUACCUUGUCCCUUGUCUUACCAACAAGAGGGUUUGUGACUCCUUGAACUAGUGCAAGAUAUGGAAGUUGUUUGCACUUGUCCUUGCCAAAAUGAUAGGAGUGAAGUAUGUUGGCGGAGUCACCCUCAAGAACUCUCUAGUUCUUCUUCUUCUGGAUCCACACCAUCUUGAUGGGAACCCUUGGAGUCGUAGUUGUACUUGAUGAAGUGGAACUUGAUGUAGUCUUGGGAACCCACUUGACAAAGGCCUUAGGUGCUUCUUCAAAUGCAUCAAUUUCCUCUUGAAGCUUAUCCUUGCAUUUUUGCUUGUGGUCUUGUGGUGGAAGAUCAUCUUGAGCUUGUGUUCCUUUGAGAGAAGUAGGAUCAUACUUCUCUUGUUGAGGAACAAACUUCGUCUUGGGGUAUUGAUCUUCUUCCCACUCAACUCCAUUGGCAUCGAACUUCCGUUCAAAACCAACACCUUGAUUCUUCCGGUGUCUUCCUUGCUUGCGCACAAUUUCCUCAAAAUGCUUACUUCCGGCAAGACUCUUGUAAACACCUUUCUCUAUGAUUCCCUUCAAUAAGCUAUUUUCUUGCUCAAGUGUAACUAGGCUAAGAGAAUCAUUAGUGGAAUCAAGAGAACUACUAGAAGCAUCAACAUUGGAUUUAGCAUGAUUGUUGUUACUACUAGAUGAAGAAUCUUUCUUGUUCUUGUUGCUAGAUUUAACUUGUGGCAUGUAAGUAGACAAGAGUAAACGCUUGGCAAUGUAAGAAGAACUUUUCUUGCGAAGAUCAUCAUUGAUUGCCUUUAAAAACUCAUGCUCUUGCUCAAGGUUGAGCUUUUCAAAGCGUAGCUUAUCAUGAGUCUUUAAAAGUUCUCGAUGAUUUUCCAAGGUAGUUUCAUGAGCUAACUUAAGAGUGUUUAGUUCUUGAGUUAGACGCUCAAUCUCCUUCUUAUCUUCAUCAUUCGUUUUAUCUUGAUUAGCAUGUUUAAUUGACGUUUCAUCAUAGUUUUCUCACUAGAGUUGUCAACAAGUAAAUCAUCAUCACCUAGCAAAUCAUCUUCAUCACUAUUGAAAUCAGAAUACUCGGGAUGUGUUACCUUUGGACCUUUGGCCAUGAAGCAUCUUCCAAUUCCUUCAUUUGGUGAGUCAAAUAUAUCAUAGGAGUUGGUUGUCACAACUGUUAGACCGGGAACACCUUCAUCUUGAGUAUAUUCGGAGUCGGAGUGAUAACUUCUUUCGGAGUGAUUGUCGGAGUCGGAGCCGGAUACCCAUUCACCAACAUGAGCUUGAUGUCUUCUUUUUGUGUAGCUCCUUGAUGACUUUUCCUUUCUUUCCAAAUCCUUGCUUCUCCGAGAGGGUCUUUGUCCAUAACGAUCAUCUCUACUCCUCCUUUCUCUCGGUGGUGAUUAUUCUCUUCUACUUCUUCUUUUGGGAGAAUCUUCUCUUCUUUUGUAGGGGGCCGUACACUCAUUGGAGUAGUGUCCGGGUCUUCCACAAUUGUAGCACUUACGCUCACGACUAGAAGAUCUUUUGUCAUUGUAGGACCUUGACUUGGAACCUAUUUCUUUGCUUCUACUUUUGUAGAACUUGUUGAAGUUCUUCACCAUUAAGCUCAAUUCUUCAUUGAAGGUUUGUUUCUCACUUGAAGAUGUGGGAGUAUCACAUGAGGCUUUGUAAGCACCACUUGACUUGUUGUGAAGCUCUUCCUUAUCCUUGAGUGACAUCUCAUGAGCAACAAUUCUUCCAUUGACUUCCGUUGGCUUGAGAUCUUUGUAACUGGGCAUCAUUUGGAUCAAUGUGCACACGGUAUCAUAUUUUCCAUCCAAGGCUCUUAGGAUCUUCUUGAUGAUGAAUUUGUCGGUCAUCUCUUCACUUCCUAAGCUGGCAAUCUCAUUUGUGAUGAGAGCAAGCCUAGAGUACAUUUCAGCGAUACCUUCACCAUCCUUCAUUUUGAACUUGUCAAGUUGACUUUGAAGCACAUCCAAUUUGGAUUCCUUGACGGAGUCGGUACCUUCGUGCAUAUCAAUCAAAGUAUCCCAAAUUUCCUUUGCAUUCUCAAGACGGCUGAUUUUGUUGAAUUCUUCGGGGCACAAUCCGUUGAAGAGAAUAUCACAAGCUUGAGCAUUGUAUUGUAGCAUCUUCAACUCUUCCGCGGUAGCUUCAUGGUUCGGUUCUCUCCCAUCAAAGAAUUCACCUUGCAAGCCAAUACACACAAUAGCCCAAACGGCGGGGUUAUGUCCAAGAAUAUGCAUUUUUAUCUUAUGCUUCCAACUAGCAAAAUUAGUGCCAUCAAAGUAAGGACCUCUACGGUGGUAAUUUCCCUCGCUAGACGCCAUACUCUCCUAGGUUGUGAAACCAAGGCUAUGACCACCAAAAGCUAUGGAAAUCAAAGCAAAUGGAGACCAAAGCUCUGAUACCACUUGUAGGAUCGGAAGUAUGUCUAGAGGGGGUGAUUAGACUACUUGACCAAAUAAAAAUCUAGCAUUUUCCCAAUUUUAGUUCUUGGCAGAUUUUAGCAACUUAGCACAAGUCAAGCAAUCAACCUACACAUGCAAUUCUAAGAGUAUAGCAGCGGAAAGGUAAAGCAAUUGCAUAUGAAGGUAAAGGGAUGAGUUUGAGGGAGCAAACGCAAUGUUGACACGGAGAUUUUUUAUCCGUGGUUCCGAUAGGUGGUGCUAUCGUACAUCCACGUUGAUGGAGACUUCAACCCACGAAGGGUAACGGUUGCGCGAGUCCACGGAGGGCUCCACCCACGAAGGGUCCACGAAGAAGCAACCUUGUCUAUCCCACCAUGGCCGUCGCCUACGAAGGACUUCCCUCACUAGGGUAGAUCUUCACGAAGUAGGCGAUCUCCUUGCCCUUACAAACUCCUUGGUUCAACUCCACAAUCUUGUCGAAGGCUCCCAAGUGACACCUAGCCAAUCUAGGAGACACCACUCUCCAAGAAGUAACAAAUGGUGUGUUGAUGAUGAACUCCUUGCUCUUGUGCUUCAAAUGAUAGUCUCCCCAACACUCAACUCUCUCUCAUAGGAUUGGAUUUGGUAGAAAGAAGAUUUGAGUGGAAAGCAACUUGGGGAAGGCUAGAGAUCAAGAUUUAUAUGGUUGGAAUGGAAUAUCUUGAACUCAACACAAGUGUAGGUGGUUCUCUCUCAGAAAAUAUGUAUUGGAAGUGUAGGCAUGUUCUGAUGGCUCUCUCCACGAAUGAAGAGUGGGUGGAGGGGUAUAUAUAGCCUCCACACAAAAUCUAACCAUUACACACAAAUCACCAAACUCGGUGGGAGCGAUUCAAAGAACUCGGUCAGACCGAUUUGGUUCAUAAUGUGAACGUUAGGAUUCUCGGUGGGACCGACAUGUCAACUCGGUGGGACCGAUGUCAUUAGAGUUAGGGCAUAACGUAAUCUCGGUGAGACCGAUUACACAAACUCGGCGAGUCCGAUUUUGGUAAUAGCCAAACAGAGAGUUGGUCAGGCAAACUCGGUGGGACUGAUUCGCUCAUCUCGGUUGGACCGAAACGUUACGAAAGGGAAAAGAGAGUUUGCAUUGCAAUCUCGGUGGGACCGAUCGCUCAUCUCGGUUUGACCGAAACGUUACGAAGGGAAACAGAGAGUUUGCAACCCCAUCUCGGUGAGACCGAGAUCCCUAUCGGUGAGACCGAAUUGAUUAGGGUUUCUGGCAGUGGCUAUGUCAACUGAACUCGGUGGCUCCGGAUGGACAGAAUCGGUAGGGCCGAGUUGGACUUUUUGGUCUAGGACAUAUGUGGAUAUGAGAAAGUAGUGGAGGGUUUUGGAGCAUAUCACUAAGCAUUUUGAGCGAGAAUCUCAUUAAGCAACACCUCAUCCCUUCUUAAAAGUAUUGGCUUUUCCUAUAGACUCAAUGUGAUCUUGGAUCACUAAAAUGAAAAAUGUAGACUCUUGUGCUUUGAGCUUGAGCCAAUGUUUUGACCUUAGCAUUUUGAAGGGUCCACUUCCUAAUCGAUGCCAUGCCAAACAUUGAGCUUUCCUGAAAUAUUUAUCUUGGAAUAGCAUUAGCUCAAUGAGCUAUAUGUUGUUAGGAAUUACCAAAACCACCCAGGGAUAGUUGCACUUUCACUAUGGUCUUAAACAGGCCCCUCGCGCCUGGUUCGAGCGCUUCGCCUCUGUGGUGACUACCGCUGGUUUCUUGCCAGUGAUCAUGAUCCCGCGUUGUUUGUUCACACGUCUCCUCGUGGUCGGACUCUUCUCCUUCUCUAUGUUGAUGACAUGAUCAUCACUGGUGACGACUCUGACUACAGUGCCUUUGUUAAGGCCCGCCUUCGCGACCAGUUCCUCAUGACUGAUCUUGGUCCACUUCAAUAUUUUCUUUGGAUUGAGAUCUCCUCGACCUCUGAUGGCUUCUACAUCUCCCAGGAAAAAUACAUUCAGGAUCUUCUUGCUCGUGCUACUCUUGGUGAUGAGCGCACUGUUGUGACUCCUAUGGAGCUCAACGUUCAGCUUCGUGCCUCUGACGGUGACCCUCUUCCUAAUCCUACUCGCUAUCGCCACCUCGUUGGCAGCCUUGUCUACCUUGUUGUUACGCGUUCCGACAUCUCCUAUCAUGUUCAUAUACUGAGUCAGUUUGUUUCAGCACCCACCUCUGUCCACUAUAGUCAUCUCCUCCGUGUUCUCCGAUAUCUUCGUGGCACUUUCUCUCAUCGCCUUUUCUUUCCCCGCUCAAGCUCUCUUGAGCUCCAGGCCUACUCUGAUGCUACAUGGGCUAGUGAUCCCUCUGAUCGACGCUCGCCGUCUGCAUACUGUGUCUUUCUUGGUGGCUCUCUCAUUGCCUGGAAGACAAAGAAAUAGACUAACGUUUCUCGCUUGAGUACAGAGGCUGAGUUGCGAGCCAUGGCUAUGUUGACGGCUGAGGUGAUUUGGUUACGGUGGUUAUUUGAGGAUUUUGGAGUGCCUGCUACUACCUCGACUCCCUUACUGUCAGAACCGGUGCUAUCAGUAUUGCGCGUGACCCGGUGAAGCAUGAGCUCACCAAGCACAUCGGUGUGGAUGCCCACUUUGUGCGUGCUGCUGUGCAUGAUCAGACUCUUGCUCUUCACUAUGUUCCCUCUGAGUUAUAGUUGGCGGACUUCUUCACGAAGGCACAGACUCGAGUGCGGCAUGGUUUUCUUCUCUCCAAACUCAGUGUUGUUGAUCCACCAUGAGUUUGAGGGGGGUGUUAGAUGUGUAUAGUCCCUUUUUGGUUCUUCCCCAUUGUAUAAGGGGUUUCCUGCACUUCACCACACAUGUAUAUGUAAUGGCAUUUGGCCUUCAGUGAAUAUUAAUUGUUGUUUAUCCAACAACAUUCACGCCAAUCAUAAAACAGUGUUUGUUAGUAGUGGAGUGGUAGGCGGACGCAAAUCAAACCAUCAUUUUUCUUCUAAUUACACUUGUAAAAGCAUCGAUGCAUCUCCGUCGCUUAAUUUUAUUUGUCAUUCUGUUCAGUACCUGGUUUGGUUCAGGAAGAGCUCUUUUUCCUAUGCAAAAUGUAUAACGUAUAUGCUCCUAAUUCUGAUUGCAGACAUAUUCAUCGCGCUAGUGUUUUGACAUGACGCGGGGAACCAAGAGCCGUUCAACAGCGCGUUUCUGGGAUACGCCACCGGUCUGGCACUAAAGGUAGCGGUGAUGAUCUGGUUUCAAGCCGCGCUGCUAAUAUAUCAUGGCAUCUUGCAGCCUGCUCUGUUGCACAUCGUUCCUGGCGCAUGACUGGUUUGGUCGCCGUUCACUCUCCGUGGAAUGGAGAGGUGAAAGCGGGCAAGUAAGCCUGUCUACUUUGUCCCUUUUGUGUAGUGCUGGGAUCAGAGAAAAUAACUGGCAAUCUGGAUCAGCCUGGUUUUGAGACGCGACUUGUUUGCCACUGACUGUUUUGCGUUGGCAGUUACUGCAGUUGGAGUGGGAAGCUGGAGAGGAGGAAGAAGACGAAGGUCCCAACCGGCAGAGCAAAAAGGUGAACCAGCCCUCGCCUUUUUAAUUACUAGGAGAAAGAAACAUUGAGGCAGUAAUUUCUUCAGGCAAGAUCGAUUGGCAGCUAAUUAAGUAGGCUGGAUGGCAUUGAGAAACCCAAAAACGAUUUACAUACACAUGGUAGAUCGUCUCUCUCUCUCCUUCCACCCCUUCCUUUCAUGGCCAUCGUAGACUGCACCAUGUGGCAUUCAAACUUUUCUCAAGGGGAGAGUUUCCUCACACACACACACAUGCACAUACGCAAGCACACGCACACACGUGUAGUACAAACUUAGAAUUUUUGGAAAUAAUGGGAGGCCGAGCAACGGCCAUGUGAAAAUAUGAGGUAUAUAGCUUGUGGAUUUCCAUUCAGUGUACAAGGCCUGCAUGAGGAAUGGAUAAAGAAAUAUAUCUUUGAUUCCCUUAGUUAAAUCUUAUCCUUCAUCGUCAAUUAUGACUAAGCAUACAUAGUAAUCGCUAGUUUCUCUUAUAUGCUUCCGAGAAGAUAAGACUGGAUAUUUUAGUUGCUAUUAAUUAUUUCCCUUCUUUCGCUAAAUAGUAGUCAAACAUGUUAUUAAUGUAUUUUGUAAGGAUAAGGUCGAGCAUCAUGGCCACUAUGUUCUAUAUAUACUGAAUUUGGUGUUCAGUAUGACAUAACAAACACAUAUUGUGAGAAGGAGUAGUGUACAUUGUUCUCUAGUGCACUUUGUUCAGCAAGUUGGGUGAAAAUGUUGAAUAAACCAUCAAGUUUUCAUACAUUUUUUCAUGGCACAGGUUUGCCUUCUCAUGAUGAUGGCUGCACCGUUUGCACAAGCUGCUGGGAGGCCUGUGGCAUCCUUACCAUGGGUAGCGGGGUGUUGCCUGAGGAACUAUUUGUGUUGUGGUGUUGGUGCUGUUGCCCCGACAUCCCAUGCAUCGCAGGCCACCUCUGUACCUUGAAUUAUGGUUUCGCCUGAUCUCCUCUCAUAACAUAGUUGAUAUAACAUAGUAGCAUCACAAAGGUUGCAUGGUUUCAUUGAUUCAUCUCUUUUCUACUCCGUGAAACUUGUGAUGCCACUUUUGAACAAUGUCAUUGCUAUGUCUUCUUAUAACUAAUAAAAUGGGAGGAUAUUUUCAUAUUAUUUGAAUUGUGUUGUAACAUUACCUACUAAUGUGGAUGAUCUGAGUGGACUACAUAGAUCGGAUCUUCUAAAGAUAUAAUCUAGGACUUUGCGAGAUGAUGAAAUUGUCCUUUAUCUUGGUCGACACCUUUUCGUAGAAGUGUUGGUCGGCCGUCUGUGUCUUUUUGCGGUGCAUGCCGUAGAGUCCUCCAUGUUUUGUAGUUGUACAAUAACCUUUGAGGCAACCGGGGGUGGUACGUCUGAGGAAGUCGGUGGCCCAGGAAUAUUCAUAAUGAGAUCUCGACCAUGGAUGCCAAGUAAUUUGCCCCGUGCUGAUGUCGUCGGGCGACCCGGUCACUUAUGUUUUGACUCAAGGAGUCGCUAUGUUCAUCGAGUCGCGAGACAGCGGGAGGAAGGAGACGAAGGUCCCAAACGUCAGACCAAAAAGGUGGACUAGGGCUCGCCCUAGUUGUGCUCUCGGGUAUUUUCAGUUACUAGUAGGAGUAAGAAGCAUUGCAAAUUGCUCCCUCUGUUCAAUCCGUAUAUAUGUAGUCCGUAUUCAUAUAUUCAAAAUAUUUUAUAUUUGUGAACGAAGGGAGUAAUUAAUAGUAAUGCAACAAUUUCAGGGGAGGCCAGUCAACAGCUAACUAAAUGUGCUGGAUGAGACUGGAGACAUGUAUAAACGAUUUACACAUGAUAGAACUACUCUUUUCUUGUCAAGGAAUGGAAGAAUGGAUGAUUUUAUCCGUUCGGAACAAAACCCAAUAUUCAUCCAGUUAGACGUUGUUCUGAAUUCUGAAGCUUUUGAAAGUUUUCUCGCAGAAAUAUGUGUGUGUAUUCCAGUUGUAUCAUUAGCAAACCAAGGUUGUAUAUAUUAUAGCACAAAGAAUGUUUGGUUGAUUCGUUCAGGCGAAUCAGGUUUGUGGCUGACUGCCAAAGUCAGGCCAACUCCAGCGCACGACCCCAAACAGACAUCUGUUUUGUCUGGAUUCUGCCCGUUUGGAUAUAGCAAUGGGGUCGUGUCCAGGCCUGUCCUGUGAUGCGGUCGCCGUGCGCACAACGCGCGGACGCAUCCUUUGGCCUCAUCAUGUCCGCCACGGCCAAAAAUGCCCAUAUAUUCAUAUUUCAAUAUUCAAAACUAGUUUGCACGUCCAAAUAUUAAUUGUCUGAAAAUAAAAAUAGUUUUACAACCCAAUCAAAAUUGUCUCUAAUAAAAUAGUUUUACAACCAAAUCGAAAUUGUCUUGAAUGAACAUAAUGAAACCAAUACAUCUAUUGGUUGCCAAUGUGAUUCCACAUGUGCUCAACCAAGUCAUUUUGAAGAUCCAAAUGAGUGUGCCAAUCAUGCAUUUCACGAUGACAUUGGGCAAACUGCUCAAACGUGGCCGGUUCUUGGUGCAGGGGCUGAACAUUUUCACCUUGAAAAUCAAAUCCUUGGUCGAAGAUGCUGUUAUCACGCUCGUCCUCGACGAUUAUGUUGUGCAUGAUCACACAAGCAGUCAUCACCUCCCGAAGCUUCCCUUCAUCCCAUGUCAAUGCAGGGUUUCGAACGAUACCCCAUCGGGAUUGAAGCAAACCAAAAGCACGUUCCACAUCCUUUCUAGCACUCUCUUGCAUUUGGGUAAAUCUCUUUCUCUUCUCACCUUGGGGGUUCGAGAUUGUCUUCACAAAAAGUUGACCACUGAGGAUAUAUACCAUCAGCUAGGUAGUAUCCCUUGUUGUACUGGUGGCCGUUGAUCUCAAAGUUGCCAGGUGGGGAGUGGCCUUCUGCAAGCCUUGCGAAGACUGGAGAACGCGGCAGCACGUUGAUAUCAUUGUGAGAACCUGCCAUGUCGAAGAAAGAAUGCCACAUCCAAAGAUCUUGCGAAGCCACCGCUUCUAAUAUGAUAGUGCAUGCUUUAACAUGCCCCUUGUACUGGCCCUGCCAAGAAAAUGGACAGUUCUUCCACUCCCAGUGCAUACAAUCUAUGCUACCAAGCAUGCCUGGAAAGCCUCUAGCCGCGUUGGUCGCCAACAAGCUUUCUAUAUCAGUGGCAUUUGGCUGCUGAGGGAGUCCUGGAUUAAGGGGUCCUCGGGCGUUUGGGCUGCGUAACAUGGGCCGGACUAAUGGGCCGUGAAGNNNNNNNNNNNNNNNNNNNNNNNNNNNNNNNNNNNNNNNNNNNNNNNNNNNNNNNNNNNNNNNNNNNNNNNNNNNNNNNNNNNNNNNNNNNNNNNNNNNNNNNNNNNNNNNNNNNNNNNNNNNNNNNNNNNNNNNNNNNNNNNNNNNNNNNNNNNNNNNNNNNNNNNNNNNNNNNNNNNNNNNNNNNNNNNNNNNNNNNNNNNNNNNNNNNNNNNNNNNNNNNNNNNNNNNNNNNNNNNNNNNNNNNNNNNNNNNNNNNNNNNNNNNNNNNNNNNNNNNNNNNNNNNNNNNNNNNNNNNNNNGAUUCCUUUCCCUGUAAACCGACUCUGUACAACCCUAGCCUUCUCCGAUGUCUAUAUAAACCGGAGGGUUUAGUCCGUAGAGGCAAGGAUAAUCAUACAGGCUAGACAUAUAGGGUUUAGCCAUUACGAUCUCGAGGUAGAUCAACUCUUGUAAUCCCUAUACUCAUCAAAGUCAAUCAAGCAGGAAGUAGGGUAUUACCUCCAUUAAGAGGGCCCGAACCUGGGUAAACAUCGUGUCCCCUGCCUCCUAUUACCCUCUAUCCUUAGACGCACAGUUCGGGCCCCCCUAUCCGAGAUCCGCCGGUUUUGACACCGACAGCUGCCUCAAGUACUCAGGGCCAAACACUGCCACCACAGCCUUGUAGAACUUGUAAAGUGACAACAGACAUGCCGACUCACUCAUGCGCACGUACUCAUCCACCAGAUCGCCUGGAAUUCCAUAUGCAAGCAUGCCGAUGGCCGCGGUGCACUUCUGGUAAGAGGAGAAUCCAAGCUUGCCAAGGGCAUCCGUCUUGCACUCGAAGUAUGGGUCAUGAGCAACCACUCCCUCUCGGAUACGAUUGAACAGAUGUCUUGCCAUACGAAAACGGCGACGGAAUUUAUCCGGCUUGAAGAGCGAGGUAUUCGCAAAGUAAUCGGCAUAGAGCAAGGCGUGGCCUCUCUCUCUAUUGCGUUUCAGGUUGGGAGCACGGCCAGGGACUGACCCCAUGUACCGAGGAAGCUGCCCAAUGUGAUCGUGAACGACCAGUGCAACCACCACCAGAUCUUCGUCAUCCGAGGACGAAUCAUCCAAUGAAUAAAUGAAGUGGUGGAAGAAAAAUUCAUCUCCACUGUCCAUACAUUUGUGGGCAAAGUGUUCAACACCUUGCGGUCGUGGUGGCAAAGAGGCCGCGAUGAUCAUCUCGAUGCAGCAGGGGUGGUUGGCGGCCGGCUACUGGCCGCUCUAGAGCACCCGGCGGAAGCUGCCGUGGUCCAUAUCCGUCGCCGGUGGUCGUAUCCCCUCUAGCACCGGCUACAAUGGCGACGGCCAAAUCUCCUCCAAGCGAUGGCCAGAACUCCUACGAAAGCGCGGGCGUUGUGGCGGCCAUGUCGAGACGUGGUUUGGUAUGGAUGGGCAGGGGGAGGGAGCAGUGAGGAGGCGGUCGGAGAAUACUGGCGGCGCCGGUGGCGGGAUGCGGCGGAGGAGAGCGGGUGAAGGCGUUGGAGGCAAAUGGAGUGCUAGUGUCCCCGACAGGCGGGCCACGGGGAGGACAAGGGCGUGUGUCCAGCCCGUCCGCGUGAUGUCCAUUUCACCCCAAACUCGGCACAAGUUUGGGCCGGGAAUGGGUAAAAAACGGACGAAAUCCGGACAUUUGUCUAUUUGAAGCCGCGCCUUGAGUCAUGCUAUUCGUCUGUUCUACCCUAAACGGACGCACCAGAACGGAAUGGGGUCGCGUGCUGGAGUUGGCCUCACGGCCGUUUCUGCCUUUGGCGCAGACAAGAGAUUCUACACUGUAAAGGAAAAAGCUGAAAGCUCUCUUGUCUCGUGUGUUUCUCUUCUCUUGCACCUUGUCGGAAAACAGUGUGCACCAGGGACGCUCGAUUCCAUGGCAGGCAUCAGUUCAAUCGAUCAUGCUACAGGGAACCGGCACUAUCUUCUUUUUCUUUUUCUUUUUCUUUUAGGUCGUGAACGCAAGUCAUUUGAGAUAUUCACGUAGGACUUACAUAAUUGGUACGUUGUGACAAAACUGGACGCACACGAUGAAAUAUAUAAAUAUUCCUAUGGUAGAUUUAUCAGCAUCAGUGUGGAGCUAAAGUGUUUGAUGUUUUGUAUGAAUGGUUUGGUCUGAACAAUAAAGCCGACCACUCAGGACCUACUUUUGGGCUUUUUUUUUUGUAUUAUUCUAUACUAGCAAAAGGGCCCGUGCGCGGAGAAAAAAAUUAUAAUCUUGAAUGACCAUGAUCACAUUUUUUUUCAUCACCGAGAUACACUAUCACUUUCAACUUCGGGAAAUCAUCUACAUUUUUUAAACUUGUGCACAUUUUUCACAUUCAUGAACACUUUUACAAAUUUGCAAACAUAUUCUAAAAUCAAGAACAUAUUUUGAAUUCAUGAACAUUUUAUAGUAUUUACAAACAUUUUUAGAAAUUACGUUUUUUUAACAAUUUUCUUGAAUAGGCAAACAAUUCUAAAAUGGACGAACAUUGUUUUAGAAAUCGGUGGAAUAAUUUUUGAAAUUCCCGAACAUUUUCUUGAUUUUACAAACAUUUUUUGAAAUGCAUGAUCAUUUUUGUAUAAACUAUUUUGUAUGUCACGAACAGUUUUCCAAAUAUUUGGUUAUUUCCCCAUUCAUGAACAUUUUUUGAAUGGUGAUAUUUUCUUAAAUUUCAUUAACAUUUUUUGUACACGAAUUUUUAAAAAGUCAUGGACGUAUUUUGGUUUCAUGAACAUUUGUUUUCAAAAUUUCAAACAUUUUUCGAGCCAGAUUCUUUAAUAAAAUUGCAAAUAUUUUUUGAAUACAUAAACAUUUUAUGAUUUAUUAAAACUUUAUUUGGAAAUUAUUUUAAUUUUGAAAUAUUUUUUGUAUUCUGAAUUUAAUUAAAGUAGAAAAACGGAAAAAGAUAAAAAAGGAAAUGUUAAAAACAGGCUGCCCGGACAUGGGCCGGCCCAAAUGGGCGGGCCGCGCCUUAUCCCUUCGCGCAGAGCCCAGUAUGGCAGGUCGCUACUACAUGGGCCAGUCCAGACGGGGAUUCCCCUGUGUGAAACAUUUAUAUCACUUAUACGUGACAUUUGGAUCCCCUCUAGUUAGGGUUUUCUCUCCUCCCGGCGGCGCCUGGCACCGACGUGGAGACCGCGAUCCCCUGCGUCUCCUAGACCACUGAUCGCCGGCGGCUUCGGACGUCGGGCUCGUGUGCGCGCUGGGCGAUCUGUCUAGGGUUCUCCCGCCCGCGGAAACCGACUUCUCGGGCAAGAGAUCUGAUGGAAGGCUCAACGUCGGCGUCAGCCGCAGCGAUGAGCGACAUGGAAGCUAUGAUGAAGGAAUUGGGCCUGAAAGAAGAUGAUCUGGAGGAUGUUGUGGUUCAGGAUGGCGACAUACCAGAGGAAGCGGCGCGGUGGAUGGUGAUCCUGCGGGUGCACAUGGAUAAGCCGUACAGUCAGUAUUGGUUUUUUCGUAACAUGCGGGUUGCAUGGGAUCUAGCACAAGAAGUCAAGUUCCGCCCUCUAGAAGACAACCUCUAUACUCUGCAAUUCUCCUACCUGGGUGAUUGGGAGAGAGUCAUGGAGGACGGCCCCUGGACAUACAAAGGAAAAGCUGUCGUAAUCGAGCCCUAUGAUGGUUUCACCAGAUCAUCGUCUAUUGUUCUUAACAAGAUUGAGAUGUGGAUCCAGAUCCAUGAUCUCCCUGAACUGUUCUUCCAGUUGAUUAAAUCGCUAGCAUCUACUGUUGGUGACUUCAUAUUUGCUGAGCCCAAAUCCCAGGACUUUGAGGGGAACUUUUUUAGGGUUCGAGUGAAAGUGGAUGUCACAAAGCCGCUCAAGAACGCUGUAUCGCUGGUGAUCAAGAAGAGGAGAGAGAUAUUCAGGGUGAAAUAUGAGAGGCUUCCAGAUUGGUGUGCUGUCUGUGGUAUGCUAGGUCAUCAGUUCAAAGAGUGUGGCGAUGGGAUCCAUCCCCAAUCUGCGCUUGUGUUCAAAAAUCUGAAAGCUGACUGGUUCAGGAGCCCAGGCCGUGGACCAGGUGCUGCAAGAGGCUUUGAAGGUGGUCGAGGGAGAGGUAAUGGUCGUGCAGGUCAUGGAGGCCGGGGCUCGGGUUGAACACAACAAGAUAACUUUGACCAGGCUGUUGAUCUGGAUACAGACAUGGAAGAAGGAGACGGGAACCGCAAGAGAGGAGCUCAUGCAAACACACUCUUGCUUACUUCUUCAGGGACCAACCCAUCAUCUUCGAUGGAACCCCAAGCCCUCGCUACAGCCACCGUUCCACAGAGUCCCUCGUCGAAGCAAGACCUCAAAAGAACAAAGACCAACCCCCGUCAGUUGGAGAAGAACCCAGGGAAGAACAAGUCCUCAAACACCCAAAACAAUGCGCAAAUGGCGAGCCCUAUCAACUGGUCGCGCCUGGCGCAAUGAGUUGCCUAGUUUGGAACUGUCGCGGGGCUGGCAGACCUGCGACAGUUCGUGAGCUUCGAGAUCUAUCGAAGCUACUUGCCCCCUCUAUUGUAUGCAUUCUUGAAACCCAGAUAGAGGGCUCGCGUGUCGAGAAUCUGGUAGGAACUUUAGGUUAUAAUAAAAGCUUUGCUGUAAGCAGCUCCGGCAGGAGCAGUGGACUAGGCAUUUUUUGGAAUGAGGAAAUAAAACUCGAAGUUAUCGGUUAUUCUGAGUACCACAUAGAUGUUCUUGUUGAGCAGAUGGUAGAAACUAAAACCAGAAUCACCUUUGUGUAUGGUGAGGCCCAAACAAGUGCAAGGUACAAAACUUGGGACAUGUUGCGCGGAAUUGCUGGAACUAGCAACGACCCAUGGGUAGUGAUUGGAGACUUUAACGAAGUACUUCAUGCCCAUGAGCAUGAUGGAACCGGCCAACGAAGCCAGGCGCAGAUGGACGCCUUCUGAGAUGCUAUUGACAAAUGCGGCUUAUCAGAUAUUGGUUAUAAGGGGCAAAGCUGGACUUUUGAAAAGAAGGUGAUGGGCGGUACGUACACCAGGGUGCGCUUGGACCGGAGCGUGGCUAAUCCUGCAUGGGCUUUGGCCUUCCCAGAUGCAUCCCUUGAGCAUCUCACCGCAGCUACUUCUGAUCAUGUCCCGUUGUUGCUUCGGCUUCAAGCAAUGCAUGCAUGCAGAAGGGGACCACGGCCGUUUAAAUACGAGUUGUGUUGGGAGCGCGACCCAACACUGGAGACAAUGGUGCAUGCGGGGUGGAAUCAGCAUCCUGGGGAUUCGGUGGACCAGGUGAAGGCUAAACUCCAAACACUGUCGGGCGACCUGUCGACGUGGGAUCGGCAACAUUUUGGAAGCGUGUGCAGAGAGAUAGCCGAAUUAAAAAAAGGAACUACAGGUGUUGCGAGAAUUUCCAGGAAGAUCUGGCCCCUCUCGACGGGAGACAAAAAUCUGCGACCGCCUGGUUGAAUUGUUUCAUCGCGAGGAGAUCUUGUGGAGGCAGCGAGCUAGGAUUGAUUGGCUCAUGCAUGGCGACAAAAAUACUUAUUUCUUCCACAUGAGAGUGAGUAGGCGUCGACGGAAAAACCAAAUUAAAUCCUUGCAAUGAGCUGACGGGCAGGUAACGGAGAAUGAACUGGAGAUGGAAAACAUGACGAUCUCCUUUUACAAGGACUUGUACACGACAGAAGGGGUUGGUGAUAUGGCACAGGUGCUAGAAACAGUACCAUGCAAGGUUACGCAUGCAAUGAACGCCUCGUUGAAUGCCCCAUAUAGCCCGGAAGAAGUCAAGACUGCCCUUUUUCAAAUGUUUCCCACCAAGGCACCGGGACCAGAUGGCUUUCCCGCUCACUUCUUUCAGAGGCACUGGGAGACGUGCGGAGACGAAAUCACCAAAGUCGUUCUUAAAAUUGUUGAGGGCACAGAAUCUGCAGCAUGUAUCAAUGAGACAGUCUUGGUGCUAAUCCCUAAGGUAAAAAACCCAACCCUCUUGAGCCAGUUCCGACCCAUCAGCUUAUGUAAUGUUCUUUACAAAAUAGCGUCCAAAGUGAUCUCUAACAGGCUGAAGGUGAUACUACCUGACAUUAUAUCUGAGGAACAAUCUGCCUUUGUCCCUGGUAGACUUAUAACUGACAACAUCAUCACUGCCUACGAGUUCCUACACUUUAUGAAAAGAAAUAAAGCUAAAAAGCACCAGUCGUUUGCUCUGAAGCUAGACAUGAUGAAGGCUUAUGACAGGGUGGAGUGGCUAUACCUGAAAGCAAUCAUGGUGAAACUAGGGUUCACUGAGAGAUGGGUGGACAUAGUUAUGGGACUGGUUACCACUGUUAAGUUUUCUGUCAUGUUUAAUGGGAAAAGAUUGGAGGAAUUCGAACCUUCACGAGGAAUUAGACAAGGGGACUCAAUAUCUCCGUACUUGUUCUUAAUAGCAGCAGAGGCCCUGUCGUGCCUGUUAAAAUCAAAGAGUGAGUCAUCCAAUCUGGGUGGUGUGCAAUGGCUCCUACGGCGCCGCCAGUUAGCCAUCUAUUAUUCGCUGAUGACAGCCUACUGUUCUGUAAGGCAAAUUGUGCGGGAGCUAAUGAGGUGAACCUAGUACUGAAUACAUACUGCCAAGCAUCCGGUCAGCGAGUAGCAAGGGAGUGCCGGAAGCUACGAGGACAGAAAUAAAAGGUUUACUCAAUAUUCCCAAUGAAACUUUAAAUGAGAAGUAUCUAGGGAUGCCGUCAGAUAUUGGGAGUUCGAAGAACGGGGCCUUCAAAUACGUCAAGGAUCAUUUAUGGAGUAAGGUACAGGGCUGGGUGGAAAACACCAUGUCAUCCGCAGGCAAGGAGGUUUUGGUGAAAUCAGUUGCCCAGUCCAUACCUAUAUUCUCAAUGUCAUGCUUUAAACAUCCAAGGGGAUUAUGUGAACACCUUAAUAUGCUUAUUAGGAAGUUCUGGUGGGGGAGCAAAGAUGGCAAAAGGAAACCUCACUGGGUAUCUUGGAAAAGUAUGACACAGCCGAAGGGAAUGGGAGGACUAGGGUUCAAAGAUUUUGAACUCUUUAAUAUGGCGAUGCUGGCAAGACAGGCUUGGAGAUUAAUCCAAACACCAGAGUCCCACGCUUGUUGAAGAGCAUAUACUUCCCUGAUUCUACCGUCUUGGAGGCGACCUUGUGCAACCAUCCCAAUCAGAUAUGGCGAGCCAUCAUCGAAGGCAGAGAUACACUCAAACAAGGUCUCAUUCGUAGAAUUGCCAAUGGUCAAUCUACUCGUAUUUGGGAGGAUCCGUGGCUGCCAAGAGAUGAGAUGUUACGGCCAUAUGGGAGCAUUCACCCCAAUCCGCCAACCUUGGUUUCGGAACUGAUCGAUCACACUAGCGCUUCAUGGAACAGUCAGCUAAUCAACCAAGUGUUUAUGCCCAUGGAUGCUUGUACCAUUAUGGGGAUCCCGGUGUGCACUCGCAAUCUCCAUGACUUCUGGAGCUGGAUCUUUGAAACGAGUGGCAACUUCACGGUCAAAUCUGCUUACCGCAUGCUUGUAGCGACAAGACAGCGCCGGGAGGCAUGGCUUGAGGGCACUGCUGGAACAUCAAACAGCACGUCGAAGGAGGGGGCUUAGAAAACGUUGUGGAAGACCCAGGUUCCUGCAAUUCUAUGGCGUUUAUCAAAGCACUCUCUCCCAACGGAGGACGUCAGGGCUCAUCGGCAUAUGGCAGAUAACGCUACUUGCGGUUUAUGUGGCUCGGCUGAUUCGUGGAGACACUCUCUGGUUAACUGCACUAGCUCGAGAUGGUGUGUGGGCUUUAGUUGAUGAGGAGCUAGCACAAAACCUAGUCUCAACCACGGAACCCAACGCCAAGCAGUGGCUCUUCACCUUCAUGCACUCACUAUCACACGAUCAAUUUGUAUUGCUUGCGGUCACUCUCUGGGCGAUCUGGACAGCGCGGCGCAAGGCUAUUCAUGAAGGAAUAGUCCAAUCGCCUCAGGCAACUAACAACUUUCUCAGACGCUUCAUAGCUGAACUAAACAUGAUUAAAGUGGAAAGGCCUAUGAGGGGAGGAGCUCAAUCUAUGGGCCUGUCACGAGCUGCACGCCCCAAAGCUCCCCCGAUCGGCUACGCCAAGAUUCAUGUGGACGCGGGAGUAAGAGCAAGGAAAGGUGGAUCAGCAGCCGCUGUAUGCCGGGACAGGCAAGGCAAUUUCCUAGGCAGCUCCGCGUUGGUGAUCGCCGGUCUAGAGGACCCAGCCAUACUAGAGACUAUCACUUGUAGAGAGGCAUUGGCGCUGGCGGAAGACCUUAAUCUGCAUAAUUUUGUCGUUGCAUCUGAUUCCAAGCAAACAGUGGCUGACAUCUUAAGUGGAGGCAGAGGCAAGAGUGGUACUAUUAUCCAGGAGAUAAACACUAGAGCAACUCUAUUUCAUUGUAAUUUUUCUUUUGAAGGCCGUGCUGUUAAUGUCGAAGCACAUAGACUAGACAAAUAUUCGCUUAAUAUCGGUCCGGGGCGCCACCUCUGGUUAGGUCAGCCCCAUGACCCGAGUUGUAUCCCACCCAUUGUGGUCUUUGAUGAAUAAAAUUUGGCUUUCCCCUCAAAAAAAAAACUUAUACGUGACAUUUGUGGGUAAUUUGUACGACGUGCCAUAAGAAGAAAUAGCCCCUUUAUUAUUAUUAGCAAAAGUGUCCGUGCGUUGUAACGGGAGAAAUAAAAUCAAAAUCUCCAAUGACCAUGACCAUAUUUUGUUGCAUCACCAAGACACCCCUAUCACUCUCAAUUUCGUGUAAUCAUGAAUAAUUUUUGAAAUCACGAACAUGUUUUAAAAUUAUUACACAUAUUUGAAAUCGUGAACAUUUUUCAAAUUCAUGAACACUUAUACAAAUUUCCGAACAUUUCUAAAAUCAAGAACAUUUUUGGAAUUGAUGAACAUUUUAUACUAUUUGCAAACACUUUUUAAAGAUUCCGAACAUCUUUAUAAACAAUUUUCUUUAAUCGAGGAACAUUUUUAUGGAAAUUGAUGGAACAAUUUUCGAAAUUCACAAACAUUUUUUGAUUUAACUAACAGUUUUUGAAAUACAUGAUCAUUUUUUGAAUCAGUGGACAUUUUCUGAAUGACUAAACUAUGUUGUAAGUCACGAAAUAGUUUUUGAAUUUUAGGAUAUUUCUCCAUUCAUGAACACUUUUUGAAUUGGCUAUUUUUUUCAAUUUCAUUAACAAUUUUUGAUAGAAAAACUUUUUAAAAAAUCAUGAAUUUUAUUUGAUUUCCCAAAAAAUUGUUUUUAAAAUUUUGAACAUUUAUUGUGUAAGCAAUUGUUUUUUACAAAACAGCGACCAUAUUUUAAAUCCACUAACAUUUUAUGAUUUAUGAAAAUUUUAUGUCAAAAUACUCAUUUUUUUAAUUUUCGAAACUUUUUUGAAAUCCCAAACUAUUUAUUGUAGAAAAGAACGAAAACAGGAAAGAAAAAUGAAAAUAGAAAACAAAAUCAAAGAAACAGGCCAGCCUGAAAUGGGCCGGCCCAAACAUACGUGUAGCUUCUUCUCCCAGCGUGCAGAGAGCAUUAUAGGAGGUCCCAACUGCAGGGCCGGCCCAGAUGGGGGAAUUCCCCUGUGUGAAUUUUUUGUAUCACUUAUAUGUGGCAUUGAACUCAUGAAGCAUGCGCUAUCCCUUCCAGCUCGCCGCCAUGUAUGGCUCGGACAACCAGAUGGACUUUCUUUCGUCCAUGUAAACGUUAUGACGAUAUAAUAAAAAGCUUCGGAAUUUGUCUAAAAAGACUUAUAAGUGGCAUUGGUGGGUAAUAUUUUGCAACUUUAGAGGUAAUUCCAUGACGUACCACCAGAAGCACAAUAGCCCCUUUACUAUUAUUAGGUACUCUUUUUUCCUUGUGGAGCUUUGGAAAUGAGAGAAUUUGAAUAUAGUAACUCUCGGAAACUCUUAUUGGAUGAGAGAGAUUUAAUAUGAUAUUGGCAUGGGUUCUACCAACUAACGAAGAAGUAUUUGACUGGAUAAACAGACAAUUUCCUUUAAUGGACGAACAUUUUUAUGAAAAUUGGUGGAAUAACUUGGGAAAUUCAUAAAUAUUUUUUUAGUUAACGAACAUUUUUUUAACUUAACGAACAUUUUUUGAAAUACAUGACCAUUUUUUUGAAUCUGUGAACGUUGUAUGAAUGAAUAAACUAGUUUGUAAGUCAUGAGCAGUUUUUCAAUUUUUAGGAUAUUUUUCCCUUCAUGAACAUUUUUUCAAUUGGUGAAAUUUUGUUCAAUUUCGUUAACAAUUUUUAGUGCACAAACCUUUUUAAAAAAUCAUGAACAUGAUUAUUUACCAAAGAAGCAAAUUGUUUUUUACAAAAUCGUGGACAUUUUUUUAACCCAGAAACAUUUUAUGAUUUAUGAAACAUUUUUUUCAAUACACAAUAUUUUUAAUUUUCGAAUUUUUGUGAAAUCCUAAAUUAUUUAAAGUAGAAAAAUCAAAAACAGAAAAGAGAAAGGAAUAAUAGAAAACAAAGUUAAAGAAUAGGCCGACCGAACAUGGGCCGGCCCAAACGGGCGCACUGUAUCUUCUGCCAGCGCCUAGAGCGCAGUAUAGGAGGUCCCUACUGCAUGGGCCNNNNNNNNNNNNNNNNNNNNNNNNNNNNNNNNNNNNNNNNNNNNNNNNNNNNNNNNNNNNNNNNNNAAGAAAAUAAUGCCUAUGCAUAUGCUUUUAUAUUAUUAUUAUUGUUUCAAAUUUAUUCAUAUAUUAUUUUCAAUUGUACAACCAUAAUUUUUCUUAUCUCUCUCGUUCCACUACAUGCUCCUAGUCAAAGAUUUUUUUAAUAAUGGGUGUUUUUAUUAACUCAAAAUAUAGCAUCAAGCGGAUACAAAACAUAAUGAGCCACACCCGGUCUAUGCAUAACUAAGAUGCACACAGCCAAAAGCAGAAGUCUGACAAAAAUAAGAUAAGAAAAUCGACAUAUCGACAACAGUGAGUCAUAUAGUACCGACACUAUGCCUCUGUCGAAGGAGGUGGUGGAGCGAUCUGGAGAUUAUGCUGCCAUCCAUGUUGAGUAAAUAUCUCCCUGGCCACUUGCUCCAACCGCAUAGACGCCGCCAUGAACAACGGUUGGUACUCCAUUCGGUGUAGCAUACACCAUACUAGAGGCUGGGGCGCCACCUGAGGCGGGCCUAUGCACACUUAUUUUGUCUGGGCAGUUCGGUUGUCAUGUUUGGUCAUCAGUAUCACUUAUGUACAUCAAUAUGGGCGUAUGUUGUAUUGUUUGAGUUCAUUAGGAUCUAUCAGUAUCACAUCAAUCAAACUACAUAUACUAUGUUAUUUGAGUUCAGAACCAUCAUAGGCAAUGAUACGUCUAACAAGGAUAUAUAACAUUUAAUUCAAAAGGAAAGACAAAGUAGAAUUAAGUGCUUCAGAUUGGCCGAAGAAAGGAACCUCAUGAUGCCAUGACUAAGGAACCAAAUAUAAAAGAGCACCUUUCAGAGUACUCCAGAGGUAUGACAUCAUCCAUUUCCACAUCAGAAUCAUCGGAAUUCUCCUGAUCCUCAUUUCGAUGUACCCAACACAAAUGCUACAUGGAUUUUAGUCAGCUGCAAUCCCCACUACUUCUACACUUCCCCUUUUUCACACCGAGGAGCAGAGACUGAUGCAAGUUGAUCGAACACAGAACAACAUAUAAUUGCCUAGAGAUGCGCUGGGCCUGAACAACAACAACAACAACAACCGUUGAGCCAGGUCUCCUUCCAGCAGCCUCAGCAACAAUAUCCAUCAGGCCAGGGCUCCUUCCAGCCAUCUCAGCAAAACCCACAGGCCCAGGGCUCUUUCCAGCCUCAACAACUGCCCCAGUUUGAGGAAAUAAGGAACCUAGCGCUACAGACGCUACUUGCAAUGUGCGAUGUCUAUAUCCCUCCAUAUUGCACCAUUGCUCCAUUUGGCAUCUUUGGUACUAACUGAGAAGAGAAGAACUCUAGUAGUAGAUAUAUGAUACACCGUUUUCUUAGUCCAUGGUUUGGUCGUUGUAGCGGUGAAAAAAUAAAGUGACAUGCACUAUCAUGUAAGAACCCGAACUAUACUAGUUCAAACUUGGGAAUAAAAGACAAACACAGGUCUUGUCUACAUAUGAUUGUUUGUUUGAGUUCCACUCAUGUGCCCAUUCACAAGUUCACCCCUAAUUAUAUAUAUUAUGCAUUA
Molecule: long non-coding RNA, 112008 nt
Filed under: Triticum aestivum (bread wheat)
Lineage: Eukaryota; Viridiplantae; Streptophyta; Magnoliopsida; Poales; Poaceae
Description: long non-coding RNA (TAES_LNC019282)
Source: RNAcentral